This 119346-nucleotide long non-coding RNA is filed under the name Setaria italica (foxtail millet). Its description in RNAcentral is "long non-coding RNA (SITA_LNC000565)". Lineage: Eukaryota; Viridiplantae; Streptophyta; Magnoliopsida; Poales; Poaceae. The record is from RNAcentral.
CCCGUCAGGAACCUCUAUAAAUAGAGGGGUGGGGCGCCCUAGGGUUUAAUCCCUUUGGCCGAAACACAUCUGUCGUACCCCCCACGCCCUUGCCCUUUUGCAACUCACGGACCUAGCAGUCCGGCUUGCGACGCUUCCUCCUUGCACGUGUGGAUACCUUGGAGGUGUUGCACCUGCAGCACUUGGACGAGCCACCGACGAGCCACGACGAGCCGACAACGAGCCGUGGCACGAGGACAACCUUGCUGCACGUGGACGAGCUGCUGAGGAGCUGCUUGACGUCGACAUGAUCGACUACGUGUUCGACUACGCUGAUCGACUUUGCUACCCCAACGCGAUUCUACAUCUUCCGUACCAGUGCGUCGAGUGGUAAUCCCGUGAUCCAUACACGGCAGUUUUCCUAGUUUACGCGGUAGAAAAAUUUUGUUUUGCGCUAGCGUAGCCUACCUCGUAUCCCAACAGAAGAAGUAGCCUCUCGACAAGUGGCCCUAAGCUCAAUUCUUGAUGAGGUCCGUGCAAAACUCCAAAGCAUCCGAGUCCUCCUUCAGGAUGACAUCGGCCGAUUGGUAGAAGAUGCCUCGCUGAUUCGACAGAUCUUCAAUGAAAUAAAUGAUCGAGUCACGGAGGACACAGAGCAAGCUCUCGCACCCGCGGCAUACAUCGAAUCAAUGCAAAUUUCGGUAUUCAGAGCCCUGUGACACAUGGCCGAUCGUGCCAAGUUGGCAAAAGCAUGUGAAGAAGAGGAUUCCUAUAAACACCGAGCUCAAGAGGUACAUCAACGAAUCGGCGUACUUGAAAAUUCUCAUCCAAAUAUUGUUGGUACCAUAGACCGUCUCAAACAACGUAGGGCAGAGCUUGCCAAGGAGAUGGAAUAGGUGAUGAAGGCUAUUGCUACCAAAGAGAAGAAGCUCCAAGAUCUCCCAGCUGUCAUCGCUGAUUUGAAACAGGAGAGGCAAAAUCUUGCCCAUGAGGCCAUCCGGCUUCACCGUAACAUGCCAGAAGUCCCUGGAUCGGCCGAAGACGACCAACGGGUUCUAGAUUCGGCCGAUCAGAUCCACCGGUGGGCGAUUGCGGCCAUCAAUAUGCUCCUUGAAUGAAUGUUUCAAACAUCGAAUUACCUCUGUAUAAACAUUUAAUGCUCCUUUCGUUGUUGACGUGUGAAUAUGAAUCUGAACAUUUCCUUUUCGCAGCUUUUAGCCCAACAAUCGUUUGCUUUGAAUGGAUGCCUUUGCUAAUCGUUGACCCUUACCCUUUUUCACCCUAUAAAUACGGGGUCUCUGCGUUUCUCCCAGAGGCACUCACACCUCAUCUAUCCUCCUAAAUUCUGCUCGACUGUUUUCAGAUCUCUAACCGGGUGCCAAGAUGUCUUCUUCCUCCUCCGUCAAUCAGGUAUAGGACCCCCCCCCUUACGCUCCUCGACUAAUUCCUCUUGACGACUGAAUGCCUGUUGUUUUUCUAGCCGACCCGGCUCAGCCCUGAUCUUGAGUGAGCCAUCGAGAUUAUGCACUCCGAGCAACCACUGAGGCGGGCAGACAGAGACUUGAUCGAAGCCCACCGUGAGGAACUCAAAGACCAUCUUCCAGCCCACGUCAAGAAGAUCAUGGAUCACAUCGCAGCCAAUAGCUCCAGGAAGCCACCUCAGCCACCGAUUAAGAGGAGUCAUCAGCUACCCUGCCAGGUCGCUCUCGAAGAUGCCAUGGCGGAUCUGGAGGAAAAGAGAACCCGUCUCUUAAUAGAACUAGGUCGGGUCCAGAGAGAGAUCAAUAAAAAAAAAGCUCGACUGAAACGUAGUUAAUCACACUGUAACCUGAUAGAUGUAUUGGUACUUUUUAAUCUAAGGGCGACUCGUACCAUGUCGGUCGUGUGUCCAAUCGUUGUACCGAAUAGUAAUUGGCCUGUUUGAUCAGAGGCUUCAUCCUCAAGGCGAUGUCUCCCUGCAUCGGCUAUGCAAACCCGAGUCUAUAGGAAUCGACCAUAAUGACUCGAUACGCCAUAUCGUUGGCUAUGCAUAUACCCAUAUGUUGGGAUAGUAUCUCUUCAAAUAUCUCCCAUUUAAGGCCCUUGUAAAUUCCUCUCCUUCGAUGGUCUCUAAUAUGUAUGCAUUUCCUGGUGCACACCGACCGAUUUUAUUCGGCCCUUCCCAAGUAGGUGACCACUUGCCGUAUUUGGGAUCCUUAGACCCUAUCGGCAUUACCAGUUUCCACACCAUAUCUCCUUGGGACAACUGCUUGACCUUGACCUUCUUAUCAUACCACCUAGCAACUAUUUUCUUAUUCUCUUCAAUACUGAUCAAAGCCCUCAAUCGUUGACCCGCCAAAUCGUCGAGCUCCCCUUUCAUGAGGAGAGAAUAAUCAUCGGCCGUCAACUGAUCUUGAAGUGACGCGCGUCUAGACCCUAUCCUUAAUUCCCAAGGUAACAUCGCCUCAUGUCCAUAUACCAAUUGAUAAGGGGAUAUCUUAGUAGCGCCGUGGCAGGCCAUCCUAUAGGCCCACAAAGAUUCGCUCAAAGACGCAUGCCAUUUCUUGGGCUGCUCUUCUAUCUUCCUUUUGAUUAACUUGAUUAUCCCCUUAUUGGAUGAUUCAGCUUGACCAUUAGCUUGAGCAUAAUACGAAGAAGAAUUUAACAAUUUAAUUCCCAUAUCGGCGGUGAAUUCCUCAAACUCUCUCGAGGUAAAUAUUGUUCCCUAAUCAGUCGUAAUGGUCUAAGGGAUACCAAACCGAUAGAUAAUGUGCUCUCUCACAAACUCAAUCAUGACGGCCGAUGUCACGGUUUUCAAGGGGACCGCCUCCACCCAUUUGGUAAAGUAGUCAAUGGCUACUAAUAUGAACUUGUGUCCCUUGCUUGAUGGAGGAUAAAUCUGUCCGAUGAGGUCGAUUCCCCAUCCCCUAAACGGCCAUGGUUUGAUUAUUGGGUUCAUAGCCGAAACUGGUGCAUGUUGCACAUUGCCGAAUUUCUGACAAUCCUGGCACCCCUUAUAAUACUUAAAGCAAUCCUCGAGUAUCGUUGGCCAGUAAUAACCAUUAUUUAUAAUCAUCCAUUUCAUUUUGUGAGCCGACUGAUGAGCCCCACAUACGCGUUUGUGAAUUUCUCCCAUCAGAACUUUUGCUUCUUCUAUCCCAAGGCAUUUGAGUAGUACUCCAUCAAUUGUCCAGUAAAAUAGGUCAUCUUCAAGUAAUACAUACUUUGUGGCCUGAAAAUGUACUCAUCGGUCCACUUUCUUGGAUGGGUCUCUUACGUAAUCGGCGAUCUCCCUUCUCCAAUCAUCGGCUGCAAGUCCCAGAGUCAUGGCACCUUGAAUCGGCCGAUACCCGGAGGCAUGUUGGGCAAGCCUAUUGGCUUCCUCAUUGUAACUCCUGGGGACAUGCUCAAUAAUCGCAGACUUGAACUCCUUUAGCAACUGGAGGCAAUCUUCAUAGUAAAUUCUCAAGAUAUCAUCCUUGCAUUCAGACCUCCCGGUUAAUUAAUCCACAAUGAGCAUGGAAUCCCCAAAUAUUUCCACCGUGUCAGCUUUGAACUCCCUCAAUAAUUGGAUACCCUUUAGAAUAGCCCGAUACUCCGCCUGGUUAUUAGUAGCGGAUGCCUCAAUCGGUAGAGAGAAAUCGUAACUUGCCCCCCGAGGCGAUACGAGGAUGAUGCCGAUUCCCGAUCCGGCCUCACAUGAGGAAUCAUCAAAGUAUAGUGUCCAAGGAGCUGGCUCAACGACGGCGAUGUCUGGUCCGCAAUGCUAGGCUACGAAAUCAGCCAUUACCUGACCUUUGACAGCUUUGGCUAAUUCGUACCUCAGGUCGAACUCUGAGAGAGCUAGAAUCCAUUUUCCAAUCCUCCCUUUCAAAAUUGGUAAUGACAACAUGUACUUGACCACAUCAUCUUUGCAUACGACUACGCAUUCUGCCAAUAACAGAUAGUGCCUGAGUUUGGUGCAAGAAAAAUAUAGAUAAAGGCACAGUCACUCCACCGGAGGAUAUCUAGUUUCAGCGUCCAGGAGUCUUCUGCUGACAUAAUAGAUUACUCUUUCUUUUCCUUCAAACUCUUGGACUAGCGCUGACCCAAUAGCCCGUUCAUCGGCCGAUAAGCACAGUUUGAACGGCUUGUCAGCCUAUGACGGAACCAACACUGGCGGCAAGACCAGGUACUGUUUGAUAUCAUCCAACGCUUUCUGUUGUUCCUUACCCCACACGAACUCUUGGUCGGGUUUUAAUUUUAACAAAGGAGUGAAGGCUUGAAUACGUCCGGACAGGUUAGAUAUGAACCUCCGGAUGAAGUUAACCUUGCCGAUUAAGGACUGUAGCUCAGUCUUGUUUUGUGGGGCCAUGACUUUAUUGAUGGCAGCCAUAAUCUUUCGGUUGAUUUCUAUGCCUCGCUCGUGGACCAUGAAUCCCAGAAAUUGUCCAGCCGAAACACCGAAGGCACAUUUGUUUGGGUUCAUUUUCAAUCCAUUCUUCCUCGUGCACUCCAAUACUUUUCGCAAAUCGACCAGAUGCUCCUGAUGCCCCUUUGACAUGACCACAACGUCGUCGAUGUAGAUCUCCACUAGGACGCCAAUAAGUUUGUGGAAAAUAUAAUUCAUAGCCCGUUGAUAUGUAGCUUCGGCAUUUUUCAAACCGAAAGUCAUUACUACCCACUCGAACAAACCGAGGUGGCCUGGGCACCUGAAAGCUGUUUUCAAAAUAUCUUCUUCGGUCAUUAAUAUUUGAUUAUACCUAGCGUUACCAUCCAUAAAGCUGAUGACUCUGUGCCCUGCGGCAGCAUCUAUUAAAACAUCAGCCGUCGGCAUCGGGUACCCAUCCAUUGGUGUAGCCUGAUUAAGAUUCCUGAAGUCAAUGCAUACACGUAGCUUUCCAUUUUUCUUGUAUACAGGCACAAUAUUAGAAAUCCACACGGCAUAGCGACACUGCCGAAUAAAUCCUGCUUCGAUCAAUCUUGUGAUCUCAACCUUAAUAUCAGGUAAAAUUUUAGGAUUACAACGCCAUGCGGGCUGCUGAUACGGCCGAUACCCUAGUUUUAUAGGCAACCGGUGUUCGACAAUGGACCGGUCUAGACCAGGCAUCUCAUGAUACUCCCAAGCAAAGCAGUCUUUAAACUCCCAUAACAGAUUUGUUAAUUCGCGCUUAUACUCAGGGUCUAAGCUAGCACUAAUAUACGUCGGUCUUGGCUUGCUACCAUCUCCAAGGUCCACCAUCUCCAAUGAAUCGGCCGACGUAAACCCGUGCCCAAGCUUCCCGUCUUCUCGGACGAACUGAUCCAUUUUAAUUUGGUUCUUCAGAGCCGACUGCUCGGAUCGCCUGUAGACCGAAAUCGGCCACCUUCAGGAAAUUGGUGUCCCAAGUCCUGCCAGACAUGCAUCUGACGUGUUCGCAGCUCCACUGUUGCGUGUCGGUGACGGCAACGCUAUAGGCGGAAUCGGCGGUGACCACUUUGAUGUUGUCGCCGACCCAUUGGACGAGGCAUUGGUGCAUUGUAGACGGGAUGCAACAGUUCGCAUGGAUCCAAUCUCGCUCGAGCAACAUGUUAUAGGACCCUUUGCCAUUAAUAACAAAGAAAGUACUCGGUAGGAUCUUACUGCCGAUGGUGAGGUCGACGCAGAGUGCCCACGGGUCGGAGAUACGUUGCCUUCAAAGUCCUUGAGCAUCAUAUCCGUCUUGCUCAGAUCUUCUUCACCUUUUCCCAAUUUGCGGAACAUAGCGUAUGGCAUGAUGUGCACAGCAAUGCCUCCAUCUAUCAGUAGUUUGGCAACUGGUCGUCCGUUGACAUGUCCUUUGAGGAACAGAGCCUUGAGAUGCUGGCAUUUUUCAUCCUCGGGUUUCUCAAAAGUGGCGGUCAUUGGCUCCAGAGCCAAUUGUGCCAUUUGCUCUUCUAUUUCCGUCACGUCGUCCCGGUCAGCGGGAGAAUUCCAUCGGCAAUAUGAAUACCAUGCUAACAUCAGCUGCCGAAUCGUGAUUGUUAUCUCCCUCGUCAUUUUUUCUUCAGGGGUGCCAAACCCGAGAUCUGUCUCCUUUCUUAUCCAUCGACUGCCUUUGUUCUUCUUCCUGCUGCUCCCAUUGGCGCAAACGCUGGACCCUCCAUUUUUGGGACUUAGUCAGACCAUCUGGGCACCAUCUGAGGUUUACUGGUUUGCUCGGUGGCUUUGCACGCUCCCAGUCUGGCUCUCGCCCCAGGGGGUUCUCAUCUGUGACUCUGGCGUCGGCCAUUUGUCCCAGCCGAUCAUGUGCAUUGGUCCUGCCCCCCAGCCGAUCAUGCUGGUCAACUCUGCUUCCCAUCCGAUCAUGCACUGAGACGUGCCAAUCUUCUUUCUCGUGCCUGUUUCUUCUGAUCAGCUCUAGUCCUCGAUCCUGGAGCGUGAUCUCUUGAACGAACGGCCGCUACGAUACUGGCCGUUGCACUCGGGGCAGUUAUCGGCUGAUGGUAGCCUAAGAUUAUUCUCCCAGUAGUGGAUGAAAAACGGGCACCUCCAGUGAUAUUCGUGUCGGCGUAUCAUCUCUUCGCGGCGUUUGGAAUCUUCCCGCUGCCACUGAUACUUGCUGAGUAAGUCUUGGGAAGUGACAGGCCGACGUGGCCUUUCUGAUCCUUCUCCUUCGUCUUCCACCCGCCCCUUUCCUUUGACACCCCAACUGUAGCCUGAUUUCUGGGAUCCACCGCACCACUUCUUCUGGCCGAUUCUGACAUCAGCACUUUGGUUUGGAGCGCGUUUUUUCCUGCAUCGACCAUGUUAGCGGGGAAAUGAUGUUGAUCGAUCUUUAUUGCCUUACUAGCUUUGUUGGGGCUUCGAAUUUGAGUCUUCCCUGCUCAAUGGUCGACUGUAUCUGCUGUCAGAAGAUUUUGCACUCGUUUGUGUCAUGUGAUGUGGCAUUGUGCCACUUGCAGUAUUUCAUCUUCUUGAGCUGCUCGGCUAACAGAAUCGUGUGGCAAGGCGAAAGUUUGAUCUGCCCCUCCUGAAGCAGCAAGUCGAAGAUUUUGUCAGCUUUUGAGGUGUCGAAGCCGAAUUUUUCUGGUUCCUUUUUUUCCAAAUGGGCACGAUAUCGUUUUUUUUCCUUUUACCCAUUCUGCCAGGCCGAUUUCUAUCUCUUCCUCCGAUUCGGACCCUUCUACAUACGCCACCUUCUUCUGGAAAUUUCUUCGUUGGUCGAAGGGGCGCAAUUCCUGAUCGGAGAGCCGAUGAACAAUCUGGCUCAAACUCUUGAAUUCUUGGGAAGCGUAUUUCUCCUUGAUAUGUGGCAGGAGUCCUUGGAAAGCGAUAUAGGCCAACUGGGUAUCGGUCAAGACCAGGGUGUAGCACUUGUUCAUGACUUCCCUGAACCUCUGUACAUAGCUGGUUACCGAUUCGUCGCUUCUUUGCUUGAGGCUGGUCAGAUCAAAGAGUUUCAUCUCAUGGACCCCUGCAUAGAAGUACUUAUGGAAUUGCUUCUCCAAAUCGGCCCAGGUGACAAUGGAGUUAGGUGGCAGCGUAGUGAACCACUGGAAGGCUGAUCUGGAUAGGGACGAUGAGAACAGUCGCACUCUUAGAGCAUCUUGCGUGGCGGCUUCCCUGCACUGGAUGAUGAACCUAUUCACAUGCUCUAUCGUUGACGUGUCGUCCAGGCCUGAGAACUUGGUGAAGUCAGGGACCUUGUACCGAUGAGGGAGUGGCAACAGGUCGUAAGCAGGUGGGUAUGGCAUCAUGUAUGUGUAGAUCUGUACUUUUGGUUUCAAUCCAAACUGAUCUUGAAUCACUUCUGCUAUUCUUGCGGUCGAAUCUACUUGCUACUGAUGCACGACCGGUUGAGGAAUCAGUACGUGCUGCUGGAUUGCGGCGCCAUGAUUGGGUGAUGAACCAGAGUGUGCUGCAGAUUUUGAGGCUGGGCUAUCGGCUGAGUUGCCGAUGGUUGAUGACGUAGGGGAUCUGCUGUUUUAUCGUAUAAUAUCAUCGGUGCUGCAACUCUGAGUGGUUCUGGAACGCCUGCCCCCCUCCCCCCCCCCCGGCCGAUUUCUGAAGUGGUUGGCUGGUAUUGUGGGGUUGUCGGCCGAAUGGCCGAUUGGAAAUAUGCCUAGGCUGGAGACCUCCCGUAACUGGUUGACGGAUCUAGACCGGUGGUUGUUGCUGCUACCCCCCAUGGCGCCGAAUUUGGCAGUUGUGUGGAGGAAAUUGAAGCAGGGUGAGGCGGCGCUUGUGAUUGGUAUAAUGGUGCACCAUUGUAUCCCAGGGGCAUUGAAGUGUUGUUCCCUCCAUGUUGUGUCUACGUCGGCUGAGAAGCCAAGUGAGACACGUUUGGCACCGCUGAGAAGCCUUUGAUUGGUGCCACGAUGGGAGGGGCAUAAGCUUGUCCCUGAUACCCCUGAGUUACGCCGCUGACCAAGGAACUGAUGACGGUGUUAUAUACGGUGUUGGUCAUUACCAUGGACUGGUCGAUCAUAGCAUGAUAAACAGACUGUUGAAUCAUCUCAGACAUUUUCCCUGAGUCCUCGGCGAUGGUGAUAUGGCGGGAAGUGGGAAGGGGAGCUUUCUUGACGAUCUCCCCGCUCCUGGUAUGAUUGAAAGAUUGUAGGCAAGACAUCCUAUACUCUUCUAUAGCCCGUGCCACUUCCUCCUUCUGGUCGUCCUUGAGGUCUGCUUCAGUGAUUUCGAUGAUGUUAUCUUUAGAGAUCUCUGCAACCUUCGACAUGCUGGCUCUUGCUUGGUCCCACCAGGCGUGCCAAAAUUGUGUUGGCACUGAAAAAUCGGCCGAUUAUCCUCAGCGUCGGACACACGACCCGGGAGAAUCUCCUUAGCUCCUAUUUAGGUUAUCGCCCUGGUGCGGUUCGUACGGCGUGCCAGUCAAUCUGACCUGUUGAUUGAUAAGGAAAGAAGUGAUGAGGACAUCACCUGCUCGGAUACAACCACAUUAGUAACUUUCGAUUCACAGGUGAAAUAAUUCUUUACCAUUAUUGUAUUUGAUACAUUUGAUGAAUUGAUGUUGCACCAUGAUGUGUGUUCAUUGUCAAUUUCAGAAAUACAUACAUGGAUCAAAAAUAGUGUUAAACACACAUGGAAGGUAUGGAGGACCAAAGAAGUAGAUUGGGAGCCAAGUCCAAGUAUUCCCAAUGUCCUCCACCAGGCCACCACGUCCCUUUUGGCCUAAGGAAAGAAAGAGAUCCAAUCCAACACGUUUUGGCGCUGGAUUCGGACUGCAGCUCUACCCCAACUUGCAACAGCCGCCACGACCUCAUCCGGACUCCGUUUUAGGCGUUCAAGUACUCCUUGGAAUACUUAUGAAGUCUAUUUUCAUAUGGAUCUGAACUCAUAUCAAUAUCUAUUCUGAGUCGGCCGCAAUCACCAAAAUACUACUGAGAGGUUUUCUGUCCAGAGGUGCUGCGUCGCCUUAUUUUAGCCCAAUGGGCCGUGUGUCAAGUUGGGUCUAUUAGGGACAUAUUCUAGGGUUGGAGCACGACCCCAAAACCCCCCUGUCAUCCUCCUAGGUAUUAAUAAGGAUUAGAGCCACCACAAACAGAUUGGGUUUUGUUUUGUUGAAAGCUUAGCCAUUGCUACUUCCUUGUAGACGCGUGUGCCGACUAGACCAUCCGUUCUACUUGAUUCAGAACCCCAACUUUAUGAGUUCAGAUUAGUUUUCAUCUCUAUAUUUGCAAUUGAGUUGCUUGUUAUACUUGUUCUUGCUUGUUCUUCGAUUGCUUGCAGGACGAGUGCCCUAGUGGCCGGGUGACGCACUCCACAAGAUCGCGGCAGCCAUUGGAGGUGGUGUAUCGGUUGCUAAGGCGCAGUUUGGAAGGCUGUAGUCGGGCCGUGAACGUCAUCUCCAUCGACCAAUCGAGUUAUCCCACGCCUCUCAUUGAAAGAUUGGGAAUCAACCCUAGCGGGUUUAUAUCAGUUGGUAAUCAGAGCAAGGUUUAUCGGUGAGAGACUUCCAGUUCCUUGCUAUUUUUAAUUACCUAUAGUCCAGAAAAGCACAAAAAAGAUAGUAGAUUAGUUUACCUACAAUCCUAUAAACCUUUUGAGCCUUUGCUAGCAUUGCCUAGUUAGGGCUUGUUGAGUUUUCGGUUGCAUCGGUUGUGUCAAGUUGCUGGUCUUAGUGUCUAUUCCUUUAGAGUUUUGAGUUCUAUCACGUUUUGGUCACCACGAGAUCCACCAUCACCAUAUACAUCACUGCUUCGUUUCUGCCACCACGGUUUCAUAUGAUGUUCGAUUUGGGAUAUUAAAUACAAUCUAGAAAGCUGAAGUUGUCUUCUUUCCAAUGGAUCUGACAUUGUAGCAAAAUUCGUUCCGAGCGCUCCGCAAUCUUCCUAGAGAUUUUCGUAUCUGCUGUAUUAACAAGAGUUGUUAAAUCUGAAUUCAAAGGGGUUGUGUGUGAUAACCUUAUUGUUUGGGUUGUCAUAGUACCAAAUAAAAGAUUUAGGCCUUUGCAAAAAAAGAAACAAAAAAAAGACAGAAAGAAAAAAAGAAGAAGAAGAAAAAAGACAAGAGAAGGAGAAGAAAGGGGCUGAAUCUGUUGAUUUCUUUGUGCUGUGCUAGUUGCUCUUUUCAGUGACUACCUUUGUGCCUAGGCUCACAUCUCUAGCAUGGUUUAGCCUAGGACCAACACGGUACCGCUGUUGAAUGAUUACUCAACUUGCUUUUGUGACUAACGUGAUGCUAGUAUAUUUCCUUGCUUUAGCCCACCUACAGCUCCACAUAUUCGACUACAGCUUGACAGGUUUUUGUUGCUGCGGCACCGAUACACUUCGCUCCACGGUUGUAGACUUAUUGGUUGCCGUCACCUCCUGUUUGGCUUGGUAAGAACUGGUAAGGGCUUGUUUUUAUAAGUUGAGUUUGAGAGAAUUACAACCGACACAUCCUAGUAGUUGACAGGAGGAUACAUAUUAUUUUUGUGUUUCUUAUUUUCUACUAAUCAUGGCAGGUGAUACGGAGAUUUUUGAGCUGUUGAAACUAGACCCUCAUAUUCAGGAUGUCAUUCAACACUUGCCAUUAUAUGAUGGUAAGUUUGAUCCUAAAGCUUACAUUGAUUGGGAGAUAAAAGUAGAUAAUGAAUUUGAUGAGCAUGACCUGUCCGAGAAACAAAAUAUUUAUAUUGCCUCUAAUGUUUUGAUUGGAUUUGCUUUGCUAGAAUGGAAACAUAUUUGUAGGCACAACAAAGUUCUAGAAUCUUGGGAAGACUUCAAAUUUCUUUUUAGAGAUGUAUUCAUUCCUGAAUAUUAUGCUGCUUAUUUGCUUGCAAAAAUUAGACAACUUCAAGCAAGGUAGUAGGACUGUGAAAGAAUACUUCCAUGAUUUUAAAAUUCGUAUCAUGUAUGGUGGAUUAGAUGAGUGCAUUGAAGAUGUUAUGUGUAGGUUCAUGAGAGGGCUCAAUUCUAAAAUUCAAAUCUUGUUGAUUAGCAAAUCAUACAGACAUAUUAGUCAAUUGUUUUGUCUUGCUCUCAAUGUUGAAAAGGAGAUUCUAUUAACUGUGAAUACUUGCAAAAAUGAUGUGACCCAUUAUAUCCAAAAUUUGUCCACUCUCCAUGCUAAUGAAGAGCAACAAAUAGUGGAACCCAUUGCUGAUUUUCCUUUGUCACAAAAUGAAUUACUUGUUGUUCCUUGUGAUAAAGAGGACUUUUGUGCUGAUGAUUCUUUUACUCCUAUGCCACAAGUAGUGAAUAAGUGUGAUAAUUUUAGUUUGGAACCAUACAAAUGUGCUGAAGAUAAACUUUUUCAUCCUAUUACUUGUGCACAAGAUGAACUGAAUUUGCUGUCCUCUUUAAAUACUUUAGGUUAUAUUGAAUUUGGUAUUUUGUGUAAUCUAAAUUGUCUAAAAGAGAAACUUAAAUUUGAUUCUAGUUUGCCAAGGUUUAAUCAUUGUUCGCUUCAUGCAAUUGGCAAAUAUGACAACAAAGGAGAAUAUUUGGUGCAUAAAAUUUAUAUUUGCUCUAAUCUGAAAUAUCCUUUUGGGCAACAAUACCAUGAUCAAAUAGAGGGCUGCAGUAACACUAAUAAUGUGUUGCAAAGUUUUUCUAGUUUUUCCCAUAUACAACAGGGUAAGGCUAAAAAAGAGGAGCAUUACUGGUUGUGACCAUGCAGCAUGGCCGUCGCUCCGUGCUACAACAUCAAAGCAAGCACCUUAGAAUGCCAUUAGAGCAAGUCGAGGACGACUUCUAGCCAAGAAGGGGAGAAUGAUGAGGACAUCACCUGCUCGGAUACAACCACAUUAAUAACUUUUGAUUCAUAGGUGAAACAAUUCUUUACCAUUAUUGUAUUUGAUACAUUUGAUGAAUUGAUGUUGCACCAUGAUGUGUGUUCGUUGUCAAUUUCAGAAAUACAUACAUGGAUCAAAAAUAGUAUUAAACACACAUGGAAGGUAUGGACGACCAAAGAAGUAGAUUGGGUGCCAAGUCCAAGUAUUCUCAAUAUCCUCCACCAGGCCACCACGUCACUUUUGGCCUAAGGAAAGAAAGAGAUCCAAUCCAACACGUUUUGGUGCUGGAUUCGGACUGCAGCACUAUCCCAACUUGAAACGGCCGCCACGACCUCAUCCAGACUCCGUUUUAGGCGUUCAAGUACUCCUUGGAAGACUUAUGAAGUCUAUUUUCAUAUGAAUCUAGACUCAUAUCUAUAUCUAUUAUGAGUCGGCCGCAAUCACCAAAAUACUACCGAGAGGUUUUCUGUCCAGAGGUGCUGCGUCGCCUUAUUUUAGCCCAAUGGGCCGUGUGUCAAGUUGGGUCCACUAGGGACAUAUUCUAGGGUUGGAGCACGACCCCAACACCCCCCUGGUCAUCCUCCUAGGUAUUAUUAAGGAUUAGAGCCACCACAAACAGAUUGGGUUUUGUUUUGUUAAAAGUUUAGCCAUUGCUACUUCCUUGUAGACGCGUGUGCCGACUAGACCAUCCGUUCUACUUGAUUCAGAACCCCAACUUUAUGAGUUCAGAUUAGUUUUCAUCUCUAUAUUUGCAAUUGAGUUGCUUGUUAUACUUUUUCUUGCUUGUUCUUCGAUUGCUUGCAGGACGAGUGCCCUAGUGGCCGGGUGACGCGCUCCACAAGAUCGCGGCAGCCAUUGGAGGUGGUGUAUCGGUUGCUAAGGCGCAGCUUGGAAGGCUGUAGUCGGGCCGUGAACGUUGUCUCCAUCGACCAAUCAAGUUAUCCCACGCCUCUCAUCAAAAGAUCGGGAAUCAACCCUAGCGGGUUUAUAUCAAGAAGAAUAUUAAAUUCAAGGGGUUUCAAUCGGCUAGAUUUCUGAUCUGUCUUUAAGAAAUGUAUCAGCGAAUCGGCCGAUUUACUGUAGAGAUGACCGGCUAUAAAACAGCCGAUACUCGUGUAGCAAUUGUAAGGAAAACUACAAGAGCAACCUAAAUAGAGCUGCAAAGGCAACACUUCGAGCAGAUCUGACCGGCUAUGUGAUGAUAAAGGAUAGAAAUAAUAAAAGCUGACAGUUCGUACCUCAAGCUGGAUAACUGGUGAUAAAAACUAAAAUAACAGGUAAAACCUAUGAUUCUAGUUGAUAUCGAUAACUGCUGAAUAAAUUUAAACGGAACAACAGCGAUGCGCCCAAAGUUAAAGCUUAGAUAUUACUCGAUAAGCGGAACUUACAAAAUCGGCUGGAGAUUGUGUCCAUGCAGCCCUGCCAACCCGUACGAACUAACCACUGAAAGAAAAAGGUUUUGGCAAAGUCACCAACUUGAAAGUAAAGUACGAGGAAAAAAUAGAUUUGUUGUAUUGAUUGAUGUGUUUUUACCAACCUCUCGAGGCAGCUAUUUAUUGCCUGUUACAACUGAUUUCCUAACCGACUAGGAUCUAUCUCUAAUUUUAAACGACAACAAAUAUUUACAAAUAUGACUUGUAUUCGAGUUGGUUAUUAUUUUCUACGGGCCUAUCUCUUCUUUUAGCAAAGUUUCAUUUUGGCCCAUUUUAGGCCCAAACCAGUUAAGCUGCUUUGACUCCCAAUCGGCCAGCCUCCUCUUCCGCCAGUCGGCUGAAACACUGCAACCUCAAUCGGAAGAUUCCUAACUGUAGCUUCUAGUCCGCCGCAUCGGCUCCCCCCCUUUCUCCUUCUUUGAUGCCGAUUCCAAAGACGUGUCAAAAUCCGGCGUCAACAACUACCAAUUUGUGCUUUGCUAUAAUUUUAGCUAUAUUUUCCCUCUACAAUUAGAUCUUAUACGAACAAGCUUUUCAACAAGGACCAUAGGAAUCAAAGAUAAAGAUUCCAAGCUGGUUAGGGUGCAAUAACUAAAGCAUGAAAAGCAAAGCCUGUGCAGGAGAGGAGGAUUAAGAGGAGGGACCCGGGCGUGCACUAAGUGUGGGCAGUGUGUUGUGUUUCUUGUGUUCUUCGUUGUCUUGGUUGGUUCAUGUGUGAAUCGAUAGAUGGAUGGAUCAUAUCGAUAUGGGUUGUUCUCUAUGAGGGAGAGGGCCCGCCCCCUUUUAUAGUUCAAGGGGACGACCUUACAAGUCGGGAGAAGAUAGAGGGAAGGAUGUGUGGGCACUGCCUAGUCUUGUCGAAUCCUCUGCCAGCGAAUAUGGUAUUGUCUCCAUCCUCGAUCCCUGUUCUCCUCGUCAGGUCAUCAUACUAUAGCGUCAUGCCAUCACACCGUAGUGUCAGGUCACCAUGACAUAGCGGGUAGGUUUACGGCACCACUGUGCAGACGUGCCCGACGCGUGGCAUGGUAUGGUUUCGCGUACAACCGGCUGACCCGGGGGCUGCAUCGUUAUCCAUCGCAUCUGCUCCCUGGACCCACGGGGGGUGAGUGUCCCUAGUCGGGAGGUCGGUGCAUAUGGUACAGCGGGGACCUGGUUGGGAGAACCAGGUCGGGAGUCCCCAGCUAGGAGAACCAGGUUGGGAGUCCCCAUCCAGGAGAACCAGGUCAGGAGUCCCUAGUCAGGGGUCGGACUGUGGCCCCACUCCUACCAAGUCUUCUCUGGUUAGAGCGUUGGUUCAUCCUCUAGGCCGGAGGAGUUGGUUGGUGACUGGGCCGCACCCUCGGCCUGGCUGCACGCAGCUAGGCUGGCCCAAGUAUUCAUGAUCACUGUGCCUUCACGUUGAGCUAAGCACAAUGGGGAAACAGUCCCAUCGGGGACCCCCAGUCUCUGGACCCGUCAGGAGCCCCCAAGAAGGGGCUGUCAAUCGGAAAAUUUCGUGGUAGGAAAAGAUAGUCUUGUUUGAGGAGUGGUCGGGACACAUUGAGGGGUCCAGCCCUGUAUCCGAGACGAUAAGGAUGGAACCCGCGUGGGAACUGUACCGGUGCCUGGUGUCCUAGUACUUUCCCCUUGAUCUCCUAGCGUACGGCAGUCGAACCAUCAUGUUGGGAUGCAGUGCCUUUAACGCGGGGCGCUGAAUUGUCACCUCGACAUUAGGCACCUUUACCGCACGUCCACGGAUGUGAGUUGUAGCCGUUCCGGAUUGGGGCCGUUCGCCCAGCUAUAAAUAGGGAGGCUCCUGUAUCCGGAGUUCCCAUGGCUAGGGUUCUGAGUCCCAUGGCUCGAGUUGUAGAUCCAGUAGGCUUGAGGCUCCUCCUUUUUGCCGUGAGUGGUGGUGGCCACUUUCCAUGAUGCUAGAAGAUCUCUCGUCAAAGGCAUUUUGCCUUCCUACCGCAGUCCCUCAUGUCACAUUUGUGGGCUAAGUUGUGAGAAGAACUCUCAUAACAUGGCUCUGGCAUGUGAUGCGGAGCUGGGUGGGGAGCGGGGACGACACCUUGGGAGGUUGAGGUAGACAGGGCUUCCUCAUCCUCCAUGUCGCGCUCGUACCCUAGACCGCCGAUUGUUGGAGGUAAUUCGACCUCCACCUUGUCCUUCUGCUACACUCAACGGUGCGGUAAGAAGGUGCCCAUCGAGGUGGCAUGAGAUGUAGGCGUCGGCGGUGGUGGUUCACCGGGGGCUAGUGAGGGCCAAUUUACUCCCCCCACGCCUCUCCUUCCUCGUUAUCUAGGUUGUCCCAGUCGAGGAAGAAGGCUGUGGGAAACUCUGGGCUAGCACCAUGCGCUCCCUGAGUUAUUUUAUCCUCUUCUUCCCUGGACACCUCUCACUCAAUGGCAGGAGAGCGAAGAAGAUCAGGCGAUGGUGGGUUGGCGAGCGAGGCUUCGAGCGCAGCUUUCUUGUAUUGCAUGCGCUCCUUUUAUUUGUUUUGGUCCUGAAUUGUAGGGCAGUCCCUAGGUUGUGGUUACACGCUUUGCGUGAUAUUGUAAAACCUUCGGGUUCCCAUGUUUGCAUGUUUUCCGUGAUAUUGUAAAGCCUUUGGCUUAUGUUUUCAUCUUAAUGAGAAGCUCAAAUUCGGUUUGUGAAUCCAGUGCCCAUCGCACCGUUGAGGCGGAUUGCUGUUGGGACUAGAGAUAUAUUUUCCCUUUCAUUCGCCGUGUUGUGUAGGGAAAUCGAGUUGGAUUGGGCAGGCUAGCCCCCGAGUGGGUAUCGGCACCCAGAUCUUGAUUGGACACUUGGCCGAGGCUGCAUGGGUACGUCAAAUGUAUACCAACGCCCAACUUCCAAGGAGAUGGCUGGCGUGGUAUGCAGGGGCGUGCCGAGUUCGCGCGGGGCGUCCAAUUUCCGAGGACUCACCCUUAGUCAAUAUUCUAUUGGGUUCGUGUGAGUGGACCCAGUGGGUCUAGCCCUUGAUCCUGCGGCCCACUGGAGAGUCAAUCUGAGGCUAGAGACUUGGGAGUCUUUUUGACUUGAGGCGAGUCGAGUGGAUGCUGGUUCCUGUUAGGGUGUUUGCCUAUUUUCAUUUCAGCUACGACUCGUGUCGUUGGCCGUGUCCCUAAGUUAAGGUUGGCAGCCUGAGCCCUCGAGCCCCAUUAGACUCGGUUGGCAUCGAUCAGAUUUCAUGCGUCACCCCAUCCUUGGUCUCCCUGACCGGAGGGGCUAAGCUAACGUCGCUUGCCUCAAUGGCUCGAGUGACGUGCUCGGUGAGCUUGCUAACAGGCCUGUUCAAGUGGAAUCUGAGUCCAUCGUUCAUAAUGGGGUCGGCAUAGCCUGCAUGGGGCAUUCCAUUGCUCCUCAACCCGCCUCCUGGCAGAUGCUCGAGUCAUUCUAGAGACUGACUCAGGUGGCCCAUUGGCCUCCCAUCAAUGGAGAUUCUGUGGUUAUUGUUGGUGUUUUAGACCGGCAACCCACCUAUAGGGUUCCCUAGGUGGUCUUUUAUGUGGUAAGGGUCGUCCAGAAUCAAGGAAUCAAUGGUGACGCAAGGAACACGAUUUAGACAGGUUCGGGCCGCUAGAUCGCGUAAUACCCAACGUCCUGUGUGUUGGCUUGUAUUGAGUUAUGUUGAGAUGUAUUCAGAUGUCUAUGUCCCUGAGGGGGGGUCCCUGCCCGGCCUUAUAUACACAGGAGGGCAGGGUUACAAGUCUGAGUCCUAGUCGGGUACUAUUACAGAGUUCUACUCGGUAAUGGCCCGAGUAGUUUUCCAUAAACAUACAAGACUAGUCCGAGUAGGAUACGCCCAUCCUUGUUCUGAUCUUGUCCGAGUACGUCCCUUGGUGGGCCGUCCAAGGCCUACUCAUGGACCUGGGGUGUAUGCCCGACAAGCCCCCGAGUACUUUGUAGUCGUGCGUCACAGUCGGGCACUGCGGUGUGGCGGAUCCACUUCGGAUUAGCUUGAUUAAGCAGGGUUAAGCCGCCUAACAUGCGACACUCCUGCCUAAACCAAGUUAACACGAAGUGCCGUCGGAUUUCAUCCGAUUUAACCACUUAAACAGGAUCGAGUUUAGCAAACCCACACGAAGGUGAGUGAUUACAGAGAAUACAACGAGUCCAAAGAGUUAGACAGAAUCACCGAUUUAGUUCGACCAUAAAGUCCAACAUCAGGGUUUUACAAGGUUCAAAAGAAACAACAGAGAAAACACUAGCGGAAGACUUCGUCGGGGUCGGACAUCCCUGGUGAGGCCAACCGGGACAUCACUGGUUCCUUUCCUCGCCGUCCGAGGAAGGAUCCCACUCGACCGUCCAGCCUGGCGGAAGCUGGGGCGGCCAAGCACCAACCAGAGAGGGGUCGGAAGCAGCAACUUCACCUGAAAAACAGGAGCCACAACAAGGCUGCGCUACUAAGCUCAACAAGACUUAUCCGAUAGGAGUAACAACUACUCCUCCUUCUAGACAUGCAGGGUUGUUUGGCUGAGGGGUUUGUUUGCCAAAAGCGCUAAGUAAAAACCCUAUUUCCAAGUUUUAGCUCAGGUUCUAAGUUCAAUUACCAGUCUAGGUUGUGCAAGCUAUUCUAAGCAAUCAUAGAACCAAACAAGAUGUAUAGAUAUAUCAACAAACAUGUCAUCCUUAGAUUCCUUAUUUACUCAGGGUGACAUAGCGAUCAAGCAAUCUCAAGCUGUGAGAGGUAGACGAAUCGAUUCGAGUUCUUUAACCAUGCAUGGUGAACCUAGCCUCACGACAUCCGCGCACCCGGAGGUCGCUUCCUGUGUCGGCCUUCCCCAUCAAUCCCCUAACCCGUGUCGGGCCCAUUUCCUUUGGUGCAAGGUUCCACAGACCCGGCCUCUGCCGUUCGGUGACCACACUUGCCACCACAUGCGACAACCAGCAGGGGAAACUCCAUUCCAAGAACAAUGGGGCGACCGCUCACGUCUAGGUUCAAUCCGGUACUAGGCUUCCUCAUCCCAUACUAAGUAUGAGGCUAGUACUUUCAAACACUUGAUCACGAACACCACCACUGUCGGGCCUUAGCAAGAUUUCAUAGACAGACGGGGCGACCAUCCGUCCACCAAAGAGUUACCAAAACCCUGCCCCGUCCAUCGUCCUUAUAGUUGUAACCGAAAGAUAGACAUCCAACUCCUACAACUCACGAGUGACAGGAGAUCACUCGACUUUUACCGUCUCCUAGUUAAGCAAGGCGACUACACGGUCCAACAGCUAGUGCUCAGAUCAUGGGGAUAACUAAGUCAUGCACCUAGGGUUUCACACAACUCCUAUACGUAAAUGCACAAGCAUGUUACAGAAGGCAUGCGCAAGUCUGGUAAAACACAUAGGGUUUCCAUGCAACCGGGGCUUGCCUUCAAGCAAGGAGGAAGGAAACUGCUCAACUUCGGGGGCGACUUCGGCUUCUGCGGGCAGGAGCUCGGCUACAACUUCUUCUUCGGGCGCCGGGUGUAGCUCGUAGAAGCCGUCGGCGAGGUGCAGCUCUACACGAAUGCAAUGCAAAAGUUAGCAUAGACGGUUAUUUCAACAGCAACACUGGCUCGCCUGAGCCCAGAAACUCGCGACAAAGAGCAGGAAGGUAUGGAGGUUCAAGAGAGCUAGAUGCUGGUCAAGAGGCAAGGGUUGGAAAGGAACUUAUGAUCUGAUCUUUAACUAGAGGGGGUGAUAUACUAGGGGUCCUCAGACUCAAGCGCUGAAGAGUUCCCAAGUUUUACACAUACACCCUCGGGUUGAAGAAAAGAUCACAGCCGAACCCUCGGGCGAGGCGGACUGGGGUCGGCAGAAUAAACAGGAUCGGGCGAGACGGAACCGGGGUCGGGCGGAUAGGAGGGGUCGGGCGAGGCGGACUGGGGUCGGCAACUCACCUUCUUCCUGGAAGGAAAGCUUGGGGUCGGGAAGAAGCAGACUUGGCCGGAGGGACUAAGGCUUUGAACAAAGGCUAAGAUCGGCAGUGCUCCGGCGGCGGCGGUGCUUCUUGCAGAUCACAAGUAAGCUUUUACGCAGCACGGAGGGGCAAGCUGCUGGGUGACUUGGAGAAAUUGAGAGAGAGUCUGAGAGAAGAACUCCUCCAGAACUUGGUGGGUGGCGCUAGGAGCUUGAGCAGGGAGCGAGAGAAUGGCUAAGGCAACAAUGGCGGAGGGGACUCCGGCGAUGGGGGCAUUCCUUUUAUAGCUGCUGGAACAGAGGAAAGGAAGCGGCGUGGGAGAGAGAGAAAAGGGGAGCGGCGCGAAGGCCGGGAAGAGGCAAUGGAGUGCUCUGCUGGGGCGGCGAUUGAGCGAAGAGGGUAGUGCUACAGAACUCCGGGGUGACGCCAGCGAUCAUUGCGCUCUGCCGUCAGGGCGGCGUAGAAGCGGGUAGACCAGUGGUUGAGAUUUGGCGGAAAGCGGGCGUCGUCGUGCGGAAGAUUUGAUAGAAGCGACCGGUUUAACGGCGCUAGAAUCGAGGGCGCACAGGUGAGAGGACAGGCAGCUGCGGGCGCGGGCGAGAGCGCGGAACAACAGAUUGUCGGGCGGCUUCUGACAGGGUGGGGAAAAGGAGCUGUCGCGGCCGCGGUCGGGGUUGGCGGUGGAGGAAUCGUCGGGUAGCGGGGACCGGGCGGCGCGACGGUGGUCGAAGUGACGGAAAAGACGGGCGACAUCGGGCUCUAGGGCCGGGAUCUGGCGGCGUGAUGAUGGGCGCGGGAGGCGAGGUUCUGCGGAAAGGGUGCAGAGGAGCUUCCGCUGCCAUUGGGGAAAAGGGCGCGAGAACCCACUUGGUCGCUUGCCAGAGACAAAACUGAGCGGAGGGCGUCGGAGAAGACGAGCCACGCGGCAGGAAGACUCUGAAGCGGGCAUGCAACUCGAGUGCGGCUGUCGCGGAGGAUCUAGGAAAAAGAUCUUGCGGGUCCACCAGUGGAUAGAACGGACGUUUGAGGAAGAUUUAGAAGGAUCCGACGGUGGCUAAGCUUGCCGGGGUCGGGAGAGGAGUGAAGCGGAGAGGGGUCGGGUCUCCGGGGUCAGAACCAAGCGGAAGGCUGAGCACUCGGCGCGGUAAAACAAGACAGAUGACUAAGGUCAAGGGCUCUUGAUCAAGACUAACUGGGAAGGUUUAGGGGUCGGUCGUUACAGCCUACCCCUCUUAAAAAGAAUCUCGCCCUGAGAUUCAAGGAUAAAAGGGGGUGUGCUGUUCUUACCUCCUUGAUGAGAUAGAAAACCGGGGAAGCGCUUGUUCAGAUACUCGUCCGUUUCCCAUGUUGCUUCGUCUUCGGUGUGGUUUCGCCAGAGGAUCUUGUACAUCCUUACCACUUGGCGUCAGGUGUGCCUUUCCUUCUGGUCAAGAACUCAAUCUGGGUACUCGGCGUAGGUCAGGUCGGGCUCUACUUGAAGCUGUUCUUGCUCUAAGAUCUCUGCUGGAACUUGGACACAAUUCUUCAGUUGAGACACAUGGAAAACAUCGUGUAUGGCCGAUAGCUGUUCUGGGAGUUGGAUCCGAUAAGCAACGGGUCCACAUAUCUCCACAAUCUCAUAAGGGCCAAUAUAGCGGGGAGCUAACUUGCCUUUUAUUCCAAACCGUUGCACUCCUUUGGUCGGGGAGACUCGAAGGUACACAUGAUCACCAAGGUCAAACUGCAGGGGUCUUCUCCGCCGGUCGGAGUAACUCUUCUGUCGAGAUUGGGCAGCCUUGAGAUUAGCUUGAAUUAACUUUACUUGUUCUUCAGCUUCUGCCACCAAGUCAGGGCCAUAGACCUGUCUUUCUCCUGGUUGGGACCAGUUCAAGGGUGUCCUGCAUCUCCGGCCAUAUAGGGCUUCGAACGGUGCCAUCUUCAAACUGGCCUGGUAGCUGUUAUUGUAGGAGAAUUCUGCUAAGGGCAGGCACUUGUCCUAAUUCUUAUCAUAGUGGAUAACACAAGCUCUUAACAUGUCUUCAAGAAUCUGGUUGACUCGCUCGGUUUGGCCAUCGGUUUGAGGAUGAUAGGUUGAGCUUCGGAUGAGCUUGGUGCCCAUGGAUGCUUGUAGUUGCUCCCAAAAGCGUGCCGCAAACUGAACUCCUCGAUCAGAGAUAAUAGUCUUGGGUAUCCCAUGCAGGGAAACUAUGCGGUCGAGGUAUAACUCUGCAUACUGCUUGACGGUGUAGGUGGUACGAACAGGAAGGAAGUGGGCGGUCUUGGUCAGACGGUCCACUAUAACCCAGAUGGAAUCAUAUCGUUGCGAUGUAAGGGGCAAUCCAACUAUGAAAUCCAUGCUGAUGUCUUCCCAUUUUCAAGAGGGAAUAGGUAGCGGCUGCAGGGUACCUGCUACCUUUAAAUGACUGGCUUUGACACGUUGACAUGUGUCACAUUCUGAAACAUACCGAGCUAUCUCCGGCUUCAUUCCAUUCCACCAAAAGGUUUUUCGGAGAUCAUGGUACAUCUUAGUGCUGCCAGGGUGGAUUGAGAACUUGGAGAGAUGAGCUUCAUCUAGGAUUUGCUUUCUUAGCUCAGGGUCGGCGGGUACUACUAGCCGGUUUCCAUAAUACACACCUCCCGUUUGGUCCUGCCGAAAUUGCUUAUAUCCCUCAUCCCUUACUGAGAUCUUACUGAUGAUCCGUUGUAUCUCCUUAUCUUUUACCUGUGCUGAUCGAAUUUGGUUUUCCAAAACUGAGUCAAGGAUGAUGUGACCAAGGGUUCCAUGAGGAAUAAUCUCCAGACUUAGUUUUCCCAUCUCGUGACACAGAGUCUUGGUGGAAGCUGUUGAUAACAAGCAGUUGCAAUGGUGCUUGCGACUAAGGGCAUCGGCUACCACAUUGGCCUUGCCGGGAUGAUAGUGCACUUCCAAUUCAUAAUCCUUUAUCAACUCCAGCCAUCUUCUCUGGCGCAUGUUGAGGUCGGCUUGAGUGAAAAUGUACUUGAGGCUCUUGUGGUCGGUGUAGAUGUUGCAGUGAGCUCCCAUUAGGUAGUGCCUCCAUAUCUUCAAGGCAUGUACCACUGCUGCCAACUCAAGGUCAUGGGUUGGGUAGCUUAGCUCAUGAGGUCGUAACGCCCGUGAGGCAUAGGCAAUGACUUGAUUGUCUUGCAUAAGAACACAUCCGAGUCCAGUGCCAGAGGCGUCACAGUAUACGUCAUACGGCCUAGAGGGGUCGGGCUGAGCCAAAACUGGGGCUGUGGUCAGCAAGUGCUUCAGGGUCUUGAAGGCCUCUUCACACCUGUUGUCCCACACAAAUUUGACCUCUUUCUUCAACAACUCGGUCAUCGGCUUAGCUAUCUUAGAGAAAUCUGGUAUGAAGCGCCGAUAGUAGCCAGCCAGUCCAAGGAAACUUCUGAUCUGGUGCACUGAGGCAGGAGGCUUCCAUUCCAUGACUUCCUGCACCUUACUGGGGUCAACGGCUAUACCAUCCUUGGAGAUAGUGUGUCCCAAGAACUUGACACUAUCUAGCCAGAACUCAGACUUGGAGAACUUGGCGUAGAGUUGGUGAUCUCUUAGCCGUUGGAGAACUAUAUGAAGAUGGUCGGCAUGCUCUUCUUCACUCUUCGAGUACACUAGAAUAUCAUCAAUGAACACCACUACAAACUUGUCCAGCUCGGGCAUAAACACCGAGUUCAUGAGGUACAUGAAAUAGGCGGGUGCAUUGGUGAGUCCAAAGGACAUGACUAGGUACUCGUACAGUCCAUAUCUGGUAGAGAAAGCUAUCUUGGGUAUGUCGCAGGGUCGAAUCUUGAUUUGGUGAUAACCAGAACGAAGAUCGAUCUUGGAGAACACCUUGGCUCCGGCUAACUGAUCAAACAAGAUAUCAAUGCGUGGCAGGGGGUACUUGUUCUUGACGGUCACAGCAUUGAGGGGUCGGUAAUCCACACACAUACGUAGACUGCCAUCCUUCUUCUUCACAAACAAGGCAGGGCAACCCCAAGAUGAUGUACUGGGUCGGAUGAAGCCUUUCUCCAAAAGAUUAUGCAGCUGGGUCUUCAACUCGGCUAACUCAGCGGGUGGCAUCCGAUAGGGUCUCUUAGAUAUUGGGGCUGUGUCAGAAAUCAACUCUAUGGAAAACUCCACUUCUCUAUCAGGUGGCAUACCUGGCAAGUCUUCCGGAAACACGUCAGGGUACGCACAGAUAACAGGGAGGUCUUCUAGACGGGCUCCCGAUAGAGGGUAGGCACAAGGAAACGCAGACUCAGGAUGGGUCAAGAAUAGGGUGGAACUGCCAUGUGAGGGUGAGCUGAUGCAGAGGGACUGGGCUGAUGUAUCAAGAACCACAUGAUGUCGGGCCAUCCAAUCCAUACCAAGGAUGACAUCUAUGCCUUCUAGGUCAAGGAUGAUAAGGUUUUCCCUGAAGAGGGUGGGGCCUAGCUGGAGAGAUACAAAAAUAACAAUCUGAUCCGAUGUUAUCCUUCCUCCAGGAGUGGCGAUCACAUAUGGUUCCUUAGUGUGACCGACAUCCAGCCCACAUCUUUCCCUAGCCUUACUCCCGAUAAAGCUAUGAGAGGAUCCCGAAUCAAACAACACAACAACAGCUUGAUUUAAAACAAGGAAAGUACCCGUCAUUACUGGCGCACCUUCGGGGAGCUCGGUCAAGCUGGUGUAGUUGAGUCGGCCUUGUCGAACUUGCACCUUGGGCCUUCUUCCUCUGGCUGCCAUGGGGUUCUGACCUUGCUGUUGAUUCUUGUUCCUGGGGCAGUCCCUUGCAAAAUGUCCUUCGUUGCCGUAGGUAAAACAACGGUUACUGGCUGCCGGGCGGGGUGGUGUUGGUAGGGUCGGCCGGGGCACCUGCGGUUGGAAGCCUGGAAAAUGAGGCGCUGUUACUGGCGGAGGUCGGGCAAUCCACCUUCCUGACUGCUGGGGUCGGCCAGGGGCUUGUGGAGGAACCAUCCGGAACCUUCGAGUCGGCGGACUCGAGAAUGUCACAGAAGCUUUCCUCUUCUGAUCGGCCUUGAGAGCUUGCAUGCAAUCCUCUUGAGAGAUGGCCAGAUUGACCAACUCAUUGUAGGUGACCACCUUGAUGGGGUUUAACCUUUCCCUGAGCUCCAAGCUCAAUCCUCGGCGGAAUCUGUCCCGCUUCUUCUCGUCUGUGUCCCCAUGGUAGCCAGCAUAACGGCACAGGUCGUUGAAAGCUUGCGCGUAGUGCAGCACAUCUCGGGUUCCUUGGGUGAGGGCCAGAAACUCGUUGAGCUUGCGCUCCAAGAGACCUUCUGGAAUGUGAUGCGCCUUGAACGCCGUCUUGAACUCAUUCCAACUGACCACGUGGCCAGCCGGCAGCAUGGCAUGGUAGUGAUCCCACCAAAGCCGUGGGGAACCACGCAGCUGUUGGGCUGCAAACCGAGCCUUGUUGUUGUCGGGGCAUGGAGCGGUGAGAAGCUCAAACUUGGACUCGAUCGUAUGAACCCAGGCGUCAGCAUCGAGCGGUUCUUGUGUCUUCUGGAACAAAGGGGGCUGUGUCCCCAGAAAGUCCUCGUACCGAGCGAUAUGCGGCGGCUGUUGAGCUCUUCCACCAUGUGGCUGUUGCUGUUGCCCUUGUACCAGAUGCCUUAGCAGCUCAGUUUGAGUUGCUAGGAUUGCCUCCAGCGGCGAUGAGGGCGGGGGUGGGGGAAGAUCCUGUCGCUGAUCGCUACUGCCGGGCAGAGCACCAGACCUGGUGCGGUGCGCCAUCUGCAAGAGUUAACGUUCCAUCAAAUUCAUACCCUUAGAUGUACUCCAACAAUGGAUCGCAUAACUUAAACUCUCCAAUGCAACUCUUGCCAAUGGUGCAACACACGUCCUCAUAGGGAAAACACACUUUCUCAUUCUCAGAGUAGAUAGCAUGUAUCUUGACCCGGUACUCAACUUCAGGCAAAACAGGUCAUAUACAGACUCCUAUGAUCCAACUCAAGCCAAGGGGUCGGACCACGGUCCAAACUUAAAAAAGUCGGGCGGGGCGGAAACUGCCUCAAGGGUCGGCGCACUCUGCCUCGCAAACUGGGGUCGGCCAACUGAACAGGCUCCCCGAAAAACAGCAUAUGGUCAUGGCGCGACUUACUUAGCCUAGCAUCCACACCACACAAAGAUGAAAAAGCUAUGCACCAGAACUUACUUUAUAUACAACGGUAGGCUAACCUAUUACAACUUUUCCAAAAUCUAGGCUGCCGAGGAGUACAACAAAAGAAUGAUUCCCUGAGAACCCUCAGUCUACCAAUGGACACUAUGAGUAGGAGAAGGGGCGCCAUCUUCCUCGAUAUCCAUGCUGGACGCUCCUUCGUCUUCCUCAGGGUCCUCUGAGCUUCGAGCUGCAUGUUGAGGGCAUGCAUAUCAUCGAGCUCAGCUUGAUGCUCCUCCAAAUGGGCAUUGGCAACUGCCAACUCCAUUUCCAUCUCCAUCCUUUCCUCCGAGAGCUCUAUCAUGCCGUCCACGAGGUCGGCGACUUCUCCUUCAAGCUCGGAGAUCCGAUCUUGCAUGUCGUGGAUCUGGAUACCCCGUUGAAUCAGCUGGUAGGUUUGGCCUACCAUAUCUCUUCUUACUGCCUGGAGGUACCCGUGAACAUCUGCUGCUGUCCAGGCGAAGAGGGUCAUGGCUCUACCCUGAAGCUCUAUCAGCCGGUAGAGAGCUGCCAUACACCUGACGUUGGUGGAGAUGGUGACCAUGGCGCAGGUGGUGGCUAGCACUUCGAUGUUCCCGACGCGGUCAAGCCAUGCCGGGUCCAGCCGGUUCCUGACGGGAAAGAGGCCGAUCGGGUCGAGCGUGAUCUCCACGGGAUGCAGCUGACAGAACUGGGUGAGCAACUGAAGGGCGGCGGAUUCCCAUGUAUCUUCAGGACCAAGGCCAUAGGCUAUGAUGCCAAAAGAGGGCCAGUCGGGACGUACAGGGGGAGGAGGUACCAACACCUGCACUUGACACGUCUGGAUGCCCUGCUCCAGAUAUAACCGUCCAGCAUACAAGGGCGGGGACUGGUACCCAAACCACUUCAGCGUAUCCCACAGAAUCGCGGGAAAUCCCUCGAAAUGCAGGCACGUCGACUGGAAGGUACCGUCCGUUCCAAAAAGAACAUGUCCGGGAACAGCCAUUUGGAACCAAGAAACCGAAAACCACGUGAGAUGGACUCCAAGAAUCAGGGGUCGGAUAGAGAAGCAUACUGUUUUGGCCGAGAGCAACUAAAAGAAACUAGAAAUCCUUAGAUCCCAAAGAACUCUUCUGAACAUGGUUGCUGUUGAGAAAGGAAACUGUACAACUCUUCUGGUUAUGACGCAUGCACGGCCUACCUUAAACAUAACCAAAACAACUGCCCGAACUCGGGUCUUACGCGGUCAGUGCCGGUGACAAGGCAACAAUUACGUCUCUCCCUAUAAUAACUAGUCGGUUCUACAACGCCUCCUAAACGAACGCGGUUAGCGUACCUGCAGAAAAACACCAACACACGAACCUUUCGUGCCAGCACCCACGAAAGCGUUCCCAAACAUUACCGCUCACUAUAGGAACGGCACCCAUGCGUUUAAGGCUGCAUGGACAGCACUCAACCGUGAAAAUAGGUUCCCUUUGAAUGGAACCAUAUAACCCUUCGCAUACUCGUGAUGCGGAAAUCGGCACACGUAUGACAAACGNNNNNNNNNNNNNNNNNNNNNNNNNNNNNNNNNNNNNNNNNNNNNNNNNNNNNNNNNNNNNNNNNNNNNNNNNNNNNNNNNNNNNNNNNNNNNNNNNNNNUCAAGCUAAUCCGAAGUGGAUCCGCCACAUGCGGGCACUAUCCGAGUAGCUUAGUCGUAAAGGUUGUAGACCGAAGUGCGAGUACUGUCGCGUGGCUGAAAGGUACUCUUUUUGCUCCCUCGAGUCGUUUCUGUCCCGAGUAAUUUUAUAUGGUAGUGCAAUGUCAAUCGCACUCCAUAUGGAGUAGCCCCCGAGCCUUAGGUUGAGUCGAAGAGUCAGGCUUAGGGUCAAACCAGCUUUUGUCCACUUUACCCUUGAUCUUGGGAAAAGAAAAAACUGACCAACGGGUACGGUACCCGCAGCCCCUGAGCACUUAGGCGAUCUUUGUCGUUGAAGUGGUCAGCAGUCCGUUGAAUAGAGUAGCCGUUGGGUGUUUAAGGCGGUUAAUACGCAAUUAAUCUGUCCGUUGCGCAACCGACGCGUGGAAACCGGGGAUGGCAGAGAUAAAACUAGAAGGCCCCUUUUCGGUUGUUGUUACGCCGUACGGUAAUCAGAUCUCGUUUUCUUCCUCCUCUGCGCCUCCGCUCUGCGUUUCGCCGCCACUAGUGCCGCCGCCGCCGCUAUUGCCACCUUUUUGAAAAAGAUCCGAGUGUGAGCUCCUUCUAGCUUGAGGUUGAGUCCGUCGAAUGCGCACCAAGAAGAUGGGCAAGAAACCUGAGAAGAUCCAGGGCAAGGCUUCGGCGACGGGCAAGGUGAAAUCUAAGAAAGGGAAGGAGCUGGUGCUGCCAGCGCCGAAGGUGGGGCCGACGAACCAAACUGCGCCGCCGCCGCCUGGGGCAACCUGGCAACACUCGGUGAUGAAGGAGGAAGCGGUCCAAGCGCUAGUCGAUGCAAAGCUCCUUCAGCCGAAGGAGAUUCUUGAGUGGCGCCCCACGUUUCCCAAUGCGUGGCAGUUUGAGGAACAUCCAGGUGAGACAGUGAUGCUCGCUCAUUUUGUGGAAAGGGGGUUGGCGGUGCCCACCUCCGACUUCUUCAGAGGUAUUCUCGAGUACUAUAAGCUUCAGCUCGUGCAUUUGAACCCCAAUGGUAUACUGCACAUGUCUAUUUUUGUACACCUUUGCGAAGUUUAUCUGGGAGUUCCUCCAAGCCUCGAGUUGUUUAGGAAGCUGUUCCGUUGCAAGCCUCAGCCGAGUGCCCAACGGACGAAGUCUUUGGAGGCGCCGGGUUCCAACUCAGGAACUCAGGCGCGUAUAUUGAGUAUAACCUGACCGACUCCCACAGGGAGUGGAAGAAAAGGUGGUUCUACAUCGGGAACCAUGAACCUCGCUUGCCUGUAGUGACUGGUCAUGCGUCCAAGCAUGCGGAAAACUAGGUGAGCAAGCCCGAGGACACCCCUGAGCUCGAUCAUCUGAUGCAGCAGAUCACCGAGUUGAAGGCACUCGGUUUGACAGGAAUCAACGUGGCGGCUAGCUUCCUGAAGAGAAGGGUCCAGCCACUUCAACAACGUGCUCACUCGGGAAGUGAGUACGUGGGUCUGAAGGAUCCAUCGUGUAUGUCCGAUGAAGACAAAUCCGAUGAUGAUGUAGAGGCGCUGCUGGCUAAGUUUUUUAGGAAUUAUCAGGGAGUACCAGUAAUCCCUGCAGCCCUUCGUCAGUAUGAUGCCUGGUAUGAGCCAGAAGUGGUAUGUCUUUUGCUCCUGACUUGUUCUCUUUUGACUUAUGUGAUAUUUGUUGCUGAUGCCGUCUUGUUGUUUGUAGUCUCGAGUUCUUGCCGGCUACUUGGCAUAGUCGGAAGAAGAGUCGGAAGCUGUUGUCGAGGAAUUGGAGGACGAGCCUUCUCCUCCUGUUAAGAGACGCAGAGUAGUCCGCAAGAUGUCUGCGGCUAAGUCUGCUUCAACCCCUGAGAAGUCUCGGGGUACCAAGGUAUGUAGUCGUGAACUUGUCUGUUACUGAUGGAUUUGAAUUCAUUAUUGAUGUGGCAAAUUUUGUUUUUGUUCGUAAAGGCUGUAGAUACGGCGCUUGGUGAAGAUGAGGCUAUUUCUGAAGAAAUGGCCGCGACCGACCUAGAAGGCGGUAAUGUGUCUGUUGACAUGGUGCCGGUGGAGGCGCCAUCAACAGAAACUGGAGUAGCCCCCGAGCUAUCCGCGCCUACUCCUUCGGCUGCCAUGCCGCCCAUUGCUGACCAAGCGGUCUUGGGGCUGCCUGCUGAAGUAGCGGGCGUUGCAAAGGAGGUGUCGCCAGUACUUGCUACUGGUACUUUGCUGUCCAAUGUGAUCGCCAGUGGUAAGCAUUGUCCCUUCCGAUUGUAUUUGUUUGAGUAGUACUGUAGUCUUGACUUUGGUUUUGUAGGCCUUGGCGAGAAGACAGUACCGGUGGCUGUUCCCGCGGCGCCUAGUACUCGACCGCCUAUCGCCGAGAAGAAGCGUGUGUGACUGCCGCCACGUUUAACCCGGUGAGCUUUCUUGUCUGUUUGAAUGACUUUGGGUUGUCUUGAAAUCAUGUAGUGAUGCUUUUUGGUGCAGAGAUGCAGAUGAAACUAUCCCUGUAGAGACAGGGGUAGUGCCGGAUCCCUCGACUACAAUAUCUAUCCCUCUGGAGGACUUGACUGUUGAAGAGGUACCCGAGGUUGACUCCAGUCAUCUUGGAGCUACUAUGUCGAUGCUUCAAGACGUAAUUCGUUCGGUGGAGGUUCCCACCGCUGCAUCGGGCUCGGGAAGUGCUGCCCUAUCAUCAUCUUCUGGCGGAUCGCUGGCCGUAGUUGAAAAAGCCAAACAAGCGACUGCUCUAGGUAUGUCUCUGUAGUCUUUUUAUUGUAGUCGCAGCCGGUAGCUGACAUGAUAAAUGUUGUAGGUGCUACUCUGGGUACGAUUCCUCAUCUUGUGGAGAGUACCCAAAGACCAGUACUUAGCCUGCCCUCUAACUUGGAGUUCCAGAAGGCCAUCGAUGAAUUCCGGGGCUUCUAGGUAGAUUUCCUUGUUGAGUUUGUUGCAUGACCUGAGUAGUUGUGAGGCUCACCACACCAUACUUGGAUUUUUUCAGGAACGAAGUCAUCAACUGGAGCAGGAAUGUGCCCGACUAACAGAAGCUCUGCGGGUUCAUGAAGUCGGGGUGAAAUCCUUUGCCGUGGAACACGCGGAUCACGCGGUUCUGCAGGAAAAACUAGAGAGCCGCUACAAGUCCUUGAACAAGAAGUAUCAAGGUAAGCAUUUCGACUACUCUGGGUGUGUCCAACUGUAGUUGGCUGUGGCCUGAGUUCUUUGUUUUGUAGAGCUCAAGAGGUAGGAAAUGGCUGCAAGGAACCAAGUCAUCGACUGGAGAAAUGCUCAUGACCGAGUGGUAGAUGAAGCCGAACAUCUUCGGGCCGCGCUAACGGAAGCACAGGCUGCUUGCGAGCAUCAGCGGGACCGAGAGAUGCAGAAUGGCGUGAUGCUUGCCAUGGCCAUGGUGGCAUGCAGAGAUCAUGCCCAAACCCUGGGAAGACUUUGGGGCGAACUCCAAGAGCUGUCUAGAGCGGCCGAAGACUUGGUGAACACCAUAGCCCCCGUGGAGGAAGGCGCAGGGCCGCAAUCAUUAGUCGAGCGACUAAGAGCUGCCCCGAGUAAAGUGGCGGGACUUUGCAAGACUAUUUGCAAGCAGGUUCUUGCAGUUGUGAAGUCCUACUACCCGAGGGCAGACUUGGCGGCAGCUGGUGAUGGCGUGGCUCGCAACUGCAUAGAGGAAGCAUAUGCGCAGUACCUCGAGGAGGCGGAGCCUAUUGCACCCAAGAUGUCGGAAUUUGUCUCCUUAGAAGAGCUUUGAGCUUUUGUAUGUACUUUUGUAUUUGUCUCGAGUACUUUGAUACUUUUGAAUGUCAAGCCUUUGGAUUUGUUGUUUGAAGUUUGUUGUCUUGCGAAGAGUAGUUUUACUCCCUUUUGUCCAAACCAAAGUGCUGAAGUCGGCUGGGCCUGACCCUCUAGGGGAGAAGCUUCGUCUCGCCCGACCUUGAGUCUUGGGGUCGGCUGAGCUUGACCCUUUCGAGGGUAAAAACUCCGCAUCGCCUGACCCUGGGUCCUGGGGUCGGAGUAAUCCAAGCCCCCGAGAUGUAGGCCAUGCUUGGCUUGUAGUAGUCCCGAGUGUCGAGUAGUCGAAUGUUGUCGAGUACUCAUCAUUUGAGGGACACGGGUGUACUGUACUCCUUUGUCCUUUGUGGAUGCACGGGUGUACUGCACUCUUUUGUCCGUUGUGGCAUAAGUGAUGUCACGUGGGAGUUGUCAGACUCAUUGAUCACGGGUGCAUAGUAACUCUUGGGUAGGUGGUAGUUGUAGCUUUCGGCUAUAAAUAGGGCCAUCUGGUGAGCGAACCAACUCAAGUUCCUGAGUAGCGAUGAAUUGCCUUCGGUUGCUUCUGUUUGAGUGUAGAGAGCCAUCAAAGAGUGCACCGGUGCUAGAAGAUUCCUCGUAGAUUGAAGCUACCUUCCCUCCACAGACUCCUGCGCUCGUAGGGAUAGCCGCGAUGCUAGAAGAAUCCUUGUAGGAGGUUUCGUCGCACGCCUCAUCUUGCAGCUCAUGAUCCAGUGGGGUACGCGCUGGAACUCGCGAGUGAUGGGUGAUGAGUGCCGCGGUCUUUAUCCUGCUCUGAGAGGGGUGGAGGUGUGACCGUAGAGUAGAUGGGCUCCGCAAGGCUAGCAAAAGAGCAGCCUUGGUUCCCUCUAGGCGCGUCAUGCCGGUUUUGUCAUUGCCGUUGUCAAGGCAGUGGCGAUGCUGGAGUUCCUAGCAUUGCCUUGGGUAGGGUACCUGGGCAUGGCUGCGUUUUGCGCAGGUUCCUUGCGUGUGGGCCCUUCCUCUUGUGGUCGGCAGACCUGAGUGACCUUGUGAUAUAGUAAAAGCCUGAGGCUUAAAUGCAGCCCGACAGUAGGCAGUUGCUUGUAGUCUUUGUGGAUUCUAAGUACUUGUACUCGUAUGUAACCUGAUGUAUCCUUGUUUCAGUAAAGAAAUAUUGAUACGGAGAUUUUGUACCAGGGCAAUGAUCCUUGUUGAGCUAAAAACCCUUGUCGAAGCUGAGGUAUCUUGAAGUCUUUAGUCGGGCAAUUGGCCUGAGUAAUUAUCAUGGGUUAUUGCCUUGAAGCGAUUACUCGGGUGCUGCUAUGGGUAAUAGCGACAGAGAUGUUCUAUAUUCCAGGAGUUUGGCACUUGUUCUCCUAAGAGCUCUUGGAGUCUGUAAGAUCCGGGUCCCGUAACCUUUGAUACGAUGUAAGGACCUUCCCACGGUGAAUUGAGUUUAUGCAAUCCUGACGUGUCUUGGAUACGCUUAAGGACCAUAUCGCCCAAGUUGAAAGAUCUUUCCUUGACAUUGCGGUCGUGAUAACGUCUUAAACCGUCAAGGUAUCUAGCAGAUUGCACUAGUGCUGCGCAUCUUGUUUCUUCUAGACUGUCUAUAUCUGUUCGCCGUGUUUCUGUUGCAAGUUCUUCGUCGUAUUGUUCAACGGAUGGUGAUUGCCACAUGAUGUCAGCGGGAAGUAUGGCUUCCGAGCCAUAUACAAGAAAAUAGGGUGAUAGCCCCGUAGUCUUGCACGGUUGGGUACGUAGGCCCCACAAGGCAUUGGGUAACUCUUUGAGCCAUCUGCCACCUUUGGUGUUGCCAACGUCAUGUAGUCGUUUCUUCAGAGCGUCGAGUAUCAUGCCAUUAGCACGCUCGACUUGUCCGUUGGCUCGCGGGUGAGCAACCGAGACAUAGCGGACGUCGAUGCCGCUGUUCUCGCAAUAUUCCCAAAAGUCGUGAUUAUUGAAGUUUGACCCUAGGUCUGUGAUAAUCCUGUUGGGAAAACUGUAGCGGUGCACGAUUUCAUCCAGGAAGUCGAGGACCCGGUCUGCCUUGGGGCAAGUGACCGGUUUGACCUCGAUCCAUUUGGUGAAUUUGUCGAUUGCCACGAGUACUCUAUUGAAUCCUCCUGGCGCAGUUGGUAACGGACCUAUCAUGUUGAGCCCCCAGCAGGGAAACGGCCAUGUUGGAGGUAUUGUGACUAGCUUGUAGGCCGGUACAUGUUGUUGUUUUGUGAAGAAUUGACAACCUUUGCAUUUCUGAACUAGUUGUUUGGCGUUGGCCAGAGCCAUUGGCCAGUAGAAGCCUGCUCUGAAAGCCUUGCCAACUAGUGUCCUCGAAGAGGCGUGGUUGCCGCAGAUUCCUCUGUGGAUCUCUUCUAGGAUUUCUUGGCCAUCUUCUCUGGUGACGCACUUCAUGAGUACUUCAGAUGAUGCACCUUUCCUGUAGAGCUUGUCUCCGACUAGAACGUAAUUCUUUACUCGCAGGGAGAUUUGCUCAGCUUUAUUCUUGUCGUUUGGUAACUGGUGAUCUUUGAUGUAGUCGAUGAAGGGUGUCCUCCAGUCGACUUCUAUCAUCAUGAUUUCUCGAGAGACAUCAGCAGCCGGGACUACUGGCGGGGUGAUUUGUUCAGGUAUGGACGGCUUGCGCAGUUCAUGUACGAAAAUUCCUGCUGGAACUUCUACACGGGUUGAGCCCAUUUUGGAUAAAACGUCAGUGGCAACGUUGUUGUCGCGGACGAUGUGAUGAAACUCCAAGCCUGAGAACUUGUUUUCCAGUUUACGGACUUCUUUGCAAUAAGCGUCCAUGUUGUCCUUGUUCCGGUCCCACUCGUCAUUGACCUGGUUUAUGACGACUAGAGAGUCGCCGUACACCAGUAGUCGUUUGAUGCUGAGGGAGAUUGCGAGGUGAAGGCCGUGUAGCAGUGCUUCGUACUCGGCUUCAUUAUUAGAUGCUUCCCAGAAUAUCUGCAGCACGUACUUGAGUUGGUCUCUCUUGGGGGAGAUGAGUAAGACGCCUGCGCCGGCUCCUUCAAGUUUGAGGGAUCCGUCGAAGUACAUUACCCAAUGUUCUGGUCGUUCGACUGGUGUUAGAACUUGAUUUUUAGUCCACUCAGCUAUGAAGUCGACCAAAGCCUGAGACUUGAUGGCUGUCCUUGGCUUGAAGUUCAAAGUGAGAGCUCCGAGUUCAACUGCCCAUUUGGAGAUUCUACCCGUGGCAUCUCUGUUGUGGAGAAUUUCGUCGAGCGGGAAAUCGGAGAUGACUGUGAUGUUGUGCUCUUGGAAGUAAUGGCGCAGCUUCCGGGAGGUGAGCAAAAUAGCGUAUAAGAGCUUUUGUAUCGGUGAAUACCAAGUUUUGGAGUCCGAGAGUACUUCGCUGACAAAGUAGACAGGUCGUUGGACCUUGUAAGCGUGGCCGGGUUCAGACCGUUCAACUACUUUUGACGUGCUGACGACAUGAGUAGUAGCGGAGAUGUAUAGAAGCAAGUCUUUGUUUGGAGAGGGAGCGGUGAGUACAGGAGGCUUUGACAAAAAGUCUUUGAGUUGUGUUAGUGCCUCGUCUGCCUCUUCCGUCCAUUUGAACUUGUCCUGGCAUUUGAGAAGCUUGAAGAAGGGUAGUCCCCGUUCUCCAAGUCUCGAGAUGAACCGGUUGAGAGCGGCCAUGCAGCCUGUGAGUUUCUGCACAUCUUUAAUGCUGGCUGGUGCCUGCAUGUUUGUGAUGGCAGAUAUUUUUUCCGGGUUGGCCUCAAUGCCGCGAUGGCUAAUGAUGAACCCAAGUAGUUUACCGGAAGGUACUCCAAAGACGCACUUAGUAGGAUUGAGUUUCCAUCGAAAAGCGCGGAGACUAGAGAAAGUUUCCUCCAAGUCGGCAAUGAGUUCCUCCCGGUUUCUUGUUUUGACGACGACGUCGUCGACAUAAGCUUCGAUAUUGCGGUGAAGUUGCCUUUCAAAGCACAUCUGUAUGGCCCUUUGAUAAGUUGCUCCUACAUUUUUUAGUUCGAAGGACAUUGUUUUGUAGCAGAAAGCUCUGAAGGGCGUGAUGAACGUUGUUUUGGCUUGAUCCUCUUCUUUGAGGCUUAUCUGAUGAUAGCCGGAGUAGCAGUCGAGGCAGCAUAGCAGAGCGCACCAAGCGGUGGAGUCAACCACCUGAUCGAUCCUGGGUAGCCCGAAAGGGUCUUUUGGGCAGUGUUUGUUGAGGUCAGUGUAGUCAACACACAUUCUCCAUUCGUUGUUUUUCUUGCGAACAAGCACAGGAUUGGCGAGCCAGUCAGGAUGAAAAACUUCUUUGAUGAACCCUGCCGCGAGUAGCUUGGCUAACUCUUUUUUGAUUGCUUCUCGUCUAUCCUGAGCGAACCGGCGUAGUCGUUGCCGUUUUGGAGUAGCUUUGGGAUCGACAUUGAGAGAAUGCUCAAUCAGUUCCUUGGGACACCUGGCAUGUCAGCCGGUUUCCAAGUGAAGAUAUCAUGGUUAGCCCGAAUGAAGCUGACGAGCGCGAAUUCCUAUUUAGGAUCUAGCCCUGUUCCGAUCAGGGCUGUCUUGGAAGGAUCUCCUGUCUGAAGGUCAACUAUUUUGAAGUCUUCCUCACUGGCGGGUUUUACUUUUGUGGACCCCGACUUGUUUUCCGGGAUCUCUAGUUCGGUUGGAUGGAGCUUUUUUGAAGCUGUGAAGACUUGCUGCAUGGGACUAGGAGAUUGAGUAGUCGCAGCAAGUUCCACGGCUUCGGUGUCGCAUUCGUAAGAUCUCCGUAAAUCUCCUCGUAGCGUGAGCUCUCCCUUUGGGCCUGGCAUUUUGAGUACCAGGUAGACAUAAUGUGGUAUGGCCAUGAACUUGGCGAGCGCUGGCCGUCCGAGUAUAGCAUGAUAAGAUGUCUCGAAGUCGGCGACCUCGAAUCUAUUGUACUCGAUGCGGUAAUGUUCCUUAGUUCCGAAGGUGACCGGAAGAACAACUUGUCCUAGUGGUAUAGCCGCGUUUCCAGGCACGAUGCCGUAGAAAGGUGAAUCCGUUGGGGUAAGCAUUUCAGUAACGUCGAGGCACAUCUUCCUUAAUGUCUUGGCUAAGAUAACGUUGAGGCCGCUUCCACCGUCGAUGAGUACUUUGGUUAACUUUGAUCCUGCCACAACUGGAUCCAAGACUAGUGGGAAACGGCCUGGUUCUGAAAAUUUUGUCCAUUGAUCUUUUCUGCUGAAAGAAAUUGGAACUUCGGACCAUUUUAACGGUGUGGGGUCCGUUGGCUCGAUGGCCAUGAUCUCCCUGAGUACGAGUUUGUUGGCUCGCUUGGAUGCAGUGCCUGGGAUACUGCCGAAAAUGAUGUUGACGGUUUUCGAAGCUGUUUGGAAGUCGCCUUCCUCAUCCUCGUCGUUCCGGGCUUUAUUUUUACCCUUAUCUCUGUUCUUGGUGUACUCUUCAGGGGCUGGUGGUGCGGGUAAGUCUUGCAUGACUCGGCGCAUGCUGUAGCAGUCUAUCGCCGAGUGCUUGCUAGUCGGAUGCCAUGGGCACUGCUUUUUGAGUAGGUCUGUGAAGGUUGGCCCUUCAUCGUUUCUGCGGUGUCCCUUUUUUCCGGAGCUGGUCAUGGUGGCAACGGUGUUGUCGGGCUUCCUUUUGCGACUGUGGUUACUCGGAUAGGAGUUCCGAGCAUUGUUAUGCCGAGUUUUAUCUGGUUCAUUGUUGUGGUUGUCGUGUCAGCGGUUACGGUGGAACCGAACUGUUCUCGCUCUUUGUCUUCUUCAUCGGCCCACUGUUGCACCAUGACUUUGAGUUCUUUGACAUCAGCUGGUCAUCGGCGACCAAAGUCUUGGUAUGUUCGUCGAUCAUAGAGUCCAUUUUGGAAGCACUCAAUGACGUCUAUUUCAGAGAUGUCAACUAUGGUAGCCUUCUUUUUGAAGAACCGUCGCAGAUAGUCACGUAGAGUCUCGCCUUCUUUUUGCUUAAUUUGUCUUAAGUCGAUCUUGUUGCCUGGUCUAGCCAUGGAGCCGGCGAAGUUGUUGGUGAAAGCCAUUGUUAAGUCUGCCCAAGAAUCAAUGGACUUGGGUUUGAGUGACUCGAGCCAGGUCAGUGGUGCGGGUUCCAUGCAUAUGGGGAAAUGGAUGACUUUGGUGUCGUUAUUGCCCCCAGCUGCUUAAACGGCUAGCGAGUAACAGCGUAGCCAUUGAAUUGGGUCUUGCUUGCCGUCGUACUUGGUGAUUCCGGUUGGCUUGAACUUAUCGGGUAAUUUUGUUUUCAUUACCCGGUUUGUGAAAGCAGGAAAAUGGUUGUAGCUGUCGACUUCUCGUUCGCGUCGACUGUUGAGAAUUUCUCGCAGAUCACUGAAGUUGGACAUUUCGCGGAUCUUCCGAGUAGGGCGGAUGCUUUUAACCGAGUUGGUGCAGCUGACUUCACCAACAUCCUUACGUCGAGUAGGAGCUUUAUACUUGCUUGGACCUUGGCUGUGUUGCCGAGGUUGGUUGACUGCAUCAUCAUUUCGUGGGGCGGCAUUUUUGUCUGCAGCUCCUCUGCUACCUUCUUGAUUAGAUGUGACUCGAGGAACAGACGGGAUUGGUGAUUCCUUGUCGAGUAGCUUGUAAGCCUGCUCCGCGAGUUGUGCGAUCAGUCCGUUGCCGCGCUGCACGAGUUGAGCUGUGACUGCGUUAUCCUUACCCUGAGGCAUCAAUGUUGUUAAAAGGUUGAUUGAGGCGAUAGCCGCGAGUGGAGUAUUGUGCUCCUGAGCCUGGACUGCGUUGAAAGCUCUUUCAAGAUUUGUAAUGGGAAUAUUUGUGGCCAUCGACUGUCGUCGCUCGGCUUGAGUGGCAUUGCGCGCCCUUCGUUGGUUGCACUGCUCGGAGGUUUCACCAUGAGGGGCGUCAGCUGUAGACUCAUCUUCGGAGAUGUUGUCAAUUUGUGCUAAUCGCCUGGGGGUUCUGUUCUGGCUAGUACCCGGGUUAUUAUUCUGAGUAAUAACAAGUAUCUCCCUGUCCGGGUAGUAGCUUCCGGAGCUUGAUGUUGCAAUCUCUGUGUAACUUUCCUCGUGGUUGAGUGGAACGCCUUCUUGAUAUGGUAGGUUGUCUAUAUGGGCGACGAGGCGCGAGUCGUAGUCACGGUCGAGAAGAGGUGGUCACAAUCCCGACCAGUGGACGAAUCUGCCUUGUGAUGUUGAAGUUAUUACCAAUCCUUGGGCUAGACCAGAUAAUGGUAUCUCUGGUGAAUAGGAUGAGUCAGAGUCGACGUCUUCGUCAUGCUCGAGUUUGGAUCGGGUUCGAGCAAGAAAACCUUGGUAGACUUUGGUUGCGUUGCGAAGUCCGUGCAGGAGCUAUUUUAAAGUCGAAACUGACUUGGAUACCGGCUGAGACUGACGAACCCGAGGCGAGUCCGACCCUGAGUCUUGGGGUCGGCUGAGCCUGACCCUUUGUGGGUGGAACUCCGCCUCGCCCGACCCUGAGUCCUGGGGUCGGGUGCGCGUGACCCCUGAGCGGAGGGUUGGAGUAGUCCGAGGCGAAGUCAAAUCCGACGCGUAAUCGAACUUGAACUCGUCGACUUUAAAAUCUUGGUUUUUUCUGGUCAGAUUUUCUGGUUUCUUCUCCUGAACAUCGACAAUCUGGCGCUGGAACGAUUUUGAGCCUUCGGCGACGCAAAGCCAGGAUCAAAAAAUGAAGGUGGCGCCAGCUUCGAUGAAGAAGACGGGCCUGAUGAUGACCUUUACCAUUGAGUUCGCGCUGAGAAACUCGACGAGUCCCCCUACCUGGCGCGCCAGCUAUCGGUGUUUUAGACUGGCAACCCACCUAGAGGGUUCCCUAGGUGGUCUUUUAUGCGGUAAGGGUCGUCGAGAAUCAAGGAAUCAAUGGUGACGCAAGGAACACGAUUUAGACAGGUUCGGGCCGCUAGAUCGCGUAAUACCCUACGUCCUGUGUGUUGGCUUGUAUUGAGUUAUGUUGAGAUGUAUUCAGAUGUCUAUGUCCCUGAGGGGGGUCCCUGCCCAGCCUUAUAUACACGGGAGGGUAGGGUUACAAGUCUGAGUCCUAGUCGGGUACUAUUACAGAGUUCUACUUGGUAAUGGCCCGAGUAGUUUUCCAUAAACAUACAAGACUAGUCCAAGUAAGAUACGCCCAUCCUUUUUCUGAUCUUGUCCGAGUACGUCCCUUGGUGGGCCGUCCAAGGCCUACUCGUGGACCUGGGGUGUAUGCCCGACAGUUAUGGCUCGAGGUCGGGAUCAAACAAGAAGGUCGAGAUGGUCCCUGACUGCUAUUGAGCGGGUUAGGGUGGAGGCCGCUGGGGCUCUAUCUGCGAUUUCUCCCCUAGCUCUAUUUGACGCGUGGCGGCCUCGAGCCCUCCAUGGGCCGGCCUUUGAACCUCGGUCGAUCGUAGCUCGUUCUAGACAAGCUGCUAUUGCUUUGUGACGUGACGCAAAGCAAUUGAAGUGCAAUGUUGCAAAGAUGAUGUAUGAAUGGAUGAAUGCAAAAAUGAUGCAUGAAUGAAGUGAAUGCAAGAUGCAAAAAUUAUACAUGAAUGAAAUGAAUGCAAGAUGCAAAAGUGAUGCAUGAAUGAAAUGAAUGCAAGAUGCAAAAAUGAUGCAUAAAUGAAAUGAAUGCAAGAUGCAAAAAUGAUGCACGAAUGGAUGAAUGCAUGAAUGAAAUGAAUGCAAGAUGCAAAAAUGAUGCAUAAAGAAAAUGAAUGCAAGAUGCAAAAAUGAUGCAUGAAUGCAAUGAGUGCAAGAUGCAAAAAUGAUGCAUGAAUGAGUGCAAGUAUGCAUAGAAAAUAAAAAGGAAAAAAAGGGGGGAUUGAGAAAGUUACAUGGGUCGGACAUUUUAGGUGUUGCUCCCUAUGUGACUUUCACGAUCGCUGGGGUCGAGCUAUCGUUGCUCGUCUCAGUGGUUCGAGCAACCAGGUCGGGGUACCACUAGUGGGUAUGCCCGAGUGGAGUCCGUAUCCGUCGUUCAUGAUGGGGACGCGUGUCCUGUACGUUAGUUUUCCACUGUACGUUAGUUUUCCACUAUAUUUUGACCAGUCUCCCGCCGGGUGCCCGACCCGUCCGACUGACUAAUAGACCUGCCCGUUGACAUAGGCUGCAACCUUGGGAACCUGGGCGUGGCCCUCAAGGUUUGGCUGCUCGUAACCAUAGUCAUGGCGGGGUCCAAUCAGUCCAUAAGCGUGAACUACUUAGGGUAGUUUGGAGGAUGGUAAGCCCUUUACUGAAGUGUGUUCAUUUGUGAUUAUUAGUAUUGGUGAUGCGAAGCUGGUCCCGCCCGUCCUCAUUUUCAUCCUUAGAAAACUUCUGCCUUUUCACUCCUUCCUUCUAAAACUGGCCUCAUUGAUGUAGGCCGCAACCUUAAGAACCCGGGCGUGGCCCUCGAGAUUCAGCUGCUCGUAACCGUAGUCGUGGCGGGGUCCGAUCAGUCCGCGAGCUAGAGUUUAAGUUGCUUUUAGGGUGAAUUAGAGGUUGGGGUGCCCUCUUAUUUGGGCGCGGCCCUUCAUUCGGGUGAGGUGCAUGAUGAUGCAGAAAGUAAAGAGGGGGUGGUGCACCCCCGUGGAGCCCCCGAGCGACCCGGGCCAAGUGUGCUCGGGCCGGGGUGCUGCUGGAGCAAGUGCGGGAAAGAAAGAACGACUAGAAAGGAACUGAGUUAGGGAAAGAAAUGAUGUAACUGCUCGAUGUUCCAAGUGUUGGUGAGGAUGUUGCCAUCUUCAUCCUCCAGUCGGUAGGCACCUGGUCGGAUCACCUCAGCCACCGUGUAUGGUCCUUCCCAUGGCAAAGAAAGCUUGUACUUGUCCUUGGUCGUUUGGGUCCUUCGAAGCAUGAGGUCUCUGACUUCAAGGGUUCUUCCCCGAAUCUUCCUUUUGUGGUACCUGUGAAGAGUUUGCUGGUAGUGAGCGGAGCGGAUGAUUGCCGUCUCGCAUGCCUCCUCGAGCAAGUCAAUCGCGUCCUGCUAGGCCUCCGCGAUCCGGUCAGGGUUGAAUGCUUUUACCCUUGGGGUGCCAUAGUUGAGGUCGGAUGGCAGCACUGUUUUCGAGCUGUAUACCAAGAAGAAGGGGGUGAAACCCGUUGACCAGUUUGGGGUCGUCCUCAGGCUCCAGAGGGCUGUUGGAAACUCUGUGACCCAUCACCCAGCAUGUUUCUCAAGCCAGUCGAAGAUGCGCGGCUUGAGUCCCUGGAGGACCAUGCCAUUUGCCCGCUCGACCUGUCCGUUGGUCCACGGAUGUCCGACCGAAGCCCAGUUGACCCUGAUGUCGUACCCAUCAUAGAAACCCAGGAACUUUUUACCAGUGAAGUUUGUUCCAUUAUCCGUGAUGAUGCAGUUAGGGACACCGAACCAGUAGAUGAUGUCGAGGAAGAACUCAACCACCUCUUGCGAGUGGAUUUUGGUGAUGGGCUUUGCCUCGAUCCACUUCGUGAACUUGUCCACCGCCACGAGCAGGUGGGUGUGACCGCCCGGGGCUUUUUUGAGGGGCCCAACCAUGUCGAGUCCCCAGACCGCAAACGGCCAGGUGAUGGGGAUGGCUUAGAGUUCCAGUGCCAGCAAGUGUGUCUGCCAAGCAUAGAACUGACAUCCCUCACACCUACAGACCACUUCCUCCACAUCGUCUAGUGCCGCGGACUAGUAGAAUCCAUGACGAAAGGCCUUCCUGACCAGUGAUCGUGGGGCAGCGUGGUGUCCGCAAUUCCGGCAUGGACUUCGAGGAGAAAGUGCUUCCCCUGGUCGGUCAGGAUGCACUUCAUGAGCACUCUCGACGGGCUUUGCUUGUAGAGUUCAUCGCCGAUGGCAAUGAACGUUUUGGCAUGUUGGGCGACCCAUCGCGCUUCAAUCAUUUCCGGGGAAAGGACUUCGUCGAGGAUGUAAGCGAGUAGUGGUCUCCUCCAGUCGGUUGGGUCGAGCGCCAUUACCGCCACAUCCCGAUCGGAGCCCCCGAGCGCUUGGUCAGGGUUGGGCAACGGUGUGGUACCAGAGCCUCCGAGCGGUUGGCUGGGGCCAGCCUGCGCCUGGGUCAGAUUUUCCCGGAUGCGGGUGGACAGCUCGUGCAGAUCGUUCACAAAGACGCCUUCCAGGACUGGUUCCUGCCCGAUAGCCAUUUUUGCCAAGGAGUCGAUGGCAUGGUUGUCCUUUAGCAGGAUGUGAUGCUGCUCAAUCCCCCGGAAUUUAUCCUCGAGCUUCCACACCUCUUGGUAGUAUGCUACCAUGAGCAGGCUUUUGCAGGAGGAUUCCUUCAUGACCUACUUGACCACCAGCUCCGAGUCGCCACGGACGUAGAGUCGGGUCGCGUCGAGCUUGACCGUGAUGCGCAGCGCACUGAUAAAGGGCUUCGUAUUCCGCGACGUUGUUCAAGGCGUUAAAGUGGAGGCGGAUUUCAUAACAGAGCCUGUUCCCCUUUGGGAAGACCAGAACCACUCCAGGCCCCACGCCGGUUCCCAUGACCGACCCAUUGAAGUACAUUGUCUAGUACUACUGGGCGACGACAGGGGUCAGGGUCUGGACCUCCGUCCACUCGAUGAUCAAGUCGGCCAGAGCCUGGGACUUGAUUGCAGUUUGGGGGGCGUACUUGACGUUGUGGCCCAUGAGCUCAAGCACCUACUUGGAGAUUCGACCUAUUGUGUCGAGAUUUCGGACGAUUUCUCUGAGUGGGUAUGAGGUGACUACCGUGACCUCGUGUUCGGUGAAAUAGUGAAGGAGCUUUCGAUUUUCCAUCAGCACGGCGUACAAAAGCUUCUGCACCUGAGGGUAAUGUACCUUCGCAUCGGUGAGUACCUCACUGACGAAGUACACCGGUCGCUGAACCUUCAGCGCAUGUUUGGGCUCCUCCCUCUCAACGACAAGAACAGCGCUGACCACAUGGUCGCUGGCUGCGAUGUAAAGAAGGAGGGGUUCCUCUCUCUUGGGCGUGACUAGGAUCGGGGUCGAGGUCAGUAGCGCUUUGAGGCUCUCCAGUGCCUUUUGUGCCUCUUCCGGCCAGACGAAUGCGUCUGACUUUUUGAGGAGUUUGUAGAGCAGCAUUCCCUUUUCGCCAAGUUGGGAGAUGAACUGGCUCAAAGCAGCCAAGCAUCCGGUGAGCCUCUGUACACCCUUGAUGUUGCGUAUCAGACCCAUGUUGGUGAUGGCCAUGAUUUUUGGGGGGUUGGCUUCGAUGCCGCGCUCGGAGAUGAUGUAGCCGAGUAACUUCCCUUCGGAACCCCAAAAACACACUUCUCAAGAUUUAGCUUGACGCUGAAUCUGCGCAGGUUCGCAAAUGUCGCGACUAAGUUAGAGAUCAGGUUGCCUGCUUGAGCCGACUUUACCACUAUGUCAUCAAUGUAUACGGCGAUCAUGGCCUUUGGCUUCCCGUCUAGGUCGGGUUGGUUGAGAGGAUCAAUUUGGUCAGUGAAGCACCGUUGCAUGCACCGCUGGUAAGUGGCACUGGCAUUCCUUAGACCGAACGGCAUGGUCACGUAACAGAACGAGCCAUACAGGGUGAUGAAAGAGGUCGCGAGCUAGUCAGCAUCCAGAAAACAAAGGAUUUCACAUCCCGAGGUCGAAUCGACUAUUUGAUCUAUGCGUGGUAAAGGAAAGUGGUCCUUAGGGCACGCCUUGUUCAGGCUACUAUAGUCAACACACAUUCUCCAUUUUCCAUUCUUCUUUUUUACAAGAACCGGGUUAGCAAGCCAGUCGGAGUGGUAUACCUCCUUGAUGAAACUAGCUUCCAGGAGUUUGGCGAUUUCCUCGCCUAUGGCCCUGUGCCUCUCGUCAUCAAAGCGGUGUAGGUGCUCCUUCACGGGCUUCGAGCUUGGAGCGAUGCGUAGUGUGUGCUCGGCGACCUACCUUGGGAUUCCAUGCAUGUCAUCUGGCUUCCAUGCGAAGACAUCCCGGUUCGCACGUAAGAAGUCAACGAGCUCGCCUUCCUAUUUGGCUGGGAGCUUGGUCCCAAUCCACACCGUCUUGGUCGGGUCGACCGGGUCGAUCUCCAUCACCUUGGUCUCGUCGGUCGGGUUGAACGCACUCGCAGUGGUCGGCUCGUUGUAGUCGGGAAUGGCUAGAGCUACCUCCUUCUGGAGCUUCUUGAGCUCAGUGGAGUUGACGAGACCGGUGGCAUACUCAAGGUUCUCCCGGUCGCACGUGUAGGCGUGCGGAAAGAGACUGCUCACGGUGAUGGUGUUGUUUGGCCCUGACAUUUUUAGCUUGAGGUAGGUGUAGUUGGGGAUUGCCAUGAACUUAGCGUAGCAUGGGCAUCCCAAGAUGACGUGGUAGUACCCCUCGAAGUCUACCACAUCAAAGCAGGAUCUCCGUGCGAAAGUUGGCAUGGUCCCCGAACGUGACGGGCAGGUCGAUCUGCUCGAGUGGGUAUGCUCGCAUUCUUGGGAUCACACCAUGGAAGCGCGUGAUCUUUGAUCGGAGCCUGGAACGGGGGAUGCGCAUCAAGUCCAGGGUCUCAACAUAUAGGAUGUUGAGGCCACUGCCCCCGUCCAUGAGCACCCGGCUGAGGCGCUUUUCCUCGACGAUGGGGUCCACGACGAGCGAGUACUGACCCAGUCGGGGAACGCUCGGGGGAUGAUCCCUCUGAUCAAAAGUAAUAGGGUGGCAUGACCAAGUAAGAACUUGGAAAUAGCUGAAUCAAUAGCACAUACCUCCCGGCGGCGUAUCUUGUGCUAACGUUUGGAGUGGUCGGUGUCGGUCCUCCCGAAGAACAUAAGGCAGGUCUCGGGCUCGGGGAAGCCUUCUCCAUCCUUGCUUGCCACAUCCUCCUUGCCCUUGUGCUCCCUCAUCUUGCCAGCUUGCCGCAGGAAAUGCUUGAGGAGCUCACAGUCCUUGUAGAGGUGCUUGACGGGGAAAGGGUUGGUGCAGGGACUCUCCAUGAGCUUCUUGAAGUGGUCAUUGCACCCCUGCUGAGGUGGCUUGUCCAGUCGGUCGGCUGCCGUGACCACCAUCGAACGGGUUAGUUGGUGCCGAUCCUUCUUGUUCUUCUUGCCUUGCCUCGUGGAGGGACCCUCAUCCAGGCCCUCACGCUUAGCCUUGCCCUUGUCUCGCCCAUUGCUGAAGACAGCCCCAACCGCCUCCUCGCUGGAGGCAUGGUUGGUGGCAAUGUCUAGUAGGUUGCGGGUGGUUCGAGGCUUGUUGCAUCCGAGCUUGUGGACCAGGGACUUGCAGGUCAUCCCCGUGAGGAACAUGCCGAUGAUGUCAGCAUCGACAACGUCGGGCAGAGAGUUGCUCUGCCGCAAGAACCUAUGGAUGUAGUCUCGCAGGGACUUGUUGGACUCCUGCUUGCAGCUCUUAAGUUCCCAGGUAUUCCCAGGGCGGACAUAGGUCCCCUGGAAGUUCCCUACAAAGACCUUCUUGAGGUCCGCCCAGUCGUGGAUGCUAUUGGCAAGCAGGAACUCAAGCCAGGCUUGAACAAACUCUCCCAGGCAGAUGGGGAGAUGAUGGAUGAUGAAGAGGUCAUCAUUGUCACCACCAGCUCGGCAGGCGAGAUGGUAGUCUUUGAGCCAUAUGCUGGGGUUUGUUCCCUCGGUGUACUUGGCUAUGUUGGUGGGCGGCCAGAAGCAUUGUGGGAAGGGUGCUUUCUGGAUGUUCCACCCAAAGGCUCGCGGCCCUAGCCCAUCAGGGCUGGGGCUUCGGUCGCCGCUCCGGUCGCCCGAGUGACGGACACGUCUAGGGUGCACAUCCCUAGGUUCCUCAUCGGACCGAUCCUGGGCUGCUUUGGCGGCUCUGGCCGCCAUAUGGUCGACGUCGGCGUUGUGACGCACCAGGCGGCGCGCGUGGAUGACGCUGCGCACAUCGCAGUUGGGACCCACGUGCUGGCGUUGUGGUGCCGGCGCCUGUACCAGAUCAUGCGAAGGUGCUGUCGCGGUGCUGUGUCCGGCACGGCGAGGUAGAGGAGGCGAGCAAACCGAGAGGUUCAGUUGCUACGCCCCCAGCGCCCCGGUAGGGCAUGAAACCGCAUGCUGCUGGCAUGACGCAGAGCUCUCAGCCUACUGCAUGGUGGCAGUUUCUACCAGCGCUCUGAGGUUGCGGUGGAUCGCCUGCUCCUUAGGGUCAGCGGGCUCCGGUACGCUGGGCAGGAGCAUCGCGGUGGCGGUGAUGUUCUGUCCGGCCCUAGCAAACUAUGGGAGGUCAUCCCCCCUCCCAGCUAUGAUGUUUCGAUGGACCUAACGAGCGCAACCUCAGGCCCCGCUUCCCAGGUUGCGCGCGUGUGGGCACGGAGUGUUGCGCCGGGCGUGCUGGUGGUGGUGGUGGUGGGUUCUGCUGGAGCUGCCGUAGCGCGUCGCCAUGCGCCUGCACCCGUGCCCGAGCCUCCGCACGGUGGUCCGGUAGGGUGUGAGUCUCAGCAGAUUCUGCCACCUCCGGAAGCUGCUCUGGGCAUCCGCCAUAGCGCAUUCUCGGGACAGAGGAUCAUCAAGUGCCAUUGCGUCGCUGUGGCUGGAGCCCUCGCUCUUAAGCUCCUCAUCGCAAAGGAGUUUAAGGAAAGAGUCAGGGGCAUAGUCCGCCAUACCUACGAGCUUGCACGGGGGGAGAGGUGGCACCAUAGCCUUCCAGAGACCCCGCACAUACGCGUCCACUGGGGACGGUAGACCGAAAGGGAGCCACCCGCGCAGCGAGCGCGGUGGUGACUGAGAAGGCCCUCCGGAGAGCUGCCCGAGAGUGUUGACGAGCGAAUACAUCAUGGUAUCCACGUCGUUGGUCGUGGGGUUGGCACUCAGCAGGGAUUCGAUGUGGAGCGCAAGGGCUUCCACGUCAAGAUCGACAAGCGGUUCGCGCGCGAUGAUGCGAGCCACUUUUCCCAGGAAUGCUGGGGGAGCCACCUCCUCGUGGAGGCGGAGAACGCCAAGAUGAUCGGUGAUGAACUCCAAGCUUCCGAAGCAGAAGACCUGGAGUGGCGCGAAGAUGGGCGGAAUCCACGCUCCACCGAGAGCAGGAGCAGGGAACUCCAGCGAGCUGAAACAAAUCGUGUCGCUGGCGCCCGUCGCGCCAGCGACGGCGAGUUGGGCCAUCCGAUGACCUGAAAAAUGAGAACGCAGCAACACCUUCCCCACGGAUAGCGCCAGCUGUCGGUGCGGAUUUUGGUCGAUGAUCAAUUCUACAUAGUUUUGCUACACGUUAAUCGAUAUGGCCUAGCACGCAAUGAUACAGGAUCUAUACUGGUUCGGGCAACGUGCCCUACGUCCAAUUAGGGAGUCGGUCAUCGACUUUAUUCUUGAGCCCAGGUGCUCAAAGUUUGCAGUGGGGGUACAAACAGGAGGAGGAAGACAAGGGAUGCCUGAGCCUCAGCCUUGGCCUCGUCAUUGUGGAGGAGGAACGCAGGGACCCGGGCGUGCGCUAAGUGUGGGCAGUGCGCUGUGUUUCUUGUGUUCUUUGUUGUCUAGGUUGGUUCGUGUGUGAAUCGAUAGGUGGAUGGAUCCUAUCGAUAUGGGUUGUUCUCUAUGAGGGAGAGGGCCUGCCCCCUUUUAUAGUCCAAGGAGACAGCCUUACAGGUUGGGAGAAGAUAGAGGGAAGGAUGUGCUGGCGCUACCUAGUCUUGUCAAAUCCUCUGCCAGCGAAUAUGGUAUGGCCUCCGUCCUCGGUCCUUGUUCUCCUCAUCAGGUCAUCAUACCGUAGCAUCAUGCCAUCACGCCAUAGUGUCAGGUCACCACGCCAUAGCGGGUAGGUUUACGGCACCAGUGUGCAGACGUGCCCGAGGCGUGGCAUGGCAUGGUUUCGCGUACGGCCGGCUGACCCGGGGCCUGCAUCAUUAUCCAUCCCACCUGCUCCCUGGACCCACGGGGGGUGAGUGUCCCUGGUCGGGAGGUCGGUGCAGGUGGUACGGUGGGGACCUGGUCGGGAGAACCAGGUCAGGAGUCCCCAGUCGGGGGUCAGACUGUGGCCCCACUCCGAACAGGUCUUCUCUGGUCGGAGCGUCAGUUCAUCCUCUGGGCCAGAGGAGUUGGUCGGGCUGCGCCCUCAGCCUGGCGGCGCGCAGCGGGGCCGGCCCAAGUAUUCGUGAUCAUUGUGCCUUCUCGUUGGGCUAAGCACAACAGGGAAACGGUCCUGUCGGGGACCCCAGGUCUCUGGACCCGUCAGGUAUAACCUGGAUUUUCUUUUCCAUUAGAUGCCUUGAGAGAACACUAUGCUAGAAAAUGAUUUUUUUCCCAUUUGAUGAAAUAGUCUGAUUAAUGUGUCACUGAUACAUGGAGUACAUCAGAAACUAAAUUUCCGAUGUGUUCAAUUUAAACACUGAAGAACAAGGCCAUUAAUAAUUGUUCUUACAGUGGUUGUUUCCUAUAUUGGGAUGCUUUCUUUUGAUUCCAUACCCGUGGCAUUUUUUUAUCAGUGCACUCAAGCAUGUUAGUUUAAGAGAAUAACUUGUAGGAGAAUCCAUAUGAAACCUAUCACUUUGUGUUUAUUUCGAGUGAAUCUUUAGCAUCCCGUCUAUUUCUGGACCCUACAUCUUAUAUAUGUUUGCUAGCAGAUCUGGGUCUUUGCAAGCAAAACUGUUGAAUAACUUGUGGGAUAUUCAGUUUAACUUAAUUUGUGUCAAUAUUUUCUUUGUGGUAGCGCAUAAAGAAUAAUCCAAGACUCAUCAAGAACAUUUUAUGUCCAUACUGAUUCAUGAGGCUUGUUCUAGAAGUGACUUAAUAAAUAUGAGAAUUGGUGAUUUUUUAGAUACCAUUUUAGUAUAAGGAUGGGCACUUCAGAAGCAUAUUUACAAAAGAGGACAGUAUGCGAUUUUAUUUUCUGAUUUUGGUUGGGUGAAGGCAACUUUAGUGACUGCAAAUUAAUGCCUUCAUUGUUUGUGUUAUGCUUUUUUACGUGAAAGUUUCUAUCCUUAUACACAAAAUGGCUUCAGAUAACGGACAUUUGAGUUUUCUAGGAACUGAACCAUUUUAGGUUGCUAACGAAGUCUUAAGCAUUGUAGGUAAAACCACAGCCUACAAAGUUCGAAUUAUGAUUGGAAGUCUUAGAGUAGCUUUAGUGGCUAAGGUAGAAUAGGAACCAACUAAAUCCUUUAUUUUAUAAAGUUGUGGAUUCUGAUUCUUUUUUUAUUUCACAACCUGACAUAUUGCAUUGCUAUCUGAAUUCUUCUUUUUUAGAACAUUUGCUCAUGCAAUAUCAUUUGGCAGAAGUUAGGAGUUAAAAUAGCUGGAUAGUCUAUGUUCCAUAUGUUUAAGAGUUAAAAUAGUUGACUUUUGAAAAUUUAAUAUCUACUAAAUAAUUAGAAAUAAUUUAUUGUCUUUGGUUACUAAUGAUUUUUGUUCUUAGAAGGAAGAUUACUAAUGAACGGAUGUUUGGGCAUUUUUCUGUGAAGAUGCCCAAGAUGUUGAGUAAAUGGCUGGUGGCUUGGGAGAAUUGCAGGAGCCCUGGUGCAGAGUCCGUGGACUAAUCUUCCCAUAUGCAGUGGGUGCGUCUUGUUUCUGAUGUUCAAAACUUCAUUUAGUUUUUCCCCUGCGGAUCUGGUUGUCUCUUUCCUGGAUGAGGUGUAGUAGGUGAAUUUUCACGUUUGGCUCCUGAUCACCUAGAAUUUGUAAAAGACAUGCCAUAUCCUACUGUUUGAUGGAAAACAACUCCCACCCAGAGAUCUGCAGUUUUUUUUCUAUUUGCGUGUGAACUUUUGAUAAUAUUUUAUUUUUUUCAGCAUUUGCAGACUCGUACCAAUUAGCAAAAUUGCCUUGCAUUUCAUAUGAACUUUUCUUCUCUCUGCGAUGUGUUGGUUGAUCAGCAUAUGGAAAAGACAUUGGUUGAAGUGUUAGAUAGUAAGGUUGGAAAAGACAUUGGUUGAAGUGUUAGAUAGUAAGGUUAAAGAUUAGCAUGGUACCGUAUCCUUUCUAAUAACUACUUUCAAUAAUUCCGACAGAACAACAUAAAAAUGAAAAUGAUUAUAUUUGAUUUAAUGUUUCAUUCAGCUGAGCAUAAGUAUAUUCGAUUUUAUACUAAUAUUUUGCAACUCCACUAUUGUAGAAAUGAUGUAUAACAGUGUAUGGGAUAGGUGAACUACUCUACAGUACCAAGCCUACCACACAAGAGAAGGCACCGUUUGUGUUGUUUUUUAUAGUCCACCGAAUAUUACGAUAGUAACUACAAACAUUAUAUCAUGAUUAUUCUUUUGCAAGUUGAGAUAAAGAACAUCCAAACGUACUUAUAUGUUUAUGUUAUUACUCAUCGCAAAGUCAUUUUUUUGUUUCACAUUGAGAGCAUUUCGCAUGUGUUUGAGUUUGUAGAAAUAAAUAUUUCACAUGAUAAUGUUUGAUGCUUAUAGACAAAAUUUGUUUUGCCCGUAGCAAGAACGAUUACUAGAGUGAAAUUUGCUCUCAGUGAAACAAAACUUAAAAAGUGACGUAAUCAUGAUUCUCUUCCUCGACUCCUCCGGUUUGUGUGUCAGUCAAGUCCAGCAACAUCUUACCAACAAAGAUGCGGACCGAUCGGCAGAACCGCAGAAGAGGACAAUUGUGGCACUGCAAUAGGCUUGGGCUGUGCAGCUCGAGCAUCAAAUACAUGAAGGGCCACAACAUGGUGGAGUCACAACCUAUAACUAUGACAAGGUCUGAAAUAUUAGCAGUGGAGGCAAUUUUUUCCAUUAUUGUUGAAUAUGUAGAAAAUAUGAAUCGGAAUCUAUGCCAAAUACUGAUAUACAAUUAGUAAUGAACUAAAUUCAGAAUGAAAAAAUAUUAGUUUUAUUUCCUUACAAACAUGAAGAAAAACACAAAAAUAAAGAGUAGAUGUGUUAAACAUAAUAAAUAAAUAGGUAAGUUCAGAAUAAAAAUUAAGAACAUAAUAUAUUGAUAUACACUCAGAUUAGGAAGAAAAAUCCAUAAUAAAGAGCCCAUGUAAAAUAGAUUUCACUAAAAACUAAAUUAGUGAUUGGUUGAGGUUUUACAUGUAGAUUAAUGUCACAAUGUUUGAGCGGAAAAGGCGUAACUCAAACCGUAGAGGUUGAGGAGAUGUAAGAAUAGUGACCUAUGAUAAUAUCAUGUCCUCCAACAUAGACAAUGUUGUGAAACAACACGCCAUGCAAACUUAACGCCGGCGCUGCAAAGGCAGGGCAAUAUUCAAGCAAUGACUAAAAUAAGAAUCCCAUGCAACCAUGCUUGAUUGAAAUUGUCAGGGAAGUAAUACCAAGACUGUGGGUCGGAGAUGACAAGCAAAACAAAUGAGAUCAGCAGAGGAGAACAUACGAUUGGAAUUGCGUGUAGUGUCCAAUCUCAAUUGUAGACCUGUCGUGGUUCGAAUCUAGCUGCGCUAUUUGCACGGACCACCUCUUAUAAGAAAUUAAUUGUUAAUACGAAAUUAUAUGUAUAAGUUAUGAUAUUUAAAAAAAGGAAAGUUGUGAGCAUCGAAACUUUUCAAACAUAGAAGUUCAGAGGAAGUGGAGUGCGUGGGCUACGGGGGAAUCGAUGGCCAGCAGUACUGCUGUGGCGCACGCGCCAGUUAGCGUGCCCCUAAAAGCAUCGAAGAAUGGAAGCAUCGCUUGUGAUUACGUCUGGCCUAUAUAUAGACGGCAACUUCGAGUGCCUCACAUCAGUCCCGAACCUUUCUCGUUCAUCUCCUUAGCCAGAACACGUCCAACUUCCAUUCUCUCAACACAAAUGAGAUGUGCAUGCAUGGAUAACCACCUUAAGUCGCCUUUCUUCGUCUUACUGCUCUGUUGUACUGUUGCGACAGUAGCAUACCCUGCUCGCUGUGAGUUAUCUCAUCCGACGAACUAUCAUUCUAUAUCAUACAACCCACAGCCACAGGAUUUCCCAAAUGAGCAACUCUACCGCGCCUAUCUCGUCAUCCAGCGCUUCAAGAGCACCAUCACGAGCGACCCCAAGAAUGUCACGGCAACCUGGACCGGUCAUGAUCUCUGCGGAGAGACGACCUACAUUGGGUUCUACUGCGGAUCGCCGACAGGCGGGGAUAAGAAAUUGACUGUCACAGGGGUCAUUUUGAAUGGCUACAGUCUACAUGCACCGACACUGCAAGGAUUCGUGGAUCAGCUCCCAGACCUUGCGCUUUUCCAUGCUGCUUCCAACAAUUUUGGUGGCGAUAUCCCCCGACUCGCCGGCCUUGAGUACAUGUACCGGCUCAGUGUUAGCACCGAUCCGCCAAUGUAUACUGUAGAUGAUAUUUCGGGGACGGGAACCACUCUCGGGACGACAAUAGACGCAACGGCUGGAAAAAAAUGCGUAACUGCUCACUUACAUUUUGCUAUUAGUAUUGGUAUUCAGCCAGGCGGUAAGGGAGGCAAUAUUCCUGGUGUUACGGAUUCUAAAGCGCUCCUCCUCAACCACAACAACAUAUCCGGGCCACUUCCGUCGAACCUAGGUCUCUCCAAGUUGAGCUACCUCGCCGUCGCCAACAACAGGCUCACGGGGCCAAUCCCAACAUCGAUCGAGCAACUACAAGACUCCCUCCUCGAGGUGCUCCUCCUCAACAACCAGCUCUCCGGCUGCCUCCCCCACGAGCUCGGCAUGCUCCACAAGGCGUCCGUCAUCAACGUCGGCAUGAACCAGCUCACCGGCCCGAUCCCGUCAUCCUUCUCGUGCCUCAGCAGCGUCGAGCAGCUCAACCUGGGCGGGAACCGCCUCUAUGGCCAGGUGCCCGACGCGCUCUGCAAGCUCGCCGGGCCAGCCGGCCGCCUCGCCAACCUCACGCUGCCCGGCAACUACUUCACCUCCGUCGGGCCGGCGUGCGCGGCGCUGAUCAAGGACGGCGUCCUCGACGUGAAGAACAACUGCAUUCCGGGCCUCGCCAACCAGAGGCACCCGGCGGAGUGCGCGGCGUUCCACAGCCAGCCGAAGACGUGCCCGGCGGCGACCCCUCAGGUGGCUUGCCCCGCCGCGGCUGCCAAGGGCGCGGUGGCGGCGCCGGGGGAGAGGAAGGCUAGGGACUACUCCAGCUACGUGACGUAUGCUACUCUGCAUGAGUGAGCCGCUUCGGUCGGCAUGCAGUAGGAGACAGAGUGCCUCGGUGGGACUUUGGCUAUUUGUUCCUUGUAUUCUUGUGUAGUAUUGUGUGUUGGUGUGCUUGUGCUUGUUGUCUAUUUGCUCUGCACGUGUUGCUGUCACUUAGAUCCAUCUUUGUAUCCAAAGUAAAUUAUUGUUGGUGAAGUAAAGUUCGUUGUAUAUCUGUCUCUGUCUUGGAUGCUCCAGAUGUUGCUUAAAUUACGCAAAUGUCGAUCGGAUAUAUGGCAAUGACUUUGAUCAACAUUAUUACUCCAUCAACCUUAAAAAUAACUAAUGUAGGCAUCUCAGCUCUGUUCCAUACGAGGGCCGGAGUCUUAAAUAAACAGUCUAAAAUUACAGCGAUCUUAGCAUCAACUAUAUACCACAUUCUUUUCUGAUCGAGAAGACUAUAGUACCAGUACAUUUCAGGGACAUUCGAUGUCUUCCGCUAUUCGUUUGUGUUUUCAUGUCUAUGUCCGACGCCGGGGUGAACGACUGAUCGAACGAAACCACAAGCUCCAUCUAUCCCAGCCUCGUGAUCGCGUGCUGGCCUUCGCGACAACUUGUCCGGGUCCGGGAACCGCCCCUACGGCGAGGUUGCUCACGCGCAGCCCCAGGCCAACUCCCGGGGCCGGAUGGCACACGACUUGUUGCCAAACCUCUCGUUGUCACACCCCGCGCGCGCGCUCAACUCUGGCCGGCCGAUCGAGCUGCACUGUUGGAGUGUUGGACACGAGACGAGCAUGCAACUGUGCAGCAUCCCCGGCUACACUGAAGACGUGCCCCGCAACCGCGAGCACCGACGCCGACAUGCCAUGCAUGCGUCGUCGUCGCAUGUGUCACGGACAUGGUGGUGCAAAGGUAGGUAGGUAGGUAGGUAGGGGUCGGGUUCGGGUUCGGCCGCGCUCCAGCUACGUACAUGACGACAUAUGCCGCUCCGCAUGCAGACGCGCGCCAGAGCAAACGGCUGGGCCGAACACCUCGGUCGUAUGUGCUUGUGUUCAUGCGAGUGCAGAUCUAGUGUCGUUAGGUUGGUAGGUGCAGGCAUGUGAGCUUAUUGUGACCCUGGUUGUUUUGUUCCGCGGGGUUGAUCUCGCCGGCAUCAACCAUGUGGUGAUGAUGUCCUUGUAGAGUGCUGCCAUGCUGCGUGCUGUGACAAUUUGUUGUACUAGAAACAACUUGUCUUUAACUUCUAGAGAAACAUUAUUCGGAGUUAAGAAGAUAUUGCUCCGCAAUGCAUAACCUUUUGUCUGGUUGGUGUGCGUGUGUAUAUGAGUAUGAAAUAAUAAGGUCCUGAUUAUUUUUUAGAAAAAAGUGUAGGAAGCUACAUUACUCAGUCAGUCAGUCUUAAUCUAAACGGGAUCUUAUGCAUCUAAGAACAUGAACACCACUUAGAGUAGAGAUGAGACAUCCAACCGGCAGCCAUAGUUUGCGACGAUCCGGCCAUGAUUGUCAUGGACCAGGCCGGGAUGGGAGCUGCUGUAGGUGUACUCACUGUAGGUGUACAAGCUUGACGAGAUCACGCCUGCCUUCGGGCCUCCACCUCGUCUGUCCAGGGACGGCGAUGGUGGUGUGGCGGUAGCCUUCGGGCGAUUCCAGCACUGCCACGAUCGGGUUGGCGUGUUGGGGGAGUUCUCUGGAGGUUUUGGUGCGUUAGCAGUUAACCCAAAACCUGCCGGCUCCCCCUUUUCUUAUAGCGCAGGGUUGCUCGGGGCUACAACCAUAGUUCGGUUGCGCCUCCAAUCGAGGCACGAGGUGGACAUUCGCGAGGGAAAUGUAGUCGGGCAUCACCUUAUCCCUCCUAUUUUUCCUCUGUGUUGUUUUCCUUUUGACCACCUUCAAAAUAUUUCCAACAUUCUCCCCUUUUGGUCUAAAGGCCUAUAACUUAUGCCAUUCUUAAAGCAGAAUUAUAUAGGGAGACAAUAUGUGACAAUGGUGAUUAAAAUCCCACUGUAACACAGUUGUCCACAAUGUAUAAAACUACUUAUCAUGAUGGGAGAUGGUUGUCUUAUGACCCUCCAAGAUCACAGGCUAUCCGAUAACCCCAUGCCGGCAACAUGUUCACUGAAUAUAAUGGGAGGUAAGCCUUUUGUUAAUGGAUCCGCAAGCAUUUUCUUAGUACUUAUAUGCUCUAACUCAAUGGUGUGAUCUUGGAUUCUAUCUUUCACAACAAGAUACUUAAGUUCAAUGUGCUUUGCAGCAUCACUUGACUUGUUAUUCGAAUAGAAAAUUGCUAACUUAUUAUCGCAGUAUAAUUUCAGUGGCCUGCUUAUGCUAUCUACCACUCUUAAUCCUGGGAUGAAAUUUUUAAGCCAUACAGCUUGGCCCACAGCUUCAUAACAUGCCACAAACUCAGCUUGCAUUGUCGAUGCAGCUGUUAGUGUUUGUUUGGAGCUUUUUCACGAUGUAGCCUCAUUUGCAAGUGUGAAGCCAUAACCUGAUGUGGAUCUUCUUGUGUCAACACAACCCGCAAAAUCAGCAUCUGAAUAGCCGAUUAUCUCUAAUUUCUCAGUUCUCUUAUACGUUAGCAUGUAAUUCUUAGUGUCUUGCAUAUAACGCAAGGCCUUUCUAAUGGCCUAUUCCUGGAUUAGACUGAUAUCUUCCAAGCAUCCCGCUUAUAAAGGCCAAAUCAGGGAGUGUACACACUUGUGCAUACAUUAUGCUUCCGACAGCUGAAGCAUAAGGAAUCGUUCUCAUUUGAUCAACUUCUAAUUGAUUCCUGGGACUUUGAAAUAACCCAAACUUAUCACCCUUGACAAUCGGAGCAGCUGUGCCUGAACAUUGGCUCAUAUUAUAUCUCUCAAGGACCUUCUCUAUGUAGGCUCUUUGAGAGAGUCCUAAUACACCUUUGGACCUGUCUCGAUGAAUUUCAAUGCCUAAGACAUAAGUGGUAUCACCGAGGUCCUUCAUAUCAAAUUUCGAUGAGAGAAAUCCCUUGGUCUCAUGCAGCAAGUUCUUAUCGCUGCUUGCUAACAGGAUGUCAUCCACAUAAAGCACUAGGAUAAUUAUAGAGCUCCCCUUAGUCUUAACAUAUAUGCAGUUGUCCUUCUUAUUUUCAAUGAAGCCAAUUUGCGUAAUUACUUCAUCGAACUUAAGGUACCAUUGCCUGGACGCUUGUUCCAAUCCAUAAAUAGAUUUUCGUAGUUUGCAUCCCAAAUGUUCCCAUCACGAAACCCUCAGGUUGUUUCAUGUAUACAUUCUCAUGCAAGUCACCAUUAAGGAACGCAGUCUUAACGUCCAUCUGAUGCAGCUCAAGAUCAUAAUGAGCUACUAAGUCCAUAACGAUUCUAAAUGAAUCUUUCUUGGAGACAGGCAAGAAGGUUUUGUUAUAAUUGACUCCUUCCACUUGAGUGAAGCUGUGGCGGAUCCACUUCGGAUUAGCUAGAUUAGACAGGGUUAACUCGCCUAACAUGCGACACUCCUGCCUAAACCAGGUUAACACGAAGUGCCGUCGGAUUUCAUCCGAUUUAACCACUUAAACAGGAUCGAGUUCAGCAACUCACACAAAGGUGAGUGGUUCCAGAGAAUACAACGAGUCCACUGAGUUAAACAAGUUUACCCAUUUGGUUCGACCAUAAAAUCCAACAUCAGGGUUUUACACGGUUCAGGAGAAACAACAGAGAAAACACUAGCGGAAGACUUCGUCGGGGUCGGACAUCCCUGGUGAGGCCGACCGGGACAUCACUGGUUCCUUUCCUCGCCGUCCGAGGAAGGAUCCCACUCGACCGUCCAGCCCGGCGGGAGCUGGGGCGGCCAAGCGCCAGCAAGGGAGGGGUCGGAAGCAGCAACCUCACCUGAAAAACAGGAGCCACAACAAGGCUGAGCUACUAAGCUCAACAAGACUUAACCGAUAGGGGUAAAACUACUCCUCCUUCUAGACAUGCAGGGCUUUUUGGCUGAGGGGUUUGUUUGCCAAAAGUACUAAGUAUCCCUAUUUUCAAGUUUUAGCUCCGGUUCUAGGUUCAUUUGUCAGUCUAGGUUGUGCAACCUAUUCUAAGCAUUCAUAGAACCAAACAAGAUGUGUAGAUAUAUCCACCAAACAUGUCAUCAUCAGAUUCCUCAUUUACUCAGGGUGACACAGUGAUCAAGCAAUCUCAAACUGUGAGAGGCAGACGAAUCGAUUCGAGUUCUUUAACCAUGCAUGGUGAACCUAGCCUCACGACAUCCACGCACCCGGAGGUCGCUUCCUGUGUCGGCCUUCCCCAUCAAUCCCCUAACCCGUGUCGGGCCCAUUUCCUUUGGUGCAAGGUUCCACAGACCCGGCCUCUGCCGUUCUGUGACCACGCUUGCCACCACGUGCGACAACCAGCAGGGGAAACUCCGUUCCAAGAACAAUGGGGCGACCGCUCACGUCUAGGUUCAAUCCGGUACUAGGCUUCCUCAUCCCAUACUAAGUAUGAGGCUAGUACUUUCAAACACUUGAUCACGAACACCACCACUGUCGGGCCUUAGUAAGUUUUCAUAGACAGACGGGGCGAUCAUCCAUCCACCAAAGAGUUACCCAAAACCCUGCCCCGUCCAUCGUCCUUAUAGUUGUAACAGAAAGAUAGACAUCCAACUACUACAACUCGCGAGUGACAGGAGAUCACUCGACUUUUACCGUCUCCUAGUUAAGCAAGGCGACUACACGGUCCAACAGCUAGUGCUCAGAUCAUGGGGACAACUAAGUCAUGCAUCUAGGGUUUCACACAACUCCUAUACGUAAAUGCACAAGCAUGUUACAGAAGGCAUGCGCAAGUCUGGUAAAACACUCAAGGUUUUCAUGCAACCGGGGCUUGCCUUCAAGCAAGGAGGACGGGAACUGCUCGACUUCGGAGGCGACUUCGGCUUCGGAGGACAGGAGCUCGGCUACAGCUUCUUCUUCUGGCGCCGGGUGUAGCUCGUAGAAGCCGUCGGCGAGGUGCAGCUCUACACGAAUGCAAUGCAAGGGUUAGCAUAGACGGUUAUUUCAACAGCAACACUGACUCGCCUGAGCCCAGAAACUCGCGACAAAGAGCAGGAGGGUAUGGAGGUUCAAGAGAGCUGGUGAAGAUCAAGAGGUAAGGGUAGGAAAGGAACUUAUGAUCUGAUCCUUGAACUAGAGGAUGUGAUAUACUAGGAAGCCUCAGACGCAAGCGCUGAAGGGUUCCUACAUUUUACACAUACCCCCUCCAGUCGAAGAAAAAGAUCACAGCCGAGCCCUCGGGCGAGGCGGAUAAGGGUCGGCGGAACAGACAGGGUCGGGCGAGACGGAACCGGGGUCGGGCGAGGUGGACUGGGGUCGGCAACUCACCUUCUUCCUGAAAGGAAGGCUUAGGGUCGGGAAGAAGCAGACUUGGGCGGAGGGACUAAGGUUUUGAACAGAAGCUAAGACCGGCAAUGCUCCGGCGGCGGCGAUGCUUCUUGCGGAUCACAAGAGAGCUUUUACGCAGCACGGAGGAGCAAGCUACUGGGUGACUUGGAGAAAACUGAGAGAGAAUCCGAGAGAAGAACUCCUCAAGAACUUGGUGUGCGGCUCUAGGAGCUUGAGCAGGGAGCGAGAGAAUGGCUAAGGCGAUAAUGGUAGAGGGAACUCCGGCGACUGGGGCAUUCCUUUUAUAGCCGCUGGAACAGAGGAAAGGAAGCGGCGCGGGAGAGAGAGAAUGGGAGCGGCGCGAAGGCCGGGGAGAGGCAAUGGAGUGCUCUGCCAGGACGGCGAUUGAGCGAAGAGGGCGGUGGUGCAGAACUCCGGGGGUGACGCCAGCGAUCAUUGCGCUCUGUCGUCAGGGCGGCGUAGGAGCGGGUAGACCGGUGGUUGAGAUUUGGCGGAAAGCGGGCGUCGCCGUGCGGAAUAUUUGAUAGAAGCGACCGGUUUAACGGCGCUAGAAUCGAGGGUGCACAGGUGAGAGGACAGGCAGCUGCGGGCGCGGGCGAGAGCGCGGAACAACAGAUUGUCGGGCGGCUUCUGACAGAGCGGGGGAAAGGAGCUGUCGCGGCCGCGGUCGGGGUUGGCGGUGGAGGAAUCGUCGUGUAGCGGAGAUCGGGCGGCGCGACUGUGGUCAAAGGGAUGGAAAAGACGGGCGACAUCGGGCUCUGGGGCCGGGAUCUGGCGGCGUGAUGAUGGGCGCGGGAGGCGAGGCUCUGCAGAAAGGGGUGCAGAGGGGCUUCCGCUGCCAUUGGGGAAGGGGGCGCGAGAACCCACUUGGUCGCUUGCCAGAGACAAAACUAAGCAGCGGGCGUCGGAGAAGACGAGCCACGCGGCAGGGAGACUCUGAAGCGGGCAUGCAACUCGAGUGCGACUGUCGCGGAGGAUCUGGGAAAAGAUCUUGCGGGUCCACCGGUGGAUAGAACGGACGUUUGAGGAUGCUUAGCAGGAUCCGACGGUGGGCUGAGAUCGCCGGGGUCGGGAGAGGAGCGAAACGGGAAGGGGUCGGGUCUUCCGGGGUCGGAACCAGGCGGAAAGCUGACCACUCGGCGUGGGAAAAAGCAAGGUAGAUGACUAGGAUCAAGGGCUCUGAUCAAGACUAACUGGGAAGGUUUAGGGGUCGGUCGUUACAGCCUACCCCUCUUAAAAAGAAUCUCGUCCCGAGAUUCAGGCAUCAAAAGCAGGAUGACGUUUUUACCUCCUUGACGAGAUAGAAAACCUGGGAAGCGCUUGUUCAGAUAUUCGUCUGUUUCCCAUGUUGCUUCAUCUUCGGUGUGGUUUCUCCAGAGGAUCUUGUACAUCUUUACCACUUGGCGUUGGGUGUGCCUUUCCUUCUGGUCAAGAACUCGAUCUGGGUACUCAGCGUAGGUCAGGUCGGGCUCUACCUGAAGUUGUUCUUGCUCUAUGAUCUCUGCUGGAACUCGAACACAUUUCUUCAGUUGAGACACAUGGAAAACAUCGUGUAUGGCCGAUAGCUGUUCUGGGAGUUGGAUCCGGUAAACAACGGGUCCACAUAUCUCCACAAUCUCAUAAGGGCCAAUAUAGCGGGGAGCUAACUUGCCUUUUACUCCAAACCGUUGCACUCCUUUAGUCGGGGAGACUCGAAGGUACACAUGAUCACCAAGGUCGAACUGCAGGGGUCUCCUUCGCCGGUCAAAGUAACUCUUCUGUCGAGAUUGGGCAGCCUUGAGAUUAGCUUGAAUUAACUUUACUUGUUCUUCGGCUUCUGCCACUAAGUCAGGGCCAUAGACCUGUCUUUCUCCUGGUUGGGACCAGUUCAAGGGUGUCCUGCAUCUCCGGCCAUACAGGGCUUCGAACGGUGCCAUCUUCAAACUGGCCUGGUGACUGUUAUUGUAGGAGAAUUCUGCUAAGGGCAGACACUUGUCCCAAUUCUUGUCAUAGUGGAUAACACAAGCUCUUAACAUGUCUUCGAGGAUCUGAUUGACUAUCUCGGUUUGACCAUCGGUUUGAGGAUGAUAGGUUAAGCUUCGGAUGAGCUUAGUGCUCAUGGAUGCUUGUAGUUGCUCCUAAAAACGUGCCACAAACUGAACUCCUCGAUCAGAGAUGAUGGUCUUGGGUACACCAUGUAGGGAAAUUAUGCGAUCGAGGUACAACUCUGCAUACUGCUUGACGGUGUAGGUGGUGCGAACAGGAAGGAAGUGGGCGGUCUUGGUCAGACGGUCCACUAUAACCCAGAUGGAAUCAUAGCGUUGCGAUGUAAGGGGCAAUCCAACUAUGAAAUCCAUGCUGAUGUCUUCCCAUUUCCAAGAGGGAAUAGGUAGCGGUUGCAGGGUUCCUACUACCUUUAAAUGACUGGCCUUGACGCGUUGGCAGGUGUCACAUUCUGAAACAUACCGGGCAAUUUUCGGCUUCAUUCCACUCCACCAAAAGGUUUGACGGAGGUCAUGGUACAUCUUAUUGCUGCCAGGAUGGAUCGAGAACUUGGAGAGAUGAGCUUCAUCUAGGAUUUGCUUUCUCAGCUCGGGGUCGGCGGGUACAACUAGCCGGUUUCCAUAAUGCACACCUCCCGUUUUGUCCUGCCGGAAUUGCUUAUAUCCCUCAUCCUUUACUGAGAUCUUACUGAUGAUCCAUUGUACUUCCGUAUCUCUUACUUGUGCUGACCGGAUUUGGUCUUCCAAAACUGAGUUAAGGAUGAUGUGACCAAGGAUUCCAUGAGGAAUAAUCUCCAAACCGAGUUUUCCCAUCUCGUGACACAGAGUCUUGGUGAAGGCUGCUGACAACAAGCAGUUGCAAUGGUGUUUGCAACUGAGGGCAUCGGCUACCACAUUGGCUUUGCCGGGAUGAUAGUGCACUUCCAAUUCAUAAUCCUUUAUCAACUCCAGCCAUCUUCUCUGGCGCAUGUUGAGGUCGGCUUGAGUGAAGAUGUACUUGAGGCUCUUGUGGUCGGUGUAGAUGUUGCAGCGAGCUCCCAUUAGAUAGUGCCUCCAUAUCUUCAAAGCAUGUAUCACUGCUGCCAACUCAAGGUCAUGGGUUGGGUAGCUUAGCUCAUGAGGUCGUAACGCCCGUGAGGCAUAGGCAAUGACUCGAUUGUCUUGCAUAAGAACACAUCCGAGUCCAGUGCCAGAGGCGUCACAGUAUACGUCAUACGGCCUAGAGGGGUCGGGCUGAGCCAAAACUGGGGCUGUGGUCAGCAAGUGCUUCAGGGUCUUGAAGGUCUCUUCACACUUGUUGUCCCACACAAAUUUGGCCUCCUUCUUCAACAACGCAGUCAUCGGCUUAGCUAUCUUAGAGAAAUUCGGUAUGAAACGCCGAUAGUAGCCAGCCAGUCAAGAAAACUUCUGAUCUGGUGCACUGAGGCAGGAGGCUUCCAUUCCAUGACUUCGUGCACCUUACUGGGGUCAACGGUGAUACCUUCCUUGGAGAUAGUGUGUCCCAAGAACUUGACACUAUCCAGCCAGAACUCACACUUGGAGAACUUGGCGUAGAGUUGGUGAUCUCUUAGCCGUUGGAGAACUAUAUGAAGAUGGUCGGCAUGCUCUUCUUCGCUCUUUGAGUACACGAGGAUAUCAUCGAUAAACACCACCACAAACUUGUCCAGCUCGGGCAUGAACACCGAGUUCAUGAGGUACAUGAAAUAGGCGGGUGCAUUGGUGAGUCCAAAGGACAUGACUAGGUACUCGUACAGUCCAUAUCUGGUAGAGAAAGCUGUCUUGGGUAUGUCGCAGGGUCGAAUCUUUAUUUGGUGAUAACCAGAACGAAGAUCGAUCUUGGAGAACACUUUUGCUCCAGCUAGCUGAUCGAACAAGACAUCAAUGCGUGGCAGUGGGUACUUGUUCUUGACUGUCACGGCAUUGAGGGGUCGGUAAUCCACACACAUACGUAGACUGCCAUCCUUCUUCUUCACAAAUAGGGCAGGGCAACCCCAAGAUGAUGUACUGGGUCGGAUGAAGCCUUUUUCCAACAGAUCAUGCAACUGGGUCUUCAGCUCGGCUAACUCAGCGGGUGGCAUCCGAUAGGGUCUCUUAGAUAUAGGGGUUGUGCCAGGGAUUAACUCUAUGGAAAACUCCACUUCUCUAUCAGGUGGCAUACCUGGCAGGUCCUCCGGAAACACAUCAGGGUACUCACAGAUAACAGGGAGGUCUUCUGGACGGGCUCCCGAUAGAGGGUAGGCACAAGGAAACGCAGACUCAGGAUGGGUCAAGGAUAGGGUAGAAUUGCCAUGGGAGGGUGAGCUGAUGCAGAGAGAUUGGGCUACUGCAUCUAGAACCACAUGAUGUCGGGCCAUCCAAUCCAUACCAAGGAUGACAUCUAUGCCUUCUAGGUCAAGGAUGAUAAGGUUUUCCUUGAAGAGGGUGGGGCCUAGCUGGAGAGGUACAAGAAUAACAACCUGAUCCGAUGUUAUCCUUCCUCCAGGAGUGGCGAUCACAUAAGGUUCCUUAGUGUGACCGACACUUAGCCCACAUCUUUCCCUAGACUUACUCCCAAUAAAGCUAUGAGAGGCUCCCGAAUCAAACAACACAACAACAGCUUGAUUUAAAACAAGGAAAGUACCCAUCAUUACUGGCGCACCUUCGGGGAGCUCGGUCAAGCUGGUGUAGUUGAGUCGGCCUUGUCGGACUUGUACCUUGGGCCUUCUUCCUCUGGCUGCCAUGGUGUUCUGACCUUGCUGUUGAUUCUUGUUCCUGGGGCAGUCCUUUGCAAAAUGCCCUUCAUUGCCGCAGGUAAAACAACGGUUACUGGCUGUAGGGUGGGGUGGUGUUGGCAGGGUCGGCCGGGGCACUUGCGGUUGGAAGCCUAGAAAACGAGGCGCUGUCACUGGCGGGGGUCGGGCAAUCCAUGUCCCUGACUGCUGGGGUCGGCCAGGGGCUUGUGGAGGAACCAUCCGGAACCUUCGAGUCGGCUGACUCGGGAAUGCCACAGAGGCCUUCCUCUUCUGGUCGGCCUUGAGAGCUUGCAUGCAGUCCUCCUGAGAAAUGGCCAGAUUGACCAACUCAUUGUAGGUGUCCACCUUGAUGGGGUUCAACCUUUCCCUGAGCUCCAAGCUCAGUCCUCGGCGGAAUCUGUCCCGCUUCUUCUCGUCUGUGUCCGCAUGAUAGCCAGCAUAACGGCACAGGUCAUUGAAAGCUUGAGCGUAAUGCAGCACAUCUCGGGUUCCUUGAGUGAGGGCCAGAAACUCGUUGAGCUUGCGCUCCAGGAGACCUUCUGGAAUGUAAUGCGCCUUGAACGCCGUCUUGAACUCAUUCCAACUGACCACGUGGCCAACCGGCAGCAUGGCAUGGUAGUGAUCCCACCAAAGCCGUGCGGAGCCACGCAGCUGCUGGGCUGCAAACCGAGCCUUGUUGUUGUCGGGGCAUGGAGCGGUGAGAAGCUCAAACUUGAAUUCGAUCGUACGAACCCAAGCGUCAGCAUCGAGCGGUUCUUGUGUCUUUUGGAACAGAGGGGGCUGUGUCCCCAGAAAGUCCUCAUACCGAGCGAUAUGCGGCGGCUGCUGGGCUCUCCCACCAUGUGGCUGCUGCUGUUGCCCUUACACCAGGUGCCUUAGCAGCUCAGUUUGAGGUGCUAGGAUUGCCUCCAAUGGCGAUGGGGGCGGGGGCGGGGGAAGAUCCUGUCGCUGAUCGCUACCGCUGGGCACAGAACCAGACCUAGUGCGAUGCGCCAUCUGCAAGAGUUAACGCUCCAUUAAACUCAUAACCUUAGAGGGACUCCAACAAAUGGAACGUAUAAAUUAAAUCCUUCAAUGCGACUCUUGCCAUUGGUGCAACACACGUCCUCAUAGAGAAAACACACUUUUCUCGUUCUCAGAGUAGAUAACAUCUAUCUUGACCUGGCACUCAAUCUUCAGGCAAAACAGGUCAUAUACAGACUCCUAUGAUCCAACUCAAGCCAAGGGGUCGGCUAGGCGAUCCUUCCGAGAGAACAAGGGGUCGGCAACGAUCCCUACUUAAAAGGUCGGACGGGGCAGAAACUGCAUCAAGGGUCGGCGCACUCUGUCUCGCAAACUGGGGUCAGCCAACUAAACAGGCUCCCCGAAAAACAGCAUAUGGUCAUGGCGCAACUUACUUAACCUAGCAUCCACACCAUACAAAGAUGAAAAAGCUAGGCACCAGAAUUAACUUUAUAUACCAUGAUGUUCCAACACAGGGAGUACUCAACUCUAGGCUAACCUAUUACAACUUUUUCCAAAAAUCUAGGCUGCUGAGGAGUACAACAAAAAGAUGGUUCCCUGAGAACCCUUAAUCUACCAAUGGACACUAUGAGUCGGAGAAGGGGUGCCAUCUUCCUCUAUAUCCAUGCUGGACGCUCCCUCAUCUUCCUCAGGGUCCUCCUGAGCUUCGAGCUGCAUGUUGAGGGCAUGCAUAUCUUCGAGCUCAGCUUGAUGCUCCUCCAAAUGGGCAUUGGCAACUGCCAACUCCAUUUCCACCUCCAUCUUCUCCUCCGAGAGCUCUAUCAUGCCGUCCACGAGGUCGGCGACUUCUUCCUCAAGCUCGGAGAUCCGGUCUUGCAUAUCGUGGAUCUGGAUACCCCGUUGAAUCAGCUGGUAGGUUUAGCCUACCAUAUCUCUUCUUGUUGCCUGGAGGUACUCGUGAGUAUCUGCUGCCGUCCGGGCGAAGAGGGUCAUGGCUCUCCCCUGAAGCUCUAUCAACUGGUAGAGAGCGGCCAUGCACCUAAUGUUGGUGGAGAUGGUGACCAUGGCGCAGGUGGUGGCUAGCACUUCGAUGUUCCCGACGCGGUCAAGCCAUGCCAGGUCCAGCCGGUUUCUGAUGGGGAAGAGGCCGAUCGGGUCAAGCGUGAUCUUCACGGGAUGCAGCUGACAGAACUGGGUGAGCAACUGGAGGGCGGCGAACUCCCAUGUAUCUUCAGGACCAAGGCCAUAGGCUAUGAUGCCAAAAGAGGGCCAGUCGGGCCGUACAGGGGGAGGAGGUACCACCGCCUGCACUUGGCACGUCUGAAUACCCUGUUCCUGAUAUAGCCGUCCGGCAUACAAGGGUGGGGACUGGUACCCAAACCACUUCAACGUAUCCCACAAAAUCGCAGGGAAUCCCUCGAAAUGCAGGCACGUCGAUUGGAAUGUACCGUCCGCUCCAAAAAGAACGUGCCCGGGAAUAGCCAUCUGGAACCAAGAAACCGAAACCACGUGAGAUAGACUCUAAGGAUCAGGGGUCGGAUAGAGAAGCAUACUGUUUUGAUCGAGAGCAACUAAAAGAAACAAGAAAUCCUUAGAUCCAAGAGAACUCUUCCGAACAAGGUUGCUGUUGAGAAAGGAAACCGUACAACUUUUAGAGAUGACGCAUGCACGGCCUACCUUACUCUUAACCAAAAACAACUGCCCAAAAACUGUGGGUCUUACGCGGUCAGUGCCGGUGACAAGGCAACAAAUACGUCUCUCCCUAUAAUAACUAGUCGGUUCUACAACGUAUCUUAAACGAACGCGGUUAGCGUACCUGCAGAAAAACACCACACACGAACCUUUCGUGCCAGCACCCACGAAAGCGUUCCCAAACAUUACCGCUCACUAUAGGAACGGCACCCAUGCGUUUAAGGCUACAUGGACAGCACUCAACCGUGGAAAUAGGUUCCUUUUGAAUGGAACCAUAUAACCCUUCGCAUACUCGUGAUGCGGAAUCGGCACACGUAUGACAAACGUGGCGAAACAAUCAUGCUGAUAGGUUCGUUGGAAUCGAACCGUACCAACCUUCGUAUGGACCACAUACGGAACCUGCGCACGUGUGAUAGACAUGGGCGAAAACAACCGCGAAGAUAGGGUCCUUUGAAUGGAACUCCCUAUCAACCCUCGCAUGCUCGCGAUGCGGAACUCGGCACACGUAUGACAGACGUGGUGAUGUGCUGGAGGAGUUAGCAAGAUAACCAAGUAAUUAUUAGUCACCUAAAACAACCCCAAAAUCCCCUAGGGCCUCUCGUACUAAAGCCAUCCUUAACGAUCGUACGAGAUUUUUCAAAAGUUUCUUGCAACUUUUAGCUUUUCAAAGAAGUGUUUAGGGCUUGUUGGGUUCUCUGAAAUGCUAAACACGGCUCUGAUACCAGCUGUGGUGGAUCCACUUCGGAUUAGCUAGAUUAGACAGGGUUAAGUCGCCUAACAUGCGACACUCCUACCUAAACCAGGUUAACACGAAGUGCCGUCGGAUUUCAUCCAAUUUAACCACUUAAACAGGAUCGAGUUCAGCAACUCACACGAAGAUGAGUGGUUCCAGAGAAUACAACGAGUCCACUGAGUUAAACAAGUUUACCCAUUUGGUUCGACCAUAAAAUCCAACAUCAGGGUUUUACACGGUUCAGGAGAAACAACAGAGAAAACACUAGCGGAAGACUUCGUCGGGGUCGGACAUCCCUGGUGAGGCCGACCGGGACAUCACUGGUUCCUUUCCUCGCCGUCCGAGGAGGAUCCCACUCGACCAUCCAGCCCGGUGGGAGCUGGGGCGGCCAAGCGCCAGCAAGGGAGGGGUCGGAAGCAGCAACCUCACCUGAAAAACAGGAGCCACAACAAGGCUGAGCUACUAAGCUCAACAAGACUUAACCGAUAGGGGUAAAACUACUCCUCCUUCUAGACAUGCAGGGCUUUUUGGCUGAGGGGUUUGUUUGCCAAAAGCACUAAGUAUCCCUAUUUUCAAGUUUUAGCUCCAGUUCUAGGUUCAUUUGUCAGUCUAGGUUGUGCAACCUAUUCUAAGCAUUCAGAGAACCAAACAAGAUGUGUAGAUAUAUCCACCAAACAUGUCAUCAUCAGAUUCCUCAUUUACUCAGGGUGACACAGCGAUCAAGCAAUCGCAAACUGUGAGAGGCAGACGAAUCGAUUCGAGUUCUUUAACCAUCCAUGGUGAACCUAGCCUCACGACAUCCGCGCACCCGGAGGUCGCUUCCUGUGUCGGCCUUCCCCAUCAAUCCCCUAACCCGUGUCGGGCCCAUUUCCUUUGGUGCAAGGUUCCACGGACCCGGCCUCUGCCGUUCUGUGACCACGCUUGCCACCACGUGCGACAACCAGCAGGGGAAACUCCGUUCCAAGAACAAUGGGGCGACCGCUCACGUCUAGGUUCAAUCCGGUACUAGGCUUCCUCAUCCCAUACUAAGUAUGAGGCUAGUACUUUCAAACACUUGAUCACGAACACCACCACUGUCGGGCCUUAGCAAGUUUUCAUAGAUAGACGGAGCGAUCAUCCAUCCACCAAAGAGUUACCCAAAACCCUGCCCCGUCCAUCGUCCUUAUAGUUGUAACAGAAAGAUAGACAUCCAACUACUACAACUCGCGAGUGACAGGAGAUCACUCGACUUUUACCGUCUCCUAGUUAAGCAAGGCGACUACACGGUCCAACAGCUAGUGCUCAGAUCAUGGGGACAACUAAGUCAUGCAUCUAGGGUUUCACACAACUCCUAUACGUAAAUGCACAAGCAUGUUACAGAAGGCAUGCGCAAGUCUGGUAAAACACUCAAGGUUUUCAUGCAACCGGGGCUUGCCUUCAAGCAAGGAGGACAGGAACUGCUCGACUUCGGAGGCGACUUCGGCUUCGGAGGACAGGAGCUCGGCUACAGCUUCUUCUUCUGGCGCCGGGUGUAGCUCGUAGAAGCCGUCGGCGAGGUGCAGCUCUACACGAAUGCAAUGCAAGGGUUAGCAUAGACGGUUAUUUCAACAGCAACACUGACUCGCCUGAGCCCAGAAACUCGCGACAAAGAGCAGGAGGGUAUGGAGGUUCAAGAGAGCUGGUGAAGAUCAAGAGGUAAGGGUAGGAAAGGAACUUAUGAUCUGAUCCUUGAACUAGAGGAUGUGAUAUACUAGGAAGCCUCAGACGCAAGCGCUGAAGGGUUCUUACAUUUUACACAUACCCCCUCCGGUCGAAGAAAAAGAUCACAGCCGAGCCCUCGGGCGAGGCGGAUAAGGGUCGGCGGAAAAGACAGGGUCGGGCGAGACGGAACCGGGGUCGGGCGAGGUGGACUGGGGUCGGCAACUCACCUUCUUCCUGAAAGGAAGGCUUAGGGUCGGGAAGAAGCAGACUUGGGCGGAGGGACUAAGGUUUUGAACAAAAGCUAAGACCGGCAAUGCUCCGGCGGCGGCGAUGCUUCUUGCGGAUCACAAGAGAGCUUUUACGCAGCAUGGAGGAGCAAGCUGCUGGUGACUUGGAGAAAACUGAGAGAGAAUCCGAGAGAAGAACUCCUCAAGAACUUGGUGUGCGGCUCUAGGAGCUUGAGCAGGGAGCGAGAGAAUGGCUAAGGCGACAAUGGCGGAGGGAACUCCGGCGACUGGGGCAUUCCUUUUAUAGCCGCUGGAACAGAGGAAAGGAAGCGGCGUGGGAGAGAGAGAAGGGGAGCGGCGCGAAGGCCGGGGAGAGGCAAUGGAGUGCUCUGCCGGGGCGGCGAUUGAGUGAAGAGGGCGGUGGUGCAGAACUCCGGGGGUGACGCCAGCGAUCAUUGCGCUCUGUCGUCAGGGCGGCGUAGGAGCGGGUAGACCGAUGGUUGAGAUUUGGCGGAAAGCGGGCGUCGCCGUGCGGAAUAUUUGAUAGAAGCGUCCGGUUUAACGGCGCUAGAAUCGAGGACGCACAGGUGAGAGGACAGGCAGCUGCGGGCGCGGGCGAGAGCGCGGAACAACAGAUUGUCGGGCGACUUCUGACAGAGCGGGGGAAAGGAGCUGUCGCGGCCGCGGUCGGGGUUGGCGGUGGAGGAAUCGUCGUGUAGCGGAGAUCGGGCGGCGCGACUGUGGUGGAAGGGACGGAAAAGAUGGGCGACAUCGGGCUCUGGGGCCGGGAUCUGGCGGUGUGAUGAUGGGCGCGGGAGGCGAGGCUCUGCAGAAAGGGGUGCAGAGGGGCUUCCGCUGCCAUUGGGGAAGGGGGCGCGAGAACCCACUUGAUCGCUUGCCAGAGACAAAACUAAGCAGCGGGCGUCGGAGAAGACGAGCCACGCGGCAGGGAGACUCUGAAGCGGGCAUGCAACUCGAGUGCGACUGUCGGGGAGGAUCUGGGAAAAGAUCUUGCGGGUCCACCGGUGGAUAGAACGGACGUUUGAGGAUGCUUAGCAGGAUCCGACGGUGGGCUGAGAUCGCCGGGGUCGGGAGAGGAGCGAAACGGGAAGGGGUCGGGUCUUCCGGGGUCGGAACCAGGCGGAAAGCUGAGCACUCGGCGCGGGAAAAAGCAAGGUAGAUGACUAGGAUCAAGGGCUCUGAUCAAGACUAACUGGGAAGGUUUAGGGGUCGGUCGUUACAGAAGCCCUUAGCUACGAGUCUUGCUUUAAACCCUUCGAUCUUCCCUUUAGAGUCAUAUUUCAUCUUGUAGACCCAUUUGCAGCCUACUGUUUUGGCUCCUUGAGGAAUCUCUACUAAGUCCCAUACUCUAUUUGUUUCCAUGGAUUUUAACUCUUCUUCCAUGGCCUCGCACCACUUAUGCGAGUGCUCACUUUCUAUGGCCUUCUUAAAUGAGUUUGGGUCAUCCACCCUUCCCAUGUCGUGUACUUCUUCACUUGUGUACACAUACUCAUCGGAAAGGUUGGACUUCCUCUCACGUGUUGACCUUCUCAGAGGUUGUGGUGCUACUGCUUGUGGUGCUUCUUCUUGAGAAGAUUCCUGCUGAACUACCUCGGGCUCAUCAGUUGCCUCCCCUUGCAAUCCACCAGCAGGUUCUGCCACAUCUUCACUUUGAUGCUCACUUAUCACAGGUGCAUCUACAUUUUCGCUUAAGGUAGGUGUUACCUCCCCAUGCAUUACUGGAGGUUCCACAACCUGAGAUGUAACUGUGGUAUGUGGCAUAGGAGCAUAAUAAUCCUGUCUUAUGGGUAACGGCUCAUAAGUCCGAAUCUCCUCAAGAUCAAUUUUUCUAGCCUCAAUGCAUCCAGUUUCCUCUAAGAAGACAGCAUGCCUCAUCUCCACAAACUUAGUGGUACGCUUAGGACAAUAAAAGCGGUACCCCUUUGACUUUUCCAGAUAUCCAAUAAAGUAGCAACUUUCAGUCUUAGAGUCUAAUUUUCCAAGUUGUGGAUUGAAUAUCUUAGCUUCAGCUGCACAACCCCAGACAUGUAAGUAAUUCAUGUUGGGCUUCCUACCAGUCCAAAGCUCAUAGGGAGUCUUAGGGACUGACUUACUAGGAACAUGAUUAUUAAUGUGUGCGGCAGUCUUUAAAGCUUCCAUCCACAAACUCACUGGCAGCGUAGAGUUACUGAGCAUACUACGCACCAUGUUCAUAAGGGUACGAUUUCUUCUCUCAGCAACACCAUUUUGCUAAGGCUCACCAGGAGUGGAAUAUUGAGAUGCUAUACCAUUAUCUUGGAGAAAUCUGGCAAAGGGUCCCAGAACUUGUCCAUAUGUGGAGUGUUUUCCAUAAUACUCCCCUCCCCUAUCUAAUCUUACCACUUUGAUCUUUAAGUCAUGGUGAUUUUCUACUUCAGCUUUAAAGAUUUUAAACUUAUCAAGUGCUUCAGACUUUUCGCGUAUGGGGUAAAUGUAUCCAUAGCGGGAGAAAUCAUCAGUGAAGGCAAUGAAGUAAUUAUAACCAUCCACUGAUCUUACAUUAAAUGGACCGCAUAUAUCAGUAUGAAUUAUUUCUAAUAAUCCUGAACUGCGCUUAGCUCCAUCCUUCUUAAUCUGCUUUGCAAAUUUUCCCUUAAUGCAAUCAACACAUUGAUCUAAGUCAGAGAAAUCUAAUUUUGGAAGUAUCUCUUCUCUAAUGAGACGCUCCAUCCUCCCCUUCGAAAUGUGGCCUAAGCGGAAGUGCCACAAUUUCGAUGAAGUCUCAGUGGUUCUCUUAUGCUUAUGGUUGACAUCGCUUACAUUCAUCACAGAGAUAUUAACACUUAGAGGUAAUAAGUAAAGCUUGUCAUGCAAAGGGGCAUGACCAAUAAUCUGAUUAUUAAAACUUAUUACACACUGAUUGUUUCCAAAAUUGCAAGAAUAUCCAUCACAAUCUAAUGCUGAAACUGAAAUCAAGUUCCUCUUAAGUGACGGUACAUAAAGGACAUUACUUAAAUGAAGCAUAAAGUUAUUGCUAAGUUCUAUAGAGAGAUCUCCAAUAGCCUCAACUUCAGCUUCAAGCCCAUUUGCAACUUUAACGGUGCGAGUCUCCCUUCUUAUAGUCCGCGCGCCAUGUAAUUCCUGUGAGGAAUUAGUAACAUGAAUGGUAGCCCCAGAGUCAAUCCACCAUGAACUUAAUGGAAAAUUUACAUAAAAAGAUUCAUCGAUUAUAGAAAUCAAGUCAUCAUUACCAUUCUUGAUGCAUCAUUCCUUGAACUGAGCACAAUGCUUCUUAAUAUGUCCAUAAUCCUUGCAGUGAUGGCAUCUAGGACCCUUAGACGAGGAUGACCCAUCAUUCUUAGGAGGAGGAGGUUGAUUAGGUUUCUUAUUUUUCUUAAUUUUCUUAAAAGGGGAGAUUUGCUUAUUCUUGCCUUUAUUCACCUCAUGCCUGAUGAGGUUGGCAAAAUCGUCCUUCUCUUAUCUGAGCCUUUCUUCCUCCUAAGAACACUUCGCGAUGAGUGUGGGAAUAUCCCACUUCGCGUCACUACCAUUAUAGUUUAUCUUAAAGGGUUCAAACACUGAAGGCAACGAGAGCAUGAUGUGAUGAAGCAGUGUCUCAUCAUUAAGGGAGCAAUUCAAGUCGUUGAGCUUAUCCCUUAGGUCAACGAGACUCAUGAUAUUCUCCCUAACACUGCCUUGUCCAUCAUACUUGGUGUUCAUUAGCUUUGUCAGGAGGGUGCUAGCAUUAGCCUUACUGGAGCCUUUGAAGUACUCCUCAACCUUCUCCAUGAAAUGUUUGGCACUUUUGGGAUGUUUCUCAAUGGCUUCCCUUAUUGCCGGGUUUAUCGUCUGCUUCAUGAUCAUUAGGGCUACCCUGUCUGAUCGCUCCCACCGCUCCUUUUCCUUCUCAUAGGUAGCAGUGCGCUCAGGGAGGGUGGUGUCAUUAUCCCCUUGAGCAGUAGGAGCAACAGGAUACUUAUCCCUCAUGGAGUGGUCCCUGUCCAUGAUGCAAAGGACCAACCCAAUAUCAUUCUUCCAGUUGGUAAAGUUAUCUCCCCCAAGCUUCUGUAUGCCGUUAACAUAGCUUAUGACGCUUGAUAGAGUCAAGUCUGAGGGAAAUAAAAGAAUCUUAAUUAGUGAUGAUGACAAUAGUAAAUAACAAAUUCAAUUUGCGUUGGCUCGAUUAAAGACGUAAGCAACUUUGCAUCACUGUUGGGCAGAAGCAAAGACAUAAUUAAAAUGACAUGAAAUAAUUUUGCAUCACUGUUGGGCAGAAGCAAAAAUAUUGAAGAUAAUAAAAACACUUAGGCAUGUCAAAUUAAUAUCAACAUUGGUUAGAAAUUAAUUGCGUGCCUCAUAAAAUAGUUCUGAAAUAAAUGCCGCGUUGGUUCAAUUUAAUCAGAACUUCAUCACUUAGCGCAUUGGCCUGCCAGCGGCGCGGCCAACGGUCCGUGCGAGCAGCCUGAGUGCGCACGGCAGCCUGCGAGCGGAGCAAAAUGGCCCAGCGCGCGGCGGCGAAACAACGACCCUGCUGAAGGCCCCUGAAUCGGCACGCGCAAGCAGCGCACGAGAAAACAGCCCAGCUCGGACUAAACUUACGGCCCGGUCCGCACGCGGCUAACGUAUGCAGCGGCCCGCAUAAAAACUCAGCAACGAAAACGGCCCAACUUACGGCCUAAGGGGGUGUUUGGAUACGAGGUACUAAACUUUAGGAGUGUCACAUCGGAUGUUCGGACGUUAAUUAGGAGGAUCAAACAUGAGCUAAUUAUAAAACUAAUUGCAGAACCUCUAUACUAAUUAGCGAGAUGAAUCCAUUAAGCCUAAUUAAUCCAUGAUUAGCAACUGGUUACUGUAGCACCACAUUGUCAAAUCAUGGACUAAUUAGACUUAAUAGAUUCAUCUCGCGAAUUAGACUCCAUCUAUGCAAUUAGUUUAAUAAUUAGAUUAUAUUUAAUAUUUCUAAUUAGUAUCUAAACAUCCGAUGUGACGUGUCCUAAAGUUUAGGAGGUGUUUCCCAAACACCCCCUAAACUAGGUUCCCGCGCUGGCCUGGGUUCUAAGCCCAGCAGCCAAUGGUUGGGCUACCAUUUCAGCCCAGCUACCUCCCCGCGGCGAUCUUCACCGUUCCUGAGAUCCAACGGUGGCGCGCACGUCUCGGUCGAUCAAAACGCGCGCCGGCCGGCUCCAGGGAAACCCUAGGCCAUUCGCCUUCUCCCGUAGCCGCAGCCGUUCUUCUCCCGCAACACCUGCCUUCCUCCCCUCUUCUCCGUCUCCGCAUCUCCCCGAUCCCGAGCGCCCGCCGCCGGUGAGCCACGCCGCCACCUUGCCUCAGCGCCUCCGCGGGCCCUCCCGCCGGCAUGGGCGUGCGACCAAGUCGCGCGGCAUGCCGUCGGGGGCUCCGCUGGAGCGUUUUCUCCAAGGCAGCGGGUGCCUGAGCACACGGCGCGGCCGGCCGACGACCGGCGACGGCGAGCCUGAGCUGAAGCUCGCCGAGGUGUUUUCGGCUUCGGUUGCGGCGGAUCUGACGCCGCAGUUCGGUCACGGUGAGUAGACCAAGACGCACCCGUGCCCACGCCACGACCAAGUCAUGUGCGCGCUGAUGGCCGGUGCGGUUCGGCGGAGAGGCACGUCGGCGUCCAUGCGGACCGGCCAUGAUGCCACGCGCGGCCGUCGUGCUCUGAGGUAAGUGCUUAUCCUCGGGUUAGGGGGUUUAGGGUUAGGGUUCUGAUGGGGAUUUCGGCCUUUCUUAACUUGUGAUCUCAUCGAUUCGAUCUCCCCUCCUUCUAAAUGCUGAUGCGCGUCUUAAUUUUGACACUGUGAGUUCUAAUCGCGCGGGGUAAAGCUUAACAGUGAGAUUUUGGGGACGAAUCUAUAGACGAGUCAACCCUAAUCGCUUAAUUAGGACUCCAUUAGGAUCUGAUCUGCUAACUUGUGCAUGAAGUCGAACUUAAAUAACUUGAUUAACCUUGAUUCUAGGCAUGAUGUGUACCUAUAUUGACCUUAGGUGACUUAACAGAUCAAUAUUUAGACUAAAACUUGACCUGACAUGCACUAGAAAAAAGGGAUCUACUCGACUAGAGACACAUGCAAUCCUUACUCAGGGACUUAAAGGGCUUGGAUUCACAUCAAAAACUAGUCGGCGAGGCUAAUUGUGACUUAAACAUGAGCUUUAAAUUUAAACAUGAGCACAAUUAGGCACAAAAUCUCACUGACUAGUUCAAGAAAGGUACUGUGUAGAUCAAGAACAUGACUGACAGUACAACAACAACUCAAUUGCACACUAAGAUCCAAUCUGCACAGCCUUAGGGUUCAAUUCUAGAUGCGUAGGCUAACUAAUACCAAAUGUAGGGAACUACAUUACUCAGUCUUAAUCUAAACAGGAUCUUAUGCAUCUAAGAACAUGAACACCACUUAGAGUAGAGAUGAGACAUCCAACCGGCAGCCAUAGUUUGCGACGAUCCGGCCAUGAUUGUCGUGGACGAGGCCGGGAUGGGAUCUGCCGUAGGUGUGCUCGCCGUAGGUGUACAAGCUUGACGUAGAUCAUGCCUGCCUUCGGGCCUCCACCUCGUCUGUCCAGGGACGGCGAUGGUGGUGUUGCGGUAGCCUUAGGGCGAUUCCAGCGCUGCCACGAUCGGGUUGGCGUGUGGGGGGAGUUCUCUGGAGGUUUUGGUGCGUUAGCAGUCAACCCAAAACCCGCCGCCGGCUCCCCCUUUUCUUAUAGCGCAGGGUCGCUCGGGGCCACAACCAUAGUUCGGUUGCGCCUCCGAUCGAGGCGCGAGGUGGACCUUCACGAGGGAAACGUAGUCGGCGUCACCUUAUCCCACCUGUUUUUCCUCUCUGUUAGUUUUCCUUUUGACCACCUUCAAAAUAUUUCCAACAAAAAGGUCUUGAUUAUUGGAAGAACCCUACGCUACAAGAUUUAAGAAGCUGGAUAGAACUAUGGGUGAUCUGGAGAUGUUUGAGUGGUAUCUUAUUCCCACUUUAGACUAAAACGAAAAAAAUUGUGACAGAACUAUAAGUUUAAGGCCCUCUUUGAAAAAAAGAAAAAUCAUAAGAACUUUGAAGGAUCCCAUUCCUAUAAGAAAAUUUUCUAGGUAGCCUUUUGGAACGACGCACCCUGUUAAAUUCCUUAGGAUAUCUACGUAAUACAUGAAUCUAUAGAAAUUUAGAGAAAAACUAACAUGAAGUUGGACCUCAUGAAAAUUUUUACUUUGUGCCUAUCUCUCUCUUCAAAAUCUGAUGUUUAUUUCCUGCGUUGUAUCCACAUGCUCCUUUAAACAUUUUCUCGUGAUUUCUUUUUUUUUUUUGAAACGCACGAAGGAGAUGCUCACAUGCACGCGCACACCCCCAUGAAUACACAUACCCUACCUUUAUGAGCACUGACGAGAGAAUGAGCCGGCUGAUCUCAACUCGAGAUUGACGAAGCCUCUAUACGCCUCGUUGAUCUACCAUUGAAAAAAUAACGUUAGUUAAAUCCUAAAAUAAAUCGAAAAAAUAUAAGCACUGUACACAGAAGCAAGCUAUCAACGAGCAUCUCACCUAAUAUAGAAAGAACCUAAUAUAGAAAGAAUAACGCCAGUUAAAUUUUAUAUCUGGGUGGAUUAGAUUAGAAACUAAAGAUCCUACAUGAAUUCUAACUCAUUUUAUAUCUGGAUGGAUUAGAUUAGAAACUAAAGAUCCUACAUGAAUUCAAAAGUUAGAGAUCCACCAAAAAAAACAUAAUACUUUGUGUGUACAUACAUUUAUCUUCAAGAAGUGCUUGUAGUACAAUUUAUUUUCAAACCUUCCUAACUAGUAUGUCGUAAUAGAUAAUACUUUAUGAAAUUCCAGCGAAGAUCGACAGAAUUAUUAGUGCCCAUGUCUCCGGGCCACCGAUCUUCACGGGUUCUGUUGUGUAGCUGAUCCCGAAACAAAGCCAAGCCAAGAUGGUGGGAGAUGUUCGAUAAUGAACCCUGAACAUGUCAGAGUUGGUUGGCAGUGUUGUCAGAGUUGGUUGGCAGUGUGGUUACUACUGGUUAGCUGGCAGCUGGGUUUCCUUUCGAGUGAAACUCAUCGAGUUCAAGUUUCUAACUUAGGGGUGUUUUUAUUACGGUCACAUCGGAUGUCGAUGCUAAUUAAAAGGAUUAAAUAUGAGUUAAUUACAAAUCUAAUUGCACAGAUGGAGUUUAAUUCGCGAGACGAAUCUGUUAAGGCUAAUUAAUCCAUCACUAGCAAAUGGUUACUGUAGCACCACAUUGUCAAAUCAUAGACUAAUUAGGCUUAAUAGAUUCGUCUCACGAAUUAGAUUUCAUAUGUGCAGUUAGUUUUUGUAAUUAGAUUAUGUUUAAUAUUCCUAAUUAGUAUCAAACAUCCAAGGUGACAAGCGCUAAAGUUUAGCAUGAGGUUUCCAGACACCCUCUUAGUAGGAGUAUGUUUUUUUUUGCAACGAAAUGAGAGAUUUAUUGAAGCUUAUACAAAGGCAUUACAAACUAGCACACGGAUAAAGUCUGGAGCAUCAACAAAAUACAUACGACUCUACCUCAGUCUAGUUGCAAUGCAAGAUGUGCCAACUCGUGCAUGUGGCUAUGUCCGCCGUCCGCGGCACGAUCGUGUAUCGACGGGUGAUUCUCGACAUCUGCUGUGUAUGUGUGCGGUGAUCUGCCGAAGGCAGACGUUAGCCUUUAAAAAGAGGGGAGUGUAAUACCCAGCUCAAUAUACAACUGUAGUUGAAAUUGGUUGUCCUUUCAAAUAUAUAUCUUCAGAUUAAUCUUUUUACAUGAAAUGAGAACAAAAGUAUAAGAUGAGUGCUAUACAUUUGCGGGUUCCUUUCACAUAAGGAGCUCACAGGUUUUGAAGCUGAACUAAUCGAUAUAGUUUGACGAAGUAAAUUGAGCCUAAAUUGUAUUCAGGAGAUAAACCGACAAAGUGGCAUGGUAUGUAGUUAUAUAUUUUUUUCCAAAUAAAAUAAUAGAUUACUUUCAUUCACCACGUUUUUUUCGAACCACAAUAAAGACAAAACGCUCACAUACGUACGUGCACACUUAACUCAUAAAUAUACUUAACUCAUAAAUAUACGCACGCAACUUUAUUAUGGAGCCGGCAGAUCCUUUAGAUUGAUGAACCACCACUGGUGCCUUGUCAGGCACGUUGCUUACGUGAGUAAAUGUGAGCACCCAUGCUAAAUCGAGGACUCAAAUCUCGAUAAGUAAACUCAAAUCUCGAUAAGUAAAUUCCACCACAAGAGUGCUAGAAGCACUAGGCUCACAAGUGUUCAUACCAUAAGUAGGGCUAUGAACAACCAAAAGCCUAGAAGUAUAAGCUCGCUGCUUUUGUAUUGCACGGUGAUAGCAAAAAGUCUCUUGAUGCCCAUCUUUCUCACAAUAAGAGCAAUGGUACAAAGGCCUAUUUGGAGGUACGGUUCGAGAGGACAAAUUACCAUUCUCAUUCAAGUGAGAUGUUUCUUGGGAUUUAGAGCAAGAAGUAUCAACAACACCAUUUGAUUUGGUACCCACAUUUGGAUCACACGUGCCAUGGGAAAGGCUACGUGGCUUCCUAAAAGCUUUGGCACGCACACAUCUCUCAUGCUUGACACGGCAAAAGCUCGGUGUGCACAUCAUUCUUACAAAAGGUGCAAUGGAACUUCAGUUUGGGAGUAUGAGUUCCAAAAAUGUGAGAAGCACCCUUGCCACUGAAUUGCCUUGGGCAAUACCGGAAGAAGCAAUAAGCUGAGGAGUAGCUAUAAAAGAGCUAUUCAAAGCACUAGCACAGGUGCUAUCGUCCAAAGACUCACGCUCAACACAAGAAGCCAACUCCGAUAGGGAAGAAGCAAUUAUGGAAGCACUAACAUCGGAGUGACAAGAAUUACGAAAAUCAAAAGACUUAGCACAAAGACUCUUGCAUCUUGUGGCCAAAAUCUUAUUUUCAUGUUUAAAGCAAUCACAACUACCACAUGGAGCAUUUCUCAAAUUAUCCAUCUCCUUUUCAAUGCACUUAGCAUAUGUGGUAUGCAAAAAUUAUUUUCUUUCUCAAAAUUAGCACUCAUCUCAUUGCGCUCAACCAACUUGGCGCUCAUAUCAUCGCGCAUUUGCUUCAAAGCCAAAACUUCACUUUCCAAUUCAAUGCAUGAUGUGCAAAUAAGUUCGCAUGAACAAUCAUCAUCAUUCACAUCAAGCACGGCAUUAUUAUCACAAGAAGUAAGGCAAGCAUCAUCAUCUAGAACCAAAGAGCACAUGCUACAAGGCAUAGACUUCAUUUUACAAAUUUUAGCUUUAACAUGCUCAAGUUGUUCAACACAUGUGGUGUAAGUCAAUUUUAAUUCAUUAUUUCAGCAAGCAAAUACUCACAUGAAACCCAUGGUAAAGAAGCAUUAGAUUUCAAUAGAGCAAUUUCAUCUCUAGCCUUAUCAAGAUCAUUAUUCAAACCAACACAUGAAUUACAUGGCAUAGAGGCAUUGCAAUUCAACAAGUCAUUUUCAGAUUUUAAGCAAGCAAGAGAAGACUUCAAUUCACCGUUCAUUUUAAGUAAGCUAUCACAAGAAUUGCAAGGAUUCAGAGCACGUGAUUUCCAAUGAGCAAUUCCACAUUUCAACUUAGCAAGAGAACAUUUCAUCAUCUCAUUCUUCCUAUGCAAAGCAUCACAAAGCUCAAUGUUUCUCUCAUUUUCAUCUUCACAAUCAUCAACACGAUUGCAUAAAAUCAUGAUGCAUUUGGCAAGCGUACCUUGGCUCAUGUCUCUUAGCCUGCGGUAGAACUCACCCUUCGUGAUCACCGUCUUGGUAGUUCUCGAGGAGAUCUAUCACCGCCUCCACUUCUGAUUCCAACUCAAUCUCCAAACUCCUACUACCUGAAGAUAAUGAAACACAAGAAGAAGAGCUUGGUGCCAUAGCUCAAAGCACCAGUUAGGAUUAGUCGAAAGCAAGCUCAAAACUCAAAAAACCAAAUCCGCAAGAAAAAACGCCCUUUACCUUAUCGUCCUAUGGAUCACAAAGCCGAUUAAGAUGGUGUGAUCCUUAACCAAGCUUUGAUACCAAUUGAAGGACUGGGAUGGGCGACCACAGAGGGGUGAAUGGGAGCCUUUAAAAAAAUUCUCUCCAAGAACAAAAUAUAUAUCCCGUUUGCCACCCUAAAUGCACCUCGCUCCUAAUCGCCAAGAUGACACAAAUCAACUCAUGACAAGCUUACCGUAUGAACGAUUAGAAACGUUCAAAGCGUAGCGGAAUCAAAGACAAAAGCUUAAAGGGGCUACUCACAAAUUACUGGCUAAGAAAAGAGCUCUAGUUAACCAUGUGAAAAUCCAUAUAAAAUAGCUAAGCUGCAGCUACUGUAACACUGAUGAGCUACUGACCUAUUGCCACGAAACAACCAGGUAAUACAUCGGCCAAGAACUGAUUAGCUAUUUAGCUCACUGUUCAUGCAUAUAAACAAAGCUAUUGUGCUAUCUUAACAUGCAAAACAGAGCACUAACUGAAAACUAAUCAGAGCUAUAGGUAAUACUUUAACCAAGAACUAUGAUCAGCCAAUUCUAGUACUCGAUCUCAGCACAUGCAUGUAAUGAUUGUAAUGAUUGUUUGACGGUAGCAAGGAAGGGACAUCCAAGAUUAACUGCUCACCUGAUGCAUGUCGUUGCGGCUGUCCGCCUGGGCAGGCCUGGUGCCGUCGGGCUGGUGGAUGCUCUGGCCUCCGUCCCCUGCGCGAGCUGGGCCGCCUAGUGCGUCGCUGGGUGCUCGGCCGCUGGCCACCAGCUGGGCUGCCUUGGCACGAGCGUGUCGCGUGUGGCAGGUCGCUUCGGCCUGUACUGCGUCGGGCCUGCUGCCGCCGGCCUGCAGCUACGUCGCCUGGCCCGCGAGGUGCAGCCGCUGGCCUGCGUCGCACGUGCUGGAUGCCGCUGCAGCGCGUCGCCUCUCCCUUUGCGUGAACCCAAAGCUCACGAACAGAAACAAGAACAGAAGAACACCAAGAAAAACGCCCAACUUGAAACUCGAGCCACGGAUCCAAACCAAACUCGAGCCACAGUAGCACCUCCUCAAGGACUAACAGAUCUAGGAAGAAGAUUCAAAAAGCUCAUGUAUUCACAGCGGAUUUCGAAGAAAACCGAACACCCUUCCCAAAGCUCGGUUUCGGGAAAAACUUCAAAUCCGGGUGCUCGGUGAGGGAUUUGUUAGACAAUCACACUAGCCUUGUUCACACACGUCCUAGCACCGAUUUGCCCCAAAAAAUCUGUCCCAAAUCGCAGCCAAAUCGGACGAACGAAAAUUCAAAAAAAAUUCACCCGAAAAUACCGAAAAACAAAAAUGCUCGGGAAAGAUGAAGUAACUUUACUUCUCCACCAUGAUCAGUUACAAGCCAUUUCUAAGCACAAUCAAAAUUAGGAUGGUAAAAACAUCAACACAAAGAUCUACUCAUCUUCUAAAGACUCUCAAACAUAAAAUAAGAAGUCCACCACCUAACAACCUGUGAGUAUAAUCUGUAGCCGGCCAUAAAGUAGACUAUUAUGUAGCCAGUCCACGUGUCGUGCUAGGAUUAGCCAGUAGCGGUCCCCUUUCCCACCCGCGUGACCCGCGCCUCCAGGCUUCAGCCGAGCAUGCACAACGUAGAGCCAGUAGCUAAGGGCAGUCCUAAUGGGAGAAACCAACCUAGUUUCCAUAGUUUAGGAUAUUGUAUCAAGAAAUCAUCCUUCACAAUGUAACACUUUUUAUCUAGAGUCUAAACAAAAAUCCAACCAAUCAUUCUUCCUUCUAGUACCAGAUCCUUUGUGCAUCAUGUAAAGGAGCUCGAGUGAUGGGUAGCAGCGGUGCAAGCGUAAAGGAUCCGGCAGUAAGUAAGAAGAAACUACUUGGGUCUCCCCAAUACAGAUUUGCUGGUUUCUUGGCUCAUUGGUGCGCGUGAGGACUUGGUUUCCUCUCUAAGAAAUGGUUUCUCUCUCUCCAUAAUAAAUCUACUGCCACAUCAGCAAAUUGCUUAGUUGGCAUGAUAAUUAAGAGGGAUAGAAACUAUCAUCAAUGUCCCAUUGGGACUGCCCUAAUUACAAGCGAGCCGAGCGCGCUGCUCAUUUACUGCCUCGUCCGUGAUCAGCGGCUGGAAAAGGGAAGGCUGGAUUAACAGGUAGUAACUCCCAUUUCGAUGACGCCGGGCAAAGCAACCAGUGCUGCAGGUGAGUCCGUAAUUUUCCAUGCAGUGGGCUUCAUCAAUUGGAUGUCUAAGUCUUGUGGAUGAGUUGAGCUGUGUGGAGGAACCAAUCACUAUAAUGAAGAGACCGAUUUUGUGGUGACAUAGUUAAGUUAAUCCCAAUGUUUGAGAUGAUAAAGUAGACUAUUCACUAUAAUCCAUAUGUAGACUACGCUGUGACGUUUUUGACUACAACUCGAUUGUAUGUUACUAUAAUAUAAUGGUGAGUUACCACAAUACAGAUUGAAACAAUCACUUUUUUUUCAAAUCGGAUCAACUACAAAUGACAAUACAGAUUCAAUACUUGUAAUAUAACAUGACACUAUUCCACGUUGCUGAAUAUGAUACAAAGUGCUUGCUUCCACAUUCUUGAACUCGAUUAUAUGUUGCUUGCUUUCCCUAGCUCCAACUGAAUCUGAUCAUGCAGUUAGGCACCAGGACGGUGGGGAGAAGGCACAAGGGAGCUGAAGCGCUAUCUAUCAAUCAGUGCUGAGUAGGCUGCUCUCUAAAGUAAGUGCCCAGAUGCUACCCAGAGAUUCCGACGAGGCAUCAUCACCUGUAGUCAUUUAAAAAUAAGAACAGAGUAAAUAACAUAUGAUCAUUUAGCAAGCCUGAAAAGCUGGAACUGUACAUAUUGAAUUAAAAACAGGCAUGCUGGAAAGAGCCACAGUUAUGUCCAAAUUUAUAAUAUGACAGCAGAGAACUGGAGAUACUAAGGAAACAAAUUAUGGUAAUUAUGACUGUGGUAACAAAAUUAUCAGAGACAGAGCUCUGCCUUGCCACUGACAUAGUGAUAAGAGAUAAGCAUUAUUUCUGUGUAAUGUGAAUACACUAAUCCAUUGAUAAUAAGUGGACUGGAACUAUAAGGAAAUUUGCUAGCAGGAAAUUGUUAGUCGGAAACAAGUUAGUUGAGUGGCAGUACGGAUAAAUAGACAGUAGGUUAUAUGUUUAUUUUGAUGCAAAUAAUCAGCCAUGUAGAUAAAGAUCAAGGCCUGUGUGCCCCAAGUCCAGCAAGAACCUUCUUAUAUUGUAAAUACUUGUUGAAGUAACGCAUGCAAACUAUGGUAAAUGUUCGGGCAGUUACGAGGAUCCAUCAGGAGGGUGAGUUACCACAUUUCAGUGUCAAGAAUUUUGUAAAUUGUUAUGUGACUUUUAUGCCCUUGUAUGUGGUUAAUCUUUUACGAGAAUUUUAUAAAUGACUCAGUAGAAUCUGUCCUUUAUGAGAUUUACUAGAAUCCAUGGCUGGUUAUAACCUUGUAAAUCCAACAACCAUGACUUACCAGAAUCUGUUAACAGGGAAUUUUGUUACUGAUUUAUUAGAAUAUUUGCCCCUUGUCUGCAAUUUACAAUAAUCUUAUAUUUUAGUCAGCUGACUUAUGAUUUAUUGAGAUCUUACCACCUCAAAAUUUUAAAUAUGAUAGAUGAAUUGUGAAAUACACACAAUGGGUAUAAUCAGUAGAGUAAACGAGGGAAGCAGAAUUACGUGAUGCUUACCUCAGGGUCUCUACGCUGGCUUGGAUUAGGAUGGACUGGUCACCCAAAACCGAAGAACUCCUGCAAUAACACCGGCAGCAAUACAAGUACGGAUGGCACAGGUGCGAUGCUGCUUCAUUAUCACAAACAUGGUGGGCUGGAUUUGAUCAGAAAUUCAGAAUUAAAAAAGAACGAUAUAAUUAUGUGAUGUACAGGAGCUUUAUAAAUAAUUACUUGAUCUAAGUGAUUUACGAUAAUUCUGUAUUUAAUUUAAAAGGUGUGCACCAACAAUGUGGUAACUCUGUUUAUACGAAUACCAUCAAAAAAAUAUCAUUUUUACCACAACUUCAUCACGUUACCUGACCCAUUAGGUAUUCUCUUACUCAUCAUCACUAAUUUUAUUUUUUAGUAUAACAGUAACCACCAGAAGUGAAUUCAUCUAGCACAUCUACAGGUUUUCUGGGAGUGCAAGGCAGCAACAACUAGUCAAUCCAGGUGAAAAUCGAAAAAAUGAAGCAUGUAUAACAAUGAUGCAUAGUAGGACUUACUGCAUGAGAAAUGUCUGAAAAUUUACUAUAUAUCAGGAUCAGGAGGUACCAUAAUUUUUUGUCAAGCUGUUCCAGGAAACCAUUUACUGUGUAAUGAUGAGAUCAAUUUACCACAAAAUGCUACCUGAUAAUACUCAACUGUAGGUAUCAGGUAAAAGUAUCAGGUGGCUGCUACAUUUACAAGUUCUUUCAUUCAUUAUCAGGGUCCAUGUUACAACAAAAGGUCAAUUUUUGAAUUGAGUCCGUUGUACAGUUAAAAUUGUAACAAUCUCGCUCUGCCAGAUUGGCUCAAUUACAAAUGACAGUCUAUGAGCAAAUUAUCUCAUGAGCACUAAAAAAUAGUUUUAGCUCUGAUCCUUUACUACAAUACUGAAAACCAGAAUAGGCCAAACAUCCUUUAAGUCAAUUAACCAUUAUGAAUCCAGGCAUUUUACUGAGAUAUGAAAUCAUUCACAUAUUUGGCAUCAUACUGUUCAUAGGCCCCAUUAAACCACGCAGCAGUGUGAACAUACAGGUAGGUACUUAAAUCACGACUAUUGCAACAAAGCAAUGAUUAAUAGGGAAUCACGAACCUUAAGAUUGAUGGCUGGAUGCAGCUAUGCGCGGCGCUGCUCACCUCAGGAUCUUGUCUCCUCUACGGGCAUGGGGAGUGACGGCCCACCGUACACCAAGAAUGACGGCCGCUGCGGAGGGAUGUCGACAACCAACGCAGGGGAACGGAUUCGAGAUUGGAGUUCAGGUUGGAAUGAGGUCGCAUCUGCGGGAGGAUUUGGGGGGUUCCUAGUUGCGAUUGAAGGCAGGGAGUACCCUCCUCUGGGAUGCAGUCAAACAAUUAAAAUGGGAACGAAUCAAACAAAAACAAAUUAGUACGGACGGAUUUCUUCUCAACCAUACCUGGAUCGACGCCGUCGCAAGAGGGAAAGGGCCGCCGCCGAGAGUCGACGCCAGGCCGCCGCCGGACAGCCGUGGCCCCCACCGAUGGGACCCACCUCCACACAUGGAGAUCCAUGGGUGCAGUCUUGUUACACGCGAGGGGAUGGAGCGUGGAAGCCAUGGCGGACGGUGAGCGGAGGUCGCCGGCUGCUCCAUACGGUGUCGCCGAUUCGGGAGGGUGCUACUGUCGUGAGAGCGGAAGGGCCGCCGCUGGGUCGCUGCAAGGCCGUCGCUGGGCUACAGCGACGGGGGACGGGCCGGGGAAGCCGGGAAGGGGCAGCGGAGGCCGUCGUGUGUGCGUGCGUGCGGGAUGGCCUGACGGGGAACGAGAUAAAUUUUGGGCGGCGGCGGCGGCGAAGAUUGCGGACGGAGUCAGAUGACGAGCUGGAUGAGCCUCACGUCUCGUUUACUCCCGGCUCGUGCUCGACUCGCUUCGCUAGGCUCGCCGGCUCGCUGACUCGUAACCGUGGAAGUGGGGCGGAUGAGCUCGGACGGUUGGAUGAUGCGGCUACAAAAUAACCUAUACUAUGGCUGGCUACAAAGAAACAGUUCUCUCUUUCUAUCUUUACCUAUUAUUAAAGCAAGUAACAUUUCUGCCUGACUUUUCGUACGUCGUGGUAAUUUUGCAAAAAAACCCCUCAAGUUUUCAGAUUAAAGCAAGUAACGUUUCUGCCUAGCUUUUCGUACGUCGUGGUAAUUUUGGGAAAAAACCCCUCAAGUUUUCAGUAAUCAACCCGCAGUCCAAUUUUGAAGAGAGGGGAGCUCGGGUGGAAAACGAAGGAAAGAGAGGGGGUUAAAUGAGAAAAACCUCUCCUUUCAGAGGGGGGACGGUCACCACCGUCGGAGCCUUGGUUUGUCAUCCCCCACCCUCCCUCCGCCGCCCUCCUCCCGCCUCCAACACCAUCCUCGUAUGGCACGACCGCCCCCUCGCCGACGUGCUCGUGCGGCAUGACCGCCCCCUCGCCGACCUGGUCUGCGCUGGCGGUGGCGGACUCGACAGGCGACAUGGGGCACCCAAGCUGAGGUCCAAGCCGAGGUAGGAUCGCUUACCUAGAAGCAGUCCAGGUCCAGAUGAGCGGAUCUCCGCUCCGCCCCCAGUCCAGCGAGUAGAACGGAGGAGAACGACGACCCACCAGGUAUAAUCCCACCUCGCCAAUUUAUAACCAAAAUUGCGGGCUUAAAACCUGAGAUGCGGAUGCGGGUAAUGUCACCUGAGGAACGAAAGAGUGAGGGAUUGGACUAAGUGAUGGAUUCGGCAAAAUCUUCGGGGGAAGCUGUUGUCGCGGCACAGAAGGUUGUGGAGAUGUGCUCGAGGCGGAGGUGGAUGACGGAGGCGCGGAAGGGAGGGUGGCGGCGACAGCUCAAGUUUUCGGUAAUCAACCCGCAAUCCUAUUCCCUUCCGCGGAGACGGGCGCGGGCAUCCAGACGGUCGCGUCUUCCGUGGAGAUGGGCGGUGGCCGCACCGACUGCGGAGACGAGCGGGGGGCAUCCAGACGGCCGCGUCCUGCUUGAUGGCGUGGACGGCGGUGGUGAGCGGGCGGCGGAAGCGGCGGCGUAGGAUGGGGAGCCCCCGCAUCGGGAGCGGGGAGGCCGUGGAGCAGGAGUGGCGCCGACUGCUCCUCGUCAAGAUUCUCGUGACGGAUUUGUUUCCUCCCCUUUUCAGAGGAUGAGGCCGAGACGUGAAGCACUUUGCAGGCCUUGCACGGCCGCGGACACGCGUCUCCGGCUAUUCCAGAUGGACCUUUCUGGAUCCUGCUUCCGGCCGGCCGGCGGUCGAGGGCACAUGCGGUGUCUUCCACCUAGCGUCCCCGUUCAUACUGUGCAAGCAGAGGGACCCAGAGGCAAUUCUUCCUUCUGAAUAAUUAAUCACCCCAUCGAUGCAAAUCACAGUCCAGUAUCUAUCCCGUUGCUCGAGUAGGUAAUCCUUGGAUUAGAUUUGCUGAUGAUUCUGCUAUUGCAGAACGAGCUCCUGGAACCGGCGGUGAAGGGCACGCUCAACGUCCUGCGCGCCAUGAAAAGAUUUGCGGGGUCGGCCAGCUCCUGUAUUCUGAUCUGUGUUAUGGUUGUGGUUGAGGCCUGUGCUGACUUUAUUCCUUGAGCCUGCAGUUUUGGUAUAGCGUAUUGGACUUCGCUGGGAAGGAGGGAUUGCAAUGGUUGUGCUCAAUCCAGGGAUGGUACUGGGUCCAAUGUUAGCACCAUCAGUUAACACCAGUCUCCAACUACUUCUGCAACUUUUGGCAGGUCAGUCACAUCAUUAGACGCUAGGAGCCAUGUGGUACUUUUAUCUUCUGAUGAAUUGGAACUUUGCAACGAGUACAAAGUAUGGGAUGGUACUGGGUACAAAGUACCCAGGCGAAGAAGCUUGAUCUGGAUGACAUCUACAUUGGCUGCGUCGAUGUGAGGGAGCCAUCAUCAGAAGUGCAAGGUGACUGUUGACUAAUAGUAAUAGCAUGUCACCUAUAUUAGUACUCUGAACUAUGGUUAUGUGAUCUUUUGGUACCGAAAGACUUGGCUAUUUAAAGGAUGCUUUCAUGAUCUCAACAGAAGCUCCUUUUGUAUAUGCUUGUAAGUGUAGAAACUGAAAUGUAGAAUCUUCUUGAUGAAGUGUCAGGCAAAUAGAAAAUAUCUAGCUCCCUUAGGUCCUUCGUUGUAUUGGUUAGGUUCUUAUAGUCGCCAUGCCAUGGUUCUUGAGCAGGUCCAAGAGGAGGCAACAUUCCUCUGGAAGAAGCUUGGGGAAUCUUGAUCCAGUUGAUGAAGACUUUCCAUUGGAGCAAGAAGUGAGGGACUUCAAGAUGAGAAGGCUUUCAGAUUUUGGGCCAACUCCUGGUUGGUUGUGUUUCUUUCCUUUAUUCGCUAUGUUAUAUAUAAACAUGUGAAACUGUUUUCUCGAGCACGUGAAACUGUUUGAACCAACAUAGAAUUAAACAGUUAACAUUCGUUUCAGACCUUCUAGAAGAAACCGAACCGACUCAAACCCCAUAUGAGAAGCGCUUUGAUCCUAUCGACAAGGUCACAGAAUCAAUCCAGUCGUAAGUAGCCUGGGUAACUUAGUUUGUUGAAGUGAAGUACCCCCGUCCUCCGACAUCGACGCCAUCAUCCUUCGUCGACAUCCCGCUGCCGUUCCGUCCAGAUCCGGGGCCUGCGGCCGUUUCCCACCUUCGCCCUCCACCCUUGGUCCCGGGGUCGGAUGCGCCCAACCCCUUGAGGGUGGAACUCCGCCUCGCCCGACCCCUGGUCCCGGGGUCGGAUGCGCCCGACCCCUUGAGGGUGGAACUCCGCCUCGCCCGACCCUUGGUCCCGGGGUCGGAUGCGCCCGACCCCUUGGUCCCGGGGUCGGAUGCGCCCGACUCCUUGAGGGUGGAACUCCGCCUCGCCCGACCCUGAGUCCUGGGGUCGGGAGUGUCCGACCCCUGAGCGGAACAUUGGAGUAGUCCGAGGCGAAGUCGAAUCCGACGUGUAGUCAAACUCGAACUGGUUGACUUUGAACAUCUCCUCCUCCUCCACUUCCAGGAGGAGGCUCCCGCCCGUCAAGAAUGGCCACGGCAGCGCAGGUCUUGCAAAUGAAAAUUCUUGUUCAAAGUUCAAAAAUGGUACGAACAAACGUAUAAUAACGUGACAGCAAGUAAUAACCCGUAGCAACGCACGGGCAUUUCUGCUAGUGUGUAUAUAUAUAUAUAUAUAUGUAUUUAGCAAAUGUUCAAAUACUCUUACAUAAAGCAUACAACUCAAAUAUUUCAUAUGAGUAAAACCGUCCAACUUUUUAUCAGGACAUCGAACGGACCCGGCAUCUAAACGACUUCGCUUCUCCUCAACGCAAGCUUCGUGAUGGUGCCACGUGUCCUCUGAUUCGACGUCGUCCGGCCGCACCGGACUCGCCCCCCGAUUUUGAGGCGAAACCGGUCAAACCCUCUCGCACACCCCGCUAGGCGUGACUCACCCCGAUUUUGAGGUCAAACCGGUCAAACCCUCUCGCAUGCCGUGCAUGACGUGACUCACCAAUAUAGACGCGUGUCCGACCUUCGCCAAGCCUUCGACACCUCCAAAUUUUUCGCUCCUGAUCCCGGACCGCCUACUCGACUCGCCUAAAUCCUGCUUGACUCAACCGACGCCAUCUUCAUCCCAGUGUACUCUUGCUCUUCCGUGCACUAUGUGGAUCGCUCAUGACUCCGCUCGGAUUUCUCAGGUCCCACGGUUCAAGUCUACUCGUGUCCACCCUUCAUAGCCCCAGUAUAUUAGCAUGAACCUUUCGCUUGACCUUCAACUCAUGCCGCCGACCGCCAUAUCGCAUUCAUCACCUGCACAUCACAAGCCAAGAGACACAACACACAAGAUAUGUUUUACACAAACACUACAACACAACACACACCUCCGGUUAGCUGUUAGCAUAAUUAAGCACAUAUGGAAUAUGGACUCAAUCGGUAAAAUUUCAAAUCAUCCAGUUAAUCACUUAUCACAAAUAGACAGAGGGCAUGUCACUUGAUCUCUCACUUCCGCUGGACCUUGGCUUCUCCAAGUUGAGCUACCUCGCCGUCUUCGACAACAAGCUCACGGGGCACCUCCCAUCAUCCAUAGGUCACCUGCAAGACUCCCUCUUCGAGGUGCUCCUCCUCAACAAUCAGCUCUCGGACUGCCUUCCCCACGAGCUCGGCAUGCUGAACAAAGCAGCUGUGAUCGACGCCGGCAUGAACCAGCUCACCGGCCCGAUACCAGCAUCCUUCUCGUGCAUCAGCAGCGUCGAGCAGCUCAACCUGGGCGGGAACCGCCUCUACGGCCAGGUACCAGACGUGCUUUGCAAGCUCGCUGGCCCGGCCGGCCGCCUCGCCAACCUCACGCUAGCUGUCCGGCAACUAUUUCAGAUCGGUGGCGCCGGCAUGCGCGGCGCUAAUCAAAGACGGCGUGCUGGACGUGAAGAACAACUGCAUUCCAGGCCUCGCCAACCAGAGGCGCCCGGCGGAGUGCGCGGCGUUCCAGAGCCAGCCCAAGACGUGCCCGGCGGCGACCACUCAGGUGGCAUGUCCCGCCGCACCUGCCGCCGCGCCGGGGGAGAGGAAUGUCAUCAGGGACUACUCCGGCUACGUGACGUACGCUACUCUGCAUGAUUGAGGCGCCACGGGAUGCACUAGGAGACAUAGUGGAUGCCUAGGUGGUAUUUUGGCUUUUUGCCCUUGUAUCCUUGUGUUUUUAAUUAGUGUGUUGGUGUGCAUGUGUGUUGUUCGUGUUCCUAUGUAUGUGCGGCUGUCACGUCUAGAUUUCACUUCUUGUACUACCAAAUCUAUUGUUAAAAUAAAAAAAGGAAAAUCUAUAUUUUUCUCGAGUGUUUUGGAGCUUGCCAAAAAUAGAUUUUCAAGUCUGCAAGUUGGUGCUGCGAUUGGCCAAGAUCGUCUUCCCAACUCCUUUGAGGACUCCAGCGAGUUUAGGAUUUGGGACGAGUCCUUGCAUCGGCACACAAUUACCUAUGGGUGUGCAGGUGUACCUUUGUUCGAUGUGUUUCUCAUUCCCAACGACUGGAUGAACAAGAGCACCGGUCCCAGUUCCCCACAGUCACCGUCAUCCCAGCCUCGUUUGCGUGCCUGUGCAACGUCGAUCGAGCAGCACCUGGCUGGAAAACGCCCUUUACUGUGACGAGUUAGAUUGCGGGCGGGCUGGACAUGGACUUGCGCAUGACUAGCCAGCGGACCUCUCGCUGUUGAGCAACUACAUCACGUUGGUAAGGCCAAUGCAAAGUGCUCUAGCUCUGCGCUGAGCCUCUGAUGAAGAAGGGGUAUGGCAGUGCAGUGAAUCAAGAAGAACAACAGCCUCAUGCGUUCCGAGCUGCAAUCAGAGGCGGCCCGAUCUGGAGCGCGUGUGUCGUUCAUGCGACAGCCGAUCGAGUAGGUGCCCCCCGAGCCCCGACGUACGUGCCAUGCGGCGUCGCAUGUGUCACGGACGGGGGCUGGUCGUGCGGAGGUAGGUACGUAGGGCUCGUCCACAUUCCAGCUGCGCUACGUGACAUAUGCAACUCCGGAUGAGUGAGAUCCACAGGGAUUCAAGGAAAUCAAGGACCGCGCGGCGCGCGUCUUGGUCGCAUUUGCUGUGCUCUCGCUCUCAUGUAAGUGCCGUCGGUGCUUUUGUUGGUUCCACUGCAUGCCCGGACCCGUUUUUGGCUGUUCUGCGGGCCGGGUUGAUCUCGCCGGCAAGACCCAUGUGAUGAAUUCCUACCUGUUUCUUACACUAGUUCACUUUGAUAUUGUUUGAAAUCAAACUUUGUUUAAUUGACUUUUGAUUGGGUUUAUAGCUAGGAAAAAUUAUGAUAACAUCUACAAUACAAAAUAAAUUUACUAUCAAGAAUACGGAUUAAUGACACAAUGUGUAUUUGUAGAUGUUGAUACUUUUCUAUAAAUUUGGUAAAAGUUAUAAAUAUUUAGCUUCGAAUGAUACCAAAAUUUACUAUAAUAUAUCAAAGGAGUAUCCUGGCAAUUUCUUGUGUUUUAUUUGGUUCCAACAAGAUUGGCCAGACAACUCUAACAUAAAACAAGUAUUAUUUGAGUAUGUGGACAGCUCUAGCAGUUAGGUUCUUUCUGAUAGAACUUGCCUACCCGAUUUCAAUUACUUAUUUUGUACAAUUAUUCUUUAAAUAGUAUGCGACAUGCCUGUUGAGGUCUUCAGGACCGUUGGUCUCCAUUAGGGGCAAUUGGAAGGAAGCGCCUAGGCUAGACUUUGAAUCUUCAGCUCAUUGGUUGUCCCGGGCUACAUGAUAUUCAGAUUGAAUAUCACCUGUAAGGCUUUCCUCUCGGUCCUGCCUAGUCUCAGGGAAAAUACCUCUGUUAUCAUUGGUAAUGGGGCUUUCACCUCUCCUUCUGGCAUGAUCACUGGAUUGGGUCUGCGCCUCUUGCGGCGGCAAUGCCAGCUCUGUUCUCCCAUGCUCAGCGACCCAACAUCUCCAUUCAAAGGGUGGCUGCGAUGGGCAGUGGGAUCUCCAGCUUACCGGUCACCGGCUGUCCUCCAUUACGCAACAGGAAGCCUCCUCUCUCAUGGUGGCUCUGCAAACUGUUCAGCUGCUGCCACUGGCUCGCGAUCGGCGACUCAUAUACUCCACCAGGCUGCUCUAUCGAGCCUUGUCACCGUCGGUGCCGCCGGAAACAUUCCUGCCACUCAUCUGGGACAGCUUUGCUCCAAGCAGUUCCUCUGGCUAGCUCAUCCACCGCCAUCGACUCUCGACUGCAGCACUGCUCUUCUACCGGAAUAUCAUCGACUCUGAAGCUUGUCUACACUGUGGGCAGCAAGAAGACCUGCACUCUUCCUUGGCUGCACAAAGGCCUCUGCUUGCUGGACGCUACUGGGAGCAGGCGACCUCAUGUCUCACUCCGUUGAGCAACUAUGGCAGCAGCACCUCCUGGCAAUGUUGGAUGCCCCUAUCAGGUCAACCAUCAUCACCUGCAUUCUUUGGAACAUAUGGAAAGCCCGAAACGCGCGCGUCUUUGAGCACACCGACAUCAACCCACCAGGGAUCCUCCGUCGCACGGCCGCGGACCUGCAGCUUUGGUCUCACCGUGUGCCACCAUCAUCACUACGAUUCUGGAGCGACAAGAUUGUGCAUGUAAUAGAAUGAUUUGUGUUGUAAUCCCUCACCCUUCUUACCUUCCCAAAUCCCCUGUAUGCCUCAAACUUUUGCAUACUUAAUAUAAAUGUUGAGGUCGGUGAUUUGCCUGCCGUAGGUUCCUAAAAAAAAUAUUCAGAUUGAACUACUAGGUCGCCUUCACAUGACGGCCUCCUUCUCCCUCUAAAGGCCAGUAGCCCAGUAAUGACAUCUACCCUUGUUGCUCCCUUGUCCAGUGCCCCCUCACAUCUCUUCUCCUCUCUCUCUGUGGCUCCCUGACCCCCGCCGUCCAUAGCCGCACGCAGCACGCCGCCCUGAGGUCAACUGAAUCGCAUCCGGGUCGGUUUCUUCUAAAAAAAUUGGAUUUCAAAACUUUCAAUGUUGGACUUCACAAAUUUACCACUUUGAAGAUGGACUUCGUAACUUUACCACUUAUCUCACGAACAACUUGAUUUCCCUACCAAUUUUCCUCUUACUAGUCCACCAACCCGUGCUCCCGCACGGGCUAAUGUUUUUAGAAGUUAUUGUAUUUAAAAAUUAUUUAGAAAUUAAACUCCUAGCUAAUAAUCAAAAUUGUUUACCUAGUGCUCUCUUAUUUUUCAAUAUUUCAACAUAAUACUUAUAUAGAUAUGUACCUAUCUUUGUCCAGUUGUGAUUGGUUUUUAAUUAAUAAUUACUCAAUGCACUUUUUCAUCCAUAUUCAUAUUUUUUCCAUUUUGUAUGACACCUCCAAUCCUCCAUACAUUAUGUUUAGCAUACAAAUCAAUAUUUUUCAUCGAUUCCUCACAUACAUAUAUAAAUGGUCUAAAUGGUGGCACUCAUCAUGUGUAUAUACUUUAACUUAGUAUUUUUAUAUUAACAAUGACAUAAAUAGCUAAUUUAAAAUCAUAUAUUAAUUUACUUUUUGAUAUUUCUGUAUGAUACACAUGAAGAUAAUUAGAUUAAGAUUUAGGUGUUUACUUUAGGUUAUUUUUAAUAACGACAUACGUGGAUAACAUAGAUAAAAUUUUAGAAUGACAUUUUAAGUUAUACUUUAUAAUGAUGUGUAUUAGUAAAUUGGAUGAAGGUUAUGGAGUUACUUUAGAUUAUUUUUUAUAAUAGCUAAGCUUGGUAAUUGAAAUAUAGGUUUAGAGCUCGUUUUUGAAUAUUUUCACAAUAAUAGUGGUGGGUAACUUUUUAGAAAAUAUAAUAGUGUUUGAUAUUUUUAAUUUUUAUUAGAAUUUGUCUCUUUUUUCUAGCUUGUCUCAUGGGAACUAACACGGAGGCAACCCAUGGUCCCGCACGGGCUAAUAUUUUUUAAAUAUAUUGUAUUUAAAAAUUAUUUAGAAAUUAAACUCCUAGCUAAUAAUUAAAAUUGUUUAAUUACUACUCUCUUAUUUUUCAAUACUUGAAGAUAAUAUAUGUCAUCGCUAGAUUAAAAAUUAUGGACUAUAUGUUUUUCUUGAUUAAGUUAGGUUAUUAUUUUAGGGGGAUGUAAUAUUAUCUCGAUAGAUGGCUACAUAGAUUAAAAAUUAUGGUUUGCCGGUGAAUGAAUAAAAUGUUGUAUUGGAAGACUUAUUCAUUGUGUGAAUGUUGAGACGAUCCAAGGUGUCUACCUAUCGACAGCCCACAGGAACUUGUCACAUUUAAAAUAGAAAGAAAGCAGGGUGCUAGGAACUUGUCGCAUUUAAAAUAGAAAGAAAGCAGGGUGCUGUACAGUUGUGUUUUCUCCUUUUCCCCAUUCAUCAGAUCACGGAUAGGCAUAGGUGAAGAUAUCAGCGGCUGGUGCAGGUGUGCUCUGUGUUAUCUCGCCUGGCAUUUGUCGUAUGAUUCACUAAUCACCCGUCCUGAUUUCCUACGGUCGGCUCCUCGUAGCGGUCGCUGGCACUUGUGCGGAUCUGAAAAGUCAGGUUUUGGAGAGUUGCUGCUGUAGCCGUCGUUCUUAUGGAUUUCCGAUUCGUCCUCAAGGAUUCGCUUCACAGGUACCUUUUCUCUCUUCUUUUCUUCUGUAUUAUUGAAUCGCAACCUGCGGUUUAUACUGAAUUAUUGCUGAACUGGUAAAUUUUUAUGCUAAUUUUUCCCGAAAGAUUAGCCAUGCAUCUAGCGGCACACCUUUUUUUUCUCUCUCAUUCGAUUUGGCUUGCUGCGGCCAAAACAGAGUCCGGUUUUUUACCCCUUUGAAAUUUCUUAUUCGUAGCUGUGUAUUACACUGUUUGGAUCUCUCCUAUGGUCUAAUAAAUUCACAUCUUCAUUAAUAUUGUACAAAUACCACUGUACACUGAUUGCACCUAUAAUAUUUGUACUUCUUCCAAGGUGGGUGUGUGGUUGAAUUUCUACUAAUACUUUUGCUGGACAUCUUCUAUCAGUUUAUAUCACUGCAUAAUAGAUUUAAGUAAUAUUAUAGGUUCAGCUAAUUUGUGUGAAGAGAAACAUGAAACACGUGAUUUUGUAUGUGGUACUUUGAAGGGCUGAACUACAUUACGUUGUGAAGGCAGAGGUACAUAGUGUGCUACAGAAUUUCCUUGUAGACUAUAUUUUUUGCCAUAUUAUCUUCUGGAGAUUCUUCAUCUGAUAUCAGAAUCUUAAGGCCUUCUCUGCUUGUAACGCGAGACACUGCAACAUACAGCUGUCCAUGUGUGAAGACUUGCUUUGGUAAAUAGAGUCCAACAUUUUUUAGUGACUGUCCCUGGCUUUUGUUUAUUGUCAUUGCAAAGCAUACAGUUAUUGGAUAUUGCCUUCUUUUCAACACAAAUGGCCAUUUUGAUUCGGUUGGUGACAUGAUGAUUCGUGGGAUGUAGACCUUAUUUCCAAUGUUUGUCCCAGUUAUGAUUUGUGCUUCGAUGAACCACUUCCCUAGUUGUGUUAUGGUCAACCUCGUGCCAUUGCAUAGGCCUGCACUUUGAUUGAUGUUCCUUAGCAGCAUUAUUGGUAGCCCAACUUUCAAUUGUAAUUUAUGAUUUGGUAUUCCAGGGAAUUUUAAGCUAUUGAGGAACUCUGUUGGAUACAACUGAUCUUCACUUUCUUUUGUUGAGAUGGCUUUGCAUACUGUAUCUGAGCUUAGGUAUGUUGUUUCUUCACCUGGUAUUUGACUCAUUAUGUAAGAGUUUAUGUUGUCCACCAUCUCAUUUCUUGGGCAUAGUAUCGCUCUUUCUUCUAGGUAUGUUCUGUUACUGUAGUUCCUUGAUAGAUCAGGGUAUGUGUUGUUUACAAUUGUCUCCAAUUCAUCCUCUCCUUUCUGUAAAAUCAAGUCUUGUGGUAUUGUUAUCCAAGCUUCAUCAUCUUUAUCUCCUGCUAAGCCGUCUCCAAUGCUUAAUAUCCAAUCUGCAAAUUCCUGUAUCUUCUUCUUUUCUUCUGUUGAAUUUGUAACUGCAGUUAGGCGCAUAUUUGUUGUGAGCUUAAUUUCUUCAAAGUGCUUCCAUAAGUAUGAUCGCUUUAAGGAUGCAUCAAUAAUAUGAGUUCUUCUUCCUUUUGGUAUGACUGGCAAAGUUUGUCUGAAAUCACCCCCCAUUACUAUUGUCAUCCCUCCAAAUGGCUUGUCUUUGCUAUUCUCAUCUGUAAAUCUUAGGAUGUCUCUCAAGCUCUUGUCUAGUGCCUCAAAGCAGUGUUUGUUUGUCAUAGGGGCCUCAUCCCAUAAUAUCAGUGAUGUCUUGUUUAAAAGUUCUGCUAGUAAUGAUCCCUGCUUGAUAUCACACGUUGACUCGUUAUUUAUGUUCAGUGGGAUGUGAAACCGUGAAUGUGCGGUUCUUCCUCCUGGUAAUAGAAGUGCUGCUAUACCACUUGAGGCCACGGCUAAAACUAUUUUUCCUUCAGAUCUUAGGGAUUUUGUUAUAGCCUUCCAAAGAAAUGUCUUCCCCGUUCCACCAUAUCCAUUGACAAAUAUAAGUUUGCCAAGUUUACUGUUAACUGAUUGUGUUAUUGCAUCAAAAGCUUUCCUUUGAUCAAGAUUUAAUUUCUGUAGUAGCUCCACACACUCUUUUUGGAGAGAAUUUCUGUCAUAGUUUAGCUCCUCAUUCAGCAACCUAUUUCUCAGACCCUGCAUGACAGUGUUGUCUGGUAGUGGCAUUCCAUUAAAGUCUUUUAGAGAUUUUCCACCUUUUCUUAGCAACUGCUCUAUCUCUAUUAGUGUAAGCUUCUUCUUUUGUUCUGGUUGUAGAUGUAAUCUUUCAAAGUUCAUGAACCUCCUUUGGUGCCUCUCGAUGUCCUCAGAAAGUAGUUCCCAAUUUGAUUCCCACAGUUUCAGAGGGUCCGUGACCUCACAGAAUAGCAAUAUCGUGCAGAAAAGUUGUCGCAUCUGGGUUGCGGAAGCCCAAAAUGAAGCCUCUUUGAUGCAAUCGUCCCACUCAUUGUCAUCAUCUAGUAAACCAAGGGCGUAACACGUUGAUUUGUAGGUUUUGUGGAUAACACCAUCCACUUUUCUGAUGUCUUUGAAUGACUUGCAUCCUUUCACAAUGUUCAGCAGUAUUCUCAAGUAGUACCUAUCUCCACUUGCAGGAUGGGCAUAAUAGAUCCUGCCUAUGGAUCUUUUUCCACCACGUCUCGGCUUCUAUUCCUUUUCUUUUGGGUGCCAUGUCCACUUAGUUGGAAAUUCUGCAUAUGUUAGUUCACGGGCAUCUUCAUGCAACCGAUUAGCUACGUGAUUUGGUUUUGAGUCCUAUAAAAUGUGGAGUUGUUUAGUUAGUUUGUAGAUAAAAUAUCUACGUGAUUUGGUUUUGAGUCCUAUAAAAUGUGGAGUUGUUUAGUUAGUUUGUAGAUAAAAUAUCUUGGGACGUGUGCUAACAGCUUGGAUUUGGUUCUGAUCCUUUUUAAAAUAUAUAGUUGUUAGGAUAUUCUCGUUAGUUUAUCUGUCUUAACUGAAACAAUAAAUUGAAUUUUUUGUAAGAUGAAAUUGUUAUUUUAUUUUUUGGUUCAUGUAAGAAUUUUUAAUCAUCAUCUGAACUAUCUAUGUGUAUAGCAGCCAUCUUUUAUAUUGAUUAAAGUGCACGUCCUGUGGUUGUGUCAUAUAGGUGUACCAACUAUGAAAUUAUAUUUUUGGGAAACUAAUCGAUUUAAGUGGUGCAUAGUCUAUUCAAUAUGGGCUUAGCAUCGAUCUAGCAUGCCGACUCGAUUCCUUCUUUAUCUAUCUUUUUCUAAUAAUUGCUCCUUCUCUUUCUCUCCUCUUCCUCACGCCAGCAACAACUGCCCAGCUCCAAUUUUCCUCCAUGAGCCAACUACAGAAGGACAUCUCUAUCUCGUGCACCUCGUCCAACCAAUCCACAGGGAACAAAGCAGCAGCAACAUCUUCUCAAAGUUGGUUACUCCCUGUUCUGCAAGCAGCUACAACACCACCAGUCCCUCGCUUCUCCAAAAACCCAAACAUCAGCAGUCCCUCAAUCCAAUUCGCAACAGUACCAUCAGCUAAUCCAUCAAAUCUAACUUUGAUUCCUCGCUUGAACAGCUCACCUCUCUCCUUUUUUUCUCAACUGAGUACAGCAACGCAGCAGUUUGAGAUCCCUAUUCUUUGACACAAAAUCGUCAAACACGAUUACCUUAUAGUGGGCAUGCCGUGCCAGUCAAAUGUUCACAUGGCAGCCUCCGCGCUAUUUAGUUUUGUCCACUCUGCCAACGAAUUUUUCCCAGUGCACAUGUGGUAAACACAAACUGGGUUGUUUUCUCUUUUAAAUUACUGAUCCCUAACAAUAUAUAUUUUUGCUAUUACAAAACUCUCCUAUGAUCAAAUAGUACCUUUAUUAAUAGACUACAAAUAAUAUUGUUAACUAAUCCUAUCUAUUCUAUUUUCUACUUCUUCCAAGGUGCUUGGGUGCUUUAGUAGCUUUUGAAACUUCGUCCGGACAUCUUCGAUCAAACAUCUGAUUGCAAAUAGAUUUAAGUAAUAUUAUGAGGUUAGUUAACUUGUUUGAAUUUAAAGAUGAAAAUUGUAAUUGUAUUAUACAUAAAUAAUUCUAUACCUAUUGUUUGUAUUUUGCAGGUAUUCUCCUAAUCCUUGUUGACCUGUAUGGAGAUGUUUGCUUAUUGUUCUUGUUGUCUUCGCUUACUUCUUUUACACCAGUUUCAUGCUUGCUCUGCAAAUUUUCUUAUUAUCGUUAUUAAUGCUAAAGAUUAGUAAAGGUCAGACAACAGAUGCGAAUUGAAUUACCUCUUCAUCUGAUACUUUCAUCUUCAUCUCCUUUGAGUCGCCUUCUUGAUUUCUCCUUUUAAAUUUCUGGACACUUUGUGUCUUACUGUCUCCAUCAAACUCAUUUGGUUCCUUCUCCUGCAAAAACUUUAAAAAUAGUAUUAUAUAUCCGGUAACACUAUGAACUAUGAUCUGAUUUCUUCUUAGAGUAUUUGUUCAUCAACAGAUGCGAAUUGAAUUACCUCUUCAUCUGAUAUUUUCAUCUUCAUCUCCUUUGAAUUGCCUUCUUGUUUUCUCCUUUUAAAUUUCUGGGUUCUUUGUGUGUUACUGUCUCCAUCAAACUCAUUUGGUUCCUGCUCCUACAAAAUUUUUAAAAUAGUAUUAUAUAUCAGGUAACACUAUGUAGUAUAAUCCGAUUUCUUCUUAGAGUUUCUGUUCAUUUGUGCAGUAAAAUUCCUAUUAUCAUAAUGUCAUCAUGUUUUUGUAUAAUUUGCAAAUAUUGUUACACAUACAGAAAAGGUUUUUUUUGAGGUAAACGUAUAAUAAAUUUUUAUGUCCAUACCUCCUCAUGGUUAUGCCGUUCAUUUUCUUCAUCUGAAUCUUCUAUUUUACAUAUUCUCUUCCUUGCAUUCGGUCUCUUAGCUUCCAUGCAUUCUUCAUCUGAGUCUAGUACUGUAAUUACAUUUCUUUUUUUGUAUUUCUUCCUUUGGAGGGUCUUCUUGUACUCACUGGCAGUAAAGUUAUCUUCGUUGAGACCCUUUAGCUCCCAGUCAUUGGUGUGUCCUUCCUACCAAAAUAAAAACCUUAUCCAGUAUUGAAGACCUAAUUAACAAAAUAGGAAAGAUGAACCGUUGUUAGUUACAAUACCUGUGUAGUUGGAAUUUUUUUCUUCAUAACUUUUUUGCCUUUUCUUCCUUCUCGGUUAACUUUCUUUGGAUUUGUUUUUAUUCCUUUGCUUGAACCUUGGAUAUCACUAAUAACCAUCUUUGAGUUGUUGCCAUCUUCUUCCUAAGAUUGCAUAAAUUAUUUAAGUGCUAAGGAAGUAUUUACCCAAAUACAAAAAUGACAUUUCUGUUUGUUGAAAUACAGUUGUAGUAGAAGUGUUUGUCUGCAUUACAACUUUUUUGCUUUUCCUUUUCAGCCGAACACCUUUCUUCAGAUGUUUUUUUGACCUUUUGGAUGAACUAAGGUUUUCAUCUCCAAUGACAUCUGAAUUGCUGAUAUAUUCAUCCUAAAAAAGAACUUGUCAAGUGUUAAAAAAAUAUUUAAUAAAAAUAUAAGAGAAUACUUUUGUUUAUGGAGUACCUUUUUUUCUAUGUUUUGUACGGAUAUUUUUCUAUGUUUGCGUUUUUUCUUGUCACUUCUUCUGGCAUCUUCUUUUUCCUAAAAAUUGUGAAUUAUCACAUAGAAGAGUAUAUUAAUAUAGCCUAAGAAUUGAACAUAUAUCAUUUUUUAAUUUAAUUGCAAUAGAGCACUUUCUAAUGCAUACUGAUCAGAUUAGAUAUUGCACUAUCCGCUAUUCCUUUAAAGCUUAGUCAGCCUGCAAUUUUGCAUGAAUAAUAUUUUUUUUGCAUGUACUGUAAAUAGAAUGAACAAUGAGAGGGAAGUGAGUAUACUUUUCUAGCCAAUCUUUCUCCAGUCCUUAUGGCUUUUUGUACGAAUGUUACUUUCUUGGUAAAAGAGUCAUCAGUGUCUACCUCUUCAUUCUCGGUAGUUAUGGUGUAGCAUUUGUCUGAGUUGUCUUCUACUUCCUACAAAUAAUCAAAAAAAAAAUAAAUGUAGGUUAGAAUUUGUUUCAUUGAUAUAGUAAAAUUAUUAAAUAUUAAGGAUUCUAAAGAAAAAAGUGCAAUAAAAACUUAAUAAUAAAGUGUUACCUUUUUUACACUUUGCAUUCCAAUUCUUGAACUACUCUUUUCUUUUAGAAAAAAUAUCUUUGAAACAGUAUAAUCUGGUCUAAAACUUGUCAAGUUGUACUCGGUCAAUCUGAAUUGAAAAAUUAAUGUUUGACCACAUAUUUUUUGAAUUGAUUCUGGUACCUCCUUACUAUCAUGAUCAGCUGAGCUGAUCAUCGAAUCUGCUGAUUCAUUAAUUAUCAUUUCUGCUUCCUUGUCAAAAAGUACACAAGAUGCACUUGUAGUCGGAUCACUUAUUUGAAGCUUAAUUUUGAAUCUGCAAACAUUAUUCUCCUAUGAGAAAUAAAAGUAUUAUAAUGAUAUUGUAAACUACUAAAUAAUUUACCGUGCUUUAGGUUCGGCUCUCUUGUCACAUUUAUUGCAAUAAUAGUGAUCAAACUUCUUUUCAAGUUGCUUCUUACAAUCGCCUCUACUACAUGAGAUGUAGUACCAACCAUAUGUUGCAUUAAUUUCAUUUAUUGUUGCUUCAACAGUAAAUACCUUAUCCUGAAAGUAGGAACAAUACCAUCAUUAUGUAUGUAAGUCUUUAAAUAGUAUAGUGUGUAAUGAACAUACUAAUUCAUACCUGAUUUGAUGCUUCAAAUAAUAUCAAAUUUAAUUCUUCUAAAGUUCUUCUGUUGUACUGCAUUUGGUCUUGCAAUGUCCCUUUUAGAUGGUCCUCAAUAUGAAUCUCUUUGACAAUAUUAUCAAUUGAACUAACGUUUUUUAUCAUACAAAAGAAUGUAUCAUGUUAGAGUGCAUGCAACAUAGAUUAAAAUAGAAAAAUAAUAACUAAUUUUUCUCACCUGUCAUGUGCAUCCUUAGUUUCAGGAAUAGGUAGAUCUACAUAAACUUUUGUUGCAUUGGUUGACGAUAGAGAAUACCCUGAGAAAAUAUCAAUUAUUUAUUUUCCUAGGAGGUUAGUUUGUUGAAUAAUUAAUAUUGGAUAACUCAUAUUGAAUAAAGACUUACUUCCAAAUUUCCUCACAGUUGUAGAUGUUAUUGCGAUGACAUGGGAUUUUGUCUCAUCAUCAACUUCCUCAACUUUGUCUCCCCAAAAUCUAACUUUAACUUCAUGAUCACUACAAAUUUAAAAGUGCAUAAUAAUAAAUAUUUAAAAUAUCUAACCAUGAAAUUAAUUAUUUGUAGGGGCACUAUAGAAGAUAUUUUCUAGUUCAACAGAAGUUCUAUAACAUGCAUGUAAACGUUGAAAGUUUCGUAGUUGUUUACUACAAAAGAAAAGAGAAUUACUCCAUCAGAAGCACAAUAUCACGGAUUUUGGUAAAUCCAAAGUUUGUUCUUGUUUCUUCUAUCGGUCCAAUGUGUGCUGCGACACCUAUAACAUCUAUGAAAUAUAAAUAUGAAUUAUUAUUAGAUGGCUGUCGAAUGAGUGGAAGUGUAAAAAUUGAAAAGCCAGUAAUGGUUUACCUGAUAGGUACAUGUCCACAUUUAUUCUUGAUGAAAGCAUAUCCGUGCUCAUAAAAUUGAAACUAUACUUUGGAAUGUCUUCAGUAUCUUUGACCGUUUUUAGUGUAGUUGUGGGCAAGAAGUUGACUAUUCUGUCAUUUACCACUGGCCGAUACUUCUGGGCUGCUGGUGUGAUUCUGACAUUUGCAAUUGUGUACACAUUGCCUUCUUCAAUCAAUGGUUUGAACUUAUCCAUAUAGGCCUUAUUGAUAACACCGUGCAUCAUGGUUCCCUAAUUUUGCAUCAUCAAUAAUAAUUUGUAAACAAAAAAAUAUACCAAAAAUUGCAAUCAAAGUGAACAUCCAUCAUACCUCUUGAUCAAUAAGGAUCAUGUCAAGACUUAAUUGUUCGCCACUACUGAGUAAGGUUGCAUUCCACAAUCUGGUUACCCUUGCCUUGAUGUUCCACAAUUCCUUUCCCGGUCUAAUUUCAGAUAAAGUUUUGCUCACCAUUGCAACUUGUUGAACUGCAUAAGCAAAAGAUGGUGAUGGAUUCAAUUGGACUAUUUUUCUAUAUAAAAGACAUUAUCUACAAACAUGGAAUUCAGUUGCAUGCUGUACUACUACAACUGGAUCUAUGUAUUGUUGGUUAUUACCGAGUGCCAGAUACUAACAGCUUAAUUUGCAGGUUGGUGGCAAAAUGCAAUCUCUGGAAUGUCGUUGUAAAUAUCUGCAUGUGUUCGACAGUAGCAACUCAAGAUUGUUAUUAUUCCAUAAAAACAUAAAUGAUUGUCGUGAUUGGUCAUACUUAAAUGUAUUAUUUUAAUUUUGAUACAAAGAUGCGAUAGGAAUAACAGUUUGAGAACAAUGGUGAGAAGCAAGUCAUCUAUACCACGUAUGCAGGAGGCCAUACAAUAACAAAUUAUUUAAUAGUACUAAUAUAUUCCAUGAAAAGUUAAUCUAAUUAUAGAAGGGGAACCAAACAAUUUGCAAGCUUGCAUGCGACCGUGCGCAAUGUUACUCCUCAAUGAAAACAAACUCAUAUCUGCCUUUGAGAACAACUGUGAGAAGCAAGUCAUCUAUACCACGCGUGCAACAGGCCAGACAAUAAACAAAUGAUUUAAUAGUAGUAAUAUAUGCUAUGAAAAAUUAAUCUAAUUGUAGAAGGGAAAUCAAACAAUCUGCAAGCUUGCAUGCGACCGCGCCCACGAUGAUAACAAACCCAUCUCGCCUAUAACUCAAUUCUCAUUAUUAGAAGGGAAAUCAAACAAUCUGCAAGCUUGCAUGCGACCGCGCGCACGAUGAUAACAAACCCAUCUCGCCUAUAACUCAAUUCUCAUUAUAUUGAUUAUUUUCCUCUCAUAUGACCAUGGAGAAAGACAUACAGAGAGACAAAGAGAUUACAGUACUGGUAGAUUGGUUAGGGCAUUCAUCUAUGGAGAUUAUUCUAUAGUAGGAUGAUUUAGAGAGAUAUUGGUACCUUUGGUUGAUGGUCGUCUUCCUAUGAGAAAAGACAAAAGACAAACUGAAACCCGUUGGAGCUCAGCGUUCUCGCAAGCUUGGUGCCUGUUGGAAGGAUCGGGAGAGAGAAUCGCCUGCUUCUGAGCGCCGGACUCUAAAUUUCCUGUAUAUAUAAUGGCCAUGCAAACUAAGCUCCGGACUCUGAAUCACCAUUAAGGUCUAAAAAUAUUCUGACAUUCACGUGGACAUUUUAAUCAUGUGCGGCUAAGAGAUAGAUUUAUUGAUGUACGUAAAAGAUAUAUUCUUGCUAACAGAUAGAUUCAUUGAUGUAUAUCUCACGUUCACCUCAUAUUUCACGUCCGACAAUUAAGUCAAAUUACAUGGAGAUAAAGAUUAGGGGUUGCUUUAGUUUAUUUUAUAUAAUGGCAUAGGUGGGUAAUUUAUAUAUAGAUUUAGGGGGUUACUUUAGGUUGUUUUCAUAAUGGCAUUGGUGGGUAAUUUUUUUGAAAACAUAAUAGAUCCAAUGGCUAUGGUGAUUUAAAUCUAUAUAUCGAUGGUCGGAUGCUUUGCUUUUUUGUGAGAAUUUCUAGGAUUUCUCUUUUUUUUUAGAGUGUCCACCUAGGAAUCCUAGGUGGCUUCACCUGGAGGCUUCAAAAGGAGCCUCCAAUUAGUAAUAGUAAGAUUGAUUUUUAUUUCUUUUCCAAAUAACAGCCACCCAAAAUGACUAAAAUGCCCAUAACCACCUCUCUGCUAGCCACUUCGCGCCGUUCCCGCAUCAGUCGCCGCCGCACAAUUUGGUCCGGAGGCGGAGAUCCUACCCUAGCGCUCGGCCGCUUGAGACACCCGCUGGCUGUCGUCGCCAGAUUCAGUCCAGACUCCAGAGGCCGCUAUCCUCCCCUAAGAGAAGGUCAAUAAUAGAGCCAAUAUCUUUGUCUAUAAGACAAGACAUGUCAUCAACAAAUGAUAUUGCAAGUAAGGUGCACAGCAAUGGUCGCUUAACUUACCACCUCAAAACUCUUAUUAAUAUUUCUUUAUUCAGAUUGGCCCACCCAUCAGCACCUAAACAGCUUUGCCACUGCAUGCUGUUUAAUGCUGUUGUUCUUGGCUUCUGUGUUCAGCUUAUUCAGCCGGCUUAUCAGACACCAAACAGUAUUUUUCUCUCACAACAAAUCAGCCGUUUCAGCUUUUCAGCCGGCUUAUAAGCUGAAGCGAACAGGCUAGCGCCAAGCUGAGCACUUUUUUCUUCUCUCUCCUCCACGGCAGCAUGACUACAAUUGUUGUACCUGCUCUAACACCCGGUGCUGACCUCGAGUAGCGCGUGAGAAGAGAGGCGCAUCACCCACGGGCCAGUUGCUACGGGCACGUGUAGGGUCAUGUUUAGUUCACCCCCAACUCCCAACUUUGGCACUAUGCAAAAAGAAGAUUCCCCAUCACAUCAAACUUGCGGUACAUGCAUGGAGUACUAAAUGUAGAUGAAAUUAAAAACUAAUUGCACAGUUUUGUUGUACUUUGCGAGACGAAUCUUUUGAGGCUAAUUAGUCAAUGUUUGGACAAUAAUUCACAAAUACAAACGAAACGCUAUAGUGUGCUACAGUGCCAGCACAGUAAUUUGGCACCUCCCAAUUUGGCCAACUAAACAAGGCUUAGGAGGGCUGCAAAUUGCUCUGUGCAGCCACGCCCCGAAUUGCUGCCGCGUGUCCACCCGACAGAUCCAGCAUCUUGCUCUCAGCUCUACUUCAACCAUCAGCCGAACGCAUGCGGCACGGUUCUCAGCUCUGCUUCUGCACUUGUCUUUCAGUUUUCAUAUUCAAGGAUUGUAUUGGCGGUACAGAAAGUGUUUCAUAUUGAUUUUGGUGAGAAGUGUAUGUAGAAGUAAGAUAGCAGUGAGUUGGCUACGUCCGGAGUAAGGACUAAACUUAAAUCCUAAACAAUCCAAACAGGGCUUAGGCCAUUCAAAAUGAAUCAACUCAUGGGAAUAAAGAAAGGUUAGACAUGUUCUGAAGAUUGGUUUGGUGUUUUGUUCCAGUGGUUGAUUCGGUACUAGGUCCACCAUCAAAUAAAAAAAAAAAAGCCAAACUUCUUCUCUGCUGCUUGCUCAUGAAGGCAUAAGAGGCAUGUGUUCUGCUUUUAGCUUUGUUUAUCCCCUAUGAAUCCAUGCAAGUAUAAGAGUUGAUUCUUUGUCUCUUUUCCAUGAAUCGACUACUUCCAAUGAAGAUGAAUCGGUUCAUCACCUCCACAUCAGACCAUGAAUUGCUUGGAAAGGGCCAAUGGCCUUGUGGGGCUAUGGGUGCCCUAAGCUUUUAAGUUUUGAAGGACUACUAUGACACCAAACAGAACUUGUUUAACCCUAAUAUCAACUAUUUUCCUAGUGAUUUCUUUUUACGAAUUGUCGGCAUGAUUUUUCCAAAAUUUUAUUAGAAAGAGAAAAAAUAAUUGAAAAAAGGGUUUGCUCCCAUCAGCAUAUAUAGUGCCCUAAAACUAAGAAUAAAUUUGUUGGCUGCUGCUGCAAAUUUUCUCAUACUCAAAUUGGCUAUCUAUUGCAAUUUUUUAUUGAUUAGGUUCUUUAUGUAUGAAAUCCGUUUACCUGGAUUUGAAUCCUCGAUUUACCAGGUGCUCUAGUUUUCCUUGAUCUAUUUGAAGGAGUAUCAAUUUGUUUAGAUAAUAUUCUCCCUUGAAAGCAUGCCCACCAUUCACAAAAACCCUGUCAAGCACGGCAACUGUACAUGCUUUCUUGUCGAGAUUGGACGAUACGUACCAAAUGACUUGACCGACCUUGUCAGAGAAAACCUACGAAUGAAUUAUGACCACACAACACAUUCUUGGAAGCGCCAUCAUCACAGAAAAGAGCCAAAUCAGAAGGAAUCUCGUGCUGGUAAACCAUCACCGCCCCAGCUGAAUUUCGACCGCAACGAAACGGCACGAGACAAGUGGUCCAUGAGCCUAGAAUAUCUCCGUUCAAUUUCAGUAGAAAAGUACUCUGGUAUUUUAGGCUGGACACGCCGCAACAAUCUUAUCCAGCUCAAGCAGCGACGUACGGCUGUAGUAUAGAAGAGGAGACGGGCCGGGACCUGAAAAAUGACGGUAGCUGUUAAGUUUGACGGACUCGGGUCUUCGCUACAGAAGCGGUCAAGCUAAGCCAAGGCCAGUAAAUCUGUUUUUAAACCCCGGGGGGCCUUGGCCAGCUAAGCAUCAAAGCUCACAGUACACAACUACACACCACCGUGUCGCAAGUGAAGCACGCUCCGGCCUUGCAGAGGUGCACCAUUCUCGAUCAUCUCUAGUCCUGAUUACUAUUGCUUCUGUUUUUGUCUAGUACUCUGCUGACUUACCUACCAUAUCAGUUUUUUCCGCGUGAAGCGGUAACACCUGACAAAAGUUCAGCCUUUCUGCUUUAAACAAGAAGUAAAAUUUAGAUAUAUUUCAUGUUCGAGCGCACCACAUCCGUAGUUCGAUUGAAUUGUAUUGUUGUCGUCGCUAGAACAUAUUAGAUGCCAUGAACGGGCAUAGUGAUACAGCGAAGCUCCACCAGUGAACGUAGCAUGGCCAAUAUUUACUGUUUACAUUUUUGCAGGUGCCUUGUUUGUCAUGUGUUGCGCUAAGCAACCCGUGAAAAGCAGCAUGCUCUUACUAUUGGUUUGGCUGCUGCUAUCAUAUUUCUUUGGCAAUAUUCAUUGCUCAACUGUCCCCAAGAACAGCACGGACAUGCUUUCACUGCUUGAUUUCAAGCAGGCCAUCACUAAUGAUCCGGGGAAAGUUUUGAGCAACUGGACUGCUAGCACUCCUUAUUGCCAGUGGACAGGCGUCAAAUGUAGCCGGACGCACACAGACCGUGUCGUCGUGCUGGACCUCGCCGGCCACAGUUUGACGGGCACGUUGACAGCUUCACUUGGGAACUUAACGUUCCUUAGGAUACUCAACCUGUCCGUGAAUCACUUCUCUGGUCACUUGCCACAUCUUAACCAUCUCCACCAAUUGGAGGUCCUUAAUCUGAGCAGUAACUCCCUACAAGGGGUAAUUCCAGAUACACUCACAAACUGUUCCAAUCUUAGAAAAUUAUUCCUUGCCUACAACUUUCUAGAAGGUGAAAUUCCACUGAAUGUUGGUCUCCUAUCAAAAUUAUCAACAUUGCAACUUACGAACAAUAGUCUGACCGGAGCCAUCCCACCAAGUCUCAAUAAUACUCUGCUAGAAAAAAUCGGCCUUGCAAAUAAUCGGCUCACAGGAAGCAUUCCAAGUGAGCUUGGAUAUUUGUCAAAUCUGUCAGUUCUGCUUCUCGGCGGCAAUAUGCUAUCAGGUGUAUUCCCAGCAUUCCUACUUAACAUGUCUACCCUAAUUGGGUUACAUUUAGGUAGGAAUUUGCUACACGGGGAGUUGCCAUCUAACAUCGGCAGCGUGUUCCCUAGUCUCCGUAAUCUUGUUCUAAGCAUCAACAAGUUUGAAGGCCAAAUCCCAGCUUCAAUAGGCAAUGUUCCAAAUCUUGAAGUGAUAGAUCUAUCAUCAAACAAUUUCACUGGUCAAGUUCCUAGUUCUUUUGGUAACCUUCUUCAGCUAAAUAAGCUAAUUCUAGAGGAUAACAUGCUUGAAGCACCAGACACCAAAAGCUGGGAAUUCUUAUAUGCCUUGAGAAACUGUAAUCAUUUGAAUGUGCUCUCACUAGCAGGAAAUCGGCUAACUGGAGCUAUUCCAGAUUAUAUUGGCAAGUUGCCCACUGGACUUGCAAAACUAUAUUUGGACGACAACCACCUAUCAGGGUUAGUGCCCUCAAGCAUAGGAAACCUGACUGGCUUGAUUUGGUUGGAUCUAGAUAACAACAAACUUACUGGUACAAUUGGAGAAUGGAUUGGGAUGCUAAAAAAACUACAAUAUCUAGAUCUUAGUGAGAACAGCCUCAAUGGGCCCAUCCCAUCCUCCAUUGGCAAUCUUACGCGGUUAGGGGUCCUAGAUCUAGGACAAAAUGAAUUCACUGGUACUAUACCUACCAGCCUGGCAUACCUUCAACAGCUCAUAGAUUUGGAUUUCUCCUACAAUAAAUUAGAAGGUAACCUACCUUCAGUGGUUUUUAGUAUCCCAACAUUGACCACAUUCGUGCUGUCGUACAAUAAAUUAGAGGGUCCAAUGCCUUCAGAAGUUGGUCAUCUUACACAACUCACUCUACUACUUCUUUCAUCCAACAAAAUCUUUGGUGAAAUUCCUGACACUUUGAGUCAAUGUCAAGAGUUGAAUAUCCUCGAACUGGACAAAAAUUGUCUCACAGGAAGCAUUCCGGUGUCUCUUGGUAACUUGAAGAGUUUGAGCGUGCUUAAUCUUUCCCACAAUAAUUUUUCGGGCUUGAUCCCAUCAGCUAUAGGUGACAUAAAAACUCUCACCUGCUUGGAUCUUUCUUAUAAUCGUCUACAAGGAGAAAUACCAUUCGGUGGAAUUUUUGCAAAUGCAACAGCUGUUUCGUUAAACGGCAAUUCGGGACUCUGCGGAGGAUCUUUGGAUCUGCGCAUGGCCCCAUGUGCUUCUGUUUCAUCUCAGAGAUUUGAAAGACAGUACUUUUUAAUCAAAAUAUUGAUCCCAAUAUUUGGUUUCAUGUCACUCAUACUAUUAAUCUAUUUUGUUCUCGUUGAGAAGAAGAUGUCAAGGCCGUAUUCAUUGCUGCCUUAUUUUGGAGAUAAAUUCCCUAAAUUUUCUUAUAUGGAUCUGGCUGAAGCCACAGGAAACUUCUCUAACUUGGUUGGGAGAGGAAGCUACGGAUCAGUGUACAGAGGGAAGUUGAUCCCUUCUAAACUGGAAGUGGCAGUAAAGGUUCUUGACCUUGACAUUCAUGGUGCAGAGAAAAGCUUCAUAUCAGAAUGCGAAGCAUUGAGGGGCAUUAAACAUCGAAAUCUUCUACCCAUAAUAACUGCAUGUUCGACUGUUGAUAUCACUGGCAGCUCUUUCAAAGCUCUAGUUUAUCCAUUCAUGCCUAAUGGGAAUUUGGACACAUGGUUGCAUCAUAAAGAAGGGAAUGCUUCAAAGUAUCUAAGUUUAAAUCAAAGAUUAAGCAUAGCUGUUAACAUCGCAGAUGCAUUGGAAUAUUUACAUAAUGACAAUGGAAGGACGAUUAUACAUUGCGACCUGAAGCCUAGUAAUAUUCUCCUGGAUGAUGAUAUGACUGCUCAUUUGGGGGAUUUCGGCAUUUCAAGUUUCCAUAUUGAUUCUGUGUCCACAUCAGUUGAGGAUCUAAAUAUGGCUAGUUCAAAAUGCAUUGCUUCCAUCGGCGUGAAGGGGACCAUCGGAUAUAUAGCUCCAGGUAUAUAAUUACUGUUUGUUCGAUUUUCAGCCAGUAAUACGUUGCAUAAGUAUAAUUAAUGAUGUUACAAGAACUGCGUUAUUUAUAUCUACAGAAUAUGGUGGAGGUGGCCAUGUAUCAACAUAUGGGGAUGUUUAUAGUUUUGGGAUUGUACUUCUAGAAAUGUUAACCGGAAAAAGGCCUACAGAUCCUAUGUUCACGAAUGGGCUCAACAUUGUCAACUUCGUCGAGAGGAGCCUUCCAGAUCAGAUAUUCGAUAUUGUUGAUGCUCCAGUCCAGGGAGAAUGUGAGACCUUUGCUCAAAAAGGUGCCCUAGUAGAAAACAGAAUCUCACGUUGCUUGCUGACUCUGCUACAGUUAGCACUUUCUUGUACGUUCCAAUCGCCAAGAGAAAGAGCCAACAUGAGAGAAGUAGCCAGCAAACUUCGUUCGAUCAAGACGUCACAUGCUGGCGCGAAAUUUUUUUGAAGAUGCUGAACAGUGAUUACUGAAAUCAACACGUACGGGCAUGCCCCUCAAUAUUUUAAUGAGUAAAACCCUGUUUUGCUCUCCUACAGUUGUCUGGGAGAUUAAGAAGGAAUAAUUAUGUUACGACCAAAAUUGGCAUAACCAGGAAUCAUUCUGUUGAUACCAAAAUUAUUAGCACAAAGCUUGCUCACUACUGCAGAUGACUUUCGUAUCGGCUCAUACGUGCCCGUCAAAAGGGCACCGAUGCAUCAAGUUCUUUCACACCGGUGCAGAAAACGACAGUGAACAUACUGAUGUAUAGCACACCGGCACGUUUACUUAAUUGUACCGCCGCACGAGUAAUUUCAUAAUCUAACCGGUCUGGACAUAUAAGGAUUGAUUCGCUAAUUAGGGUCUGUUUGGAAAGGGUGCUAAACUUUAGCACCCUAUUUUUAGCACCUUUUUAGCACAUGGGCUCCCAAAUAGGAGUGCUAAAAGUUGUGCGCUAAACUUUAUCACCCCCAUUUUCUUUAGCACACUCAAGGGGUGCUAAAGGGUGUUAAACUUGCUAAAAGUGGUCCUCAUCCAAUUUUUUCCCUGAUUGCCCCCUCUCUCUCUCUCCUUCCUGCCACACCCCUGCCGCCCUCCGCGGGACACGCUGCCUCUGCCCGGCCAUGCCGCCUCCACCGGCCAUCCCUCCCUCCUUCCCCACUCCGGCGCCGCCCACUUCUCCUCCGUGAUUUCCUAUUUCUCAUGCCGGGCGGGAGCUAGGCAGAGCCUAACCUCGCGGGAUCCGGUGCGGACGGCCUCUGUGGCGGAACCGCCCAACUUAAACUGGUUUAAAUGCAUCUAAUCGCUGCCGGAACAGCAAUUAUCCGAAACGCACUUAAAACAGUAUAAGUCCGGUCGUCCGUCGAGUGUCCCUAGGACUCCUCGAAUGAUCCAUGAUACGUCUCAUAGCCAUACACCAGGAUUGUUUCCAUGAUGGGAAAACAUCAACAAAUAUUACAUUUUUUCAUACAUACACGAGGUACGAGUUAUUACAAGACGUAGUUUGAAAUAAACUUAACAGUGCAGGUCAGACAGAGGUUCUAGGAAUUAAACAUAAACGGGUUCAGGUGGGAGAUGAGCAUUCAAAGAUUUCUUCUAAGGGUAUUGCGAGACUCGUAACAAUACCCUAAUUUUUUGGGGCUUCCUCCUCGGUGGACUCCUGCGGUGCCUCUGAAAACAGCCACAAGGGAUAACCCUGGGUACUUAGCAAGGCUUACCCGACUAACCAAUAUAAUAAACUUUCCUAGACUAUAUGACAGCUUUUUAGGUGUACUGGUGGACACACCUUUUUGCCAAAGAGCUUACUAAAAUUUCGUCCUUAGCUUUAUCUUUUAUUACACUUAAGUUAUUACCUAAUUAUUCUAAAUGAUGACAAAAAUAAAUAUUUUGUAAGCAUCAAGAUAUUAAGUCAUACACCAAAACAUUAGUGGAAAGAUAAUGCAUUCGUGAAUUUAUACUACGAUGCUCAACAGUGAUCAAGUGCAUUCAUAACCGAGAAUUGCGGUGAUCCGGAUCAAAUUACAUCCUGCAGGAAAGUACCCUGGUCACCAGUUAUAUACGACUGUCCAAGUCAUAUGUAACGACCUUUCGAUUAUCAAAUCCAAGGAUUGGGAAUAAGACUACCUGGACCCAGGGACGCACCCCCACAUGGGAUCCCACGUCUGGCCUGAUCUCCAUGUGAGUUUCAGGCUACGCCCCUGCCAAUCUCCAGCACAUCAAGCACGGGUACGAAUUAUUCCCGAUCAGAGGGUUUACUAACCUACCAGGCUUUACUGGUCCCAUACCCAGUAAGUAACCAGGUGUCAUUCACUUGAUCAAAGGUUAAGACAACGAUCGGGCCUUAACCAAAUUAAUCUAGCAGACAGAACUACAUCCUUAGCUUCUGUCCGCUUCUUAACUUUCAAGCUAUCUUUCCAUAAUUAGCAUGUAUGACCCAACAUGUUACCUUAAGGUUCGGUAAUCAAGUUACUUAAGCGACUAAGCAUUUCUAGACUUGGUAACUUACUAAAUAUUCGAACAAGUGGCAAAGAUGUCCUUAAAACAAGGUACGAUAAUGCACUAGAAUGGGUUUCAAUCAACUCCUAGACCUAGUGCAUUCAUAUAGAAAAUAACCGAUAAUUGGACACAUGAAAUAAUAACUCCAAAAUAAAUAGGUAUAAUGCACCGGGGCUUGCCUUGUUCUAUAAAAAAGUUAGCACUGUCUGAAGGAUUGGCCUCGCAGGGGACCAACUCAAUAAUCUCUUCGAACUCCGGAGAUCCUUCUGAAAAUUCCGAGAAAUCCUCUUCCGGUGCUUCGGUGUCUAAGAUAAAGCAUAUGCAGGGGUUAGUGAUGCAACUUUUUGAAUACAAGACUAUACAACUUUCCUUCAUGAUAAAGUUGCAAGCCAACAAGGGACUAUACAAUUUAUCAUGAUAAAGUUGCAAACCAACACAUAAAAACCCGAAAAGAUUAACCCACCAUUUUUAUUUCCUUCACUAACCUUACCUAAGGCUCUUUCUUUUAUUUUUAGAAAAUGUUAUAAUUAUUUUCUAGUCUUGAAACCUAAUUUCCUAUGGGUUAACAAUGAUUUGUGAUUAUGAAAAUGUUAUUCCAUAUUUUAUGCAUUUUAAUAAAGAUUAAGUAUUUAUUUAAAUACCUUAAAGAAAAGGCAUUAAACAAAUACCUAAAUUUUUAUUAUUUUUUCUAGGGUAUAAAAAUUUUAAUGCAUAAAAGGAAAAUAAAACAAUCCUAACAAAAUUGGUUUCACUAAUUUUGGACACCCCUAGAAAUUUCUGUAAUUUAAAUGGUGAUAACCGAAUUUAAUCUAUUAUUCUAUAAAAGGAAAUCUAAAUUUUCCCGGAAAAACCUCAGCCUACUUUUCUCACGCACCCUUACCCUACCCCCUCUCUCUUACGCUGGGCCCGCGACUCGGACCCACCCCCUUCUCUUAUUCAUCCUACCCGACGACCAUUUCUCCUCGGCUGGGCCCUACUGGGCCGAUUUCUUCUCUUCUCCUCUUUCCUUUUCUUAAUUUGGCCCAGCGACUCAACCCCUUCUUUUCUUUCCUUCGCGCAUCUUCCGACCUGUCUCACCGGCCUACCGGCCUGCUGGACCUCACGGGCCCCCAACCUCUUUCCUUUACCAACCGCCCACACUGGCACUCGGGUCUACGGGACUUCGGCCCACCUGACGUCUUCGCCCCGCCUGCUUCCUUCCUCCCCUUUCUCCUCUGACGCGUGGGCCCACAAACACCAGAGCCUUCUUCCUUCUCGCGCCAAAACCCGAGCGCGGCAGGGGGCGGCACAGCUCGCCGGCCGGUGCCCCACCGGCGACGGGGCCGGGCUGGGGAAGCAUCCCCAUGCCCUAGUGCACCUGUGCGCGGCGGUAGCUCCCCGGGAGGUGGCCAGAGCCAUCCUCUCCACGGCGGCGGGCGACGGCACUAACGGCCGGCCGUGACUAAGCACGACGACGGCGCAGCCCACCCUUUCGACAACCUCUACAGCUUCCUAGUACCCCAAGGACUCACCUACGACUGUCCACACGGAAAGAGAACGAAGGCAAGGAAUUGCUCACCGUGAGCAGGAGGUGCGGCGGUGGCGGACGGAAACGACGGCGAUGCAGGGCACGCAGGCGGAGAGGCUGGGCAACAAGCUGCUAGGGUUGUUGGUGGGGUGUGAGUGGAGGUGUGGACGGAAGGAAUCGACGAGAGCUGCGGUGUGGUGGAGGAAUUUUGCUCGGUGGCGGCGGCGUGACAGAGAGGGUGGCGGCGUUAAAAAGAACCGACGGUAAACACGGCGGCGGGAGCGGUAGAUAUAUGAAGUUUUUACCGUGCGCAUGGUCGACACCGUGGCCUAGCUAUGGCCUUGCGUGGCGUGGAGGUGGCCUAGCUGUUGAGCUGGACAGCGGGCAGGACCACCGGCGGCGACACGUCAUGCUCAGCUCUGUUUUCUCGUCUCCCCCUUUCUUCUUUCAUCAGAAAGUUCAGAGCCUUUCCACGGCCGAUUUUCAAUCCGACAGUCCACAAACCUCUUAAGCAAAGUUGGAGAUAAUCUCAAACCCUUUGAUUUAUAUUUAAACUUCUACCCAAGAUAAACAUCAAAAGGUUGCCAAAUUUCGAGUUUUUCUCUCAGACCACUGAAUUGCUUCUGAACAUCUUGAUUCAGUUCGACAGUCACCUGAACAUGGUCAUUUACCCAUCUUUGGAAUUAUUUUCAGUGGCCCAAAUCCCUUCUUUUUAAUCCAACUACUAACCAUUCAUACUCUACAACCAUCAGGGGUUCCAUUUUGCUCAUAAACACCCCUACUUUCUGCACUACAUUUUUCUAAAUUUUGCUCCAAACUCGGGAUCUUGCUCCAAAAUGACAGUUUCAGCAGUCCAGUCCACCGUGGCAAAGUGCUGACUUUGAGCUAAAUUUUAAAUUUACUCCCUUUACUGUUCUUGAUCAACAACACCCGAAUAUACUUGUCCAAAGUUCAUACUUCAUCACUGUAUAGUUGCCUUGGUCCACUUAUUUGGAAAAUUUGGCAGAAAUCAAUUUCAAAAAUGGAUACUUGCACUGUUUUUCCGAAAAUCCAUUUUCGGACAGUGAACAGUACACUCCUGUUUUAAAUUUUUCCAUUGCUUUUCUUGAGAUGUUUAGCACUAAAUUUAGUCCCCAAUCUUGAUUCCAAAGUUCUAAACACUCUCAAGCUUCCAUUCCAUAUUUUUGCCCAAUUUUUCUGAAUUUAGAAUUCAAAAUUCAAAUUUCGGUCAAAUUUGACUUUUAGUCAGUUUCUUCUCUUUUUCUCCAUAAUUCACCUUUAACUUUUCUUAAUCACCUUUGAUGACUUAAAACACCAGGUGUUACAGCCUCCGGCAAUCAGCGAUGGCGGGUGGAGCCCCGGCUUGGUGGCGUUGCGACGAGCCGUGGGGACUGCGCUAGGCCGCCGCCGUCGAGCCACCCGGUGGAGACGAGCGGCCGCUGGCAAGGAGGUGGACACGACGAGUUGGGGUGAGUCGCCGGGAGCAUGCUCGGCCUCGCCACCAUGGGGAAGCAGCAGAUGCCUCUGCCGCGGGGUGAGGCGGCCUGGGCGGAGCAGGGGCCGCAGCUAAUCACGGGCGAGGAGGUCGGGGUGGAGGACUAGGGUGGAGCUGGGCCGCUGCGUCGACGGGGGCUGCCGCAGCGGGGGCCGGGACGGGGACGGGAGGCGGGGGUCGUGCGGGGGUGCCGGGCUGACGGCAUCGGCGGCGCCUGGCCGUGCAGGGGUGCCGAGGCCGGUGGCAUCGGCCGCGCUUGGCCGUGCGGGAGCGGCGGCAAAGGGAGUGGGAGAGGAGAUGCGCGAGGUGGGGUGAAGGAGGGGAGCUCGAAGAGGAGGAGGAAGAGGGGUAGUGCGCCAACCAUAAAUGAGGGGCGCUGUUGUCAUUUGCCAUCAAAUGUGCUAAAGUUUACCACACUAUCCAAACAGCUCAAGGUGCUAAACUUUAGCCCUCCAUUUGAGGGUGCUAAACUUUAGCACUGAAGUUUAGCACAAGGUUCCAAACAGGACCUUAGUUAAAGGUAGCGGAUUGAGUUAGAACCAUCUAGGUUAUCCUCCGCACCAAACCCUACUAGCACGUUCUAGAUUAGCGUGUCAAUUUAAUAAGAAGGAAGUUCAAGCUUCAUAUCCUUCCACUCUGUAUAUUUAAAUGCCUGACCACUCAAGUAUCUGCAUGACCUACUCGCACUCUAUGUGUCUCUCUCUCCAUCUCUGUGUUUCUAUUACCCACCAGCCUAGCUAUAACGGAAAUGUUCGUCUCUCGCCACAUCUUGCAACAUUUUAACAUCUAGGAUGGCGAUUGCGUAGUCGAUCCUUUUGGUUACCACAAGCAUGUCCAUUGGCAUGUGCCUAGCCACAUAUAAAAACUGGAAGGUCUACAUCAAAAGCUUCCUUCUCCUAAGGACGUGGCAAGGUCCAUGACCACUCCUGGACGUGGUGGGAUGAGUAGUGAUGUUCCGCCGCGUCAAGAAGCUCGUCAUCAACGAGGCCUACUCUCAGCUUCUUGAGACCGGCCGUGCGUGUAUGUUAUUUUAGUUACUUUGAUGUCAGUCUAAAUUUCGUGAUGUGGACGUGUGUAAGUAACAAGAUCCCGUUAGGCUAUAGUUUGUGAUUUUAGUAACUGAGUGACAACAUAGUCAUUGGGAUUAAUGGUUUGUCAAUCAUGUACCUUGAAGGUUUUAUAGGUCCCAAGAAUGCAAACUAAACCAUGGCAUGAUCCAAAUGACGAUAUUUUCUGUGCUCAAAUGGCGGUAUUCAACUCAGAAAAAUUAGUAGCACUGGAUAAUCUGAUGGUGCAUUGGAGCAACCAUUGGACUAACCAUUGGAGCAAUUAUUACAAUGGGAAAGGUAGGGAAAAACUUGCAGCAAGCACUGGAUGAUCCGACGGUGUAAUUUUUAGUAGCAUUGGAUGAAUUCUGAAGCGAAGGCACGGAAGACUGAAGCAUCGGAUGAUCCAACGCCUAUGUGGAGGUGACUGUUGGACCAAGCAUAUUUACUGUUUCAAUGCCCAUCGGAUGAAGCGUCGGAAUAAUUUUGGGCGGGGGCCAACGGCUACUUGCAUCAGUAGAUGAUCGGAUGCCUACCCAAAGAGACCAUCGGAUCAUCCGAUGAUCAUAGCUUAGCCUUUGGAGCAACAGCUCUUUGAGGUCCUUGGACUAUUUAUACCCCCUCUACUCGCCCAUUUUGAAAUUAUUGGAGUGUCCAGGAGUGUAAGACAAAAACUCAUCAAGAAUACAUCCAUGCUAGCAAAAGUGAUAAUUCAAGAUUUAGCACAAGCUUAAAAGAGUGAUUAGUGAUAGGAUAGGCCUAGAGAGAGUGAGUGCAAGGUGCUGCUACCUUGUAAUUUGUUCAAGGAGUGAACCACCAUUGUAAGCCUGGUGUGCCUGCACCUUGGGGCCUUGGUGGCUCGUCGGCAAAUCUUCAACCCUCCAGCUUGGUGUGGAGUGGCGAUGACUGUGUGCAGGCGAUGAGGAGACCCCUUCCUUCGUGGAGAAGCUCCGUAGUAGAGAUAGCGUCAAGGUGAUCGGAAGAAAGGAAGUGGUGAGCCUUGCCGUCAAGCUUCUCAUCUGGCUUGGCGAGAGCCUUUGUGGCGAGCUCAAGACCUUUGACCGAGAGAGAGUUGGUGACCGGGAGCAUAUCCUUGGUAGAGCUUCAGCAUGAACUAGGGGUGGCAUUUUCCUACCAAUACCACGGGAUAAAUCACCGUGUCGAGUUUGCAUCCUUCCUAACCCACUCAUUUACGUUUUCACAUUUCAUACUUGCAACUUGAGUACAUGUACUUUCUAGAGUAGUAUCUUGAUAGGAUUAAUUGGCUCUAGGUUGCAAAAUUCUUUGUGAGUGGGAAGUUUUUCACUACAUCAACAAUAGUUGCACAUCUAGAUAGCAUGAUCUAUUUUAUAUUUGAUGCUUUGAAGUGGAAACCAUAGGUCAAGAUUUUAAGUUUGCCUAAUUCACCCCUCCCCCUUUAGGCUACGAGCACCGAUUCCUUUCGAUGUGGAACAACAUGUACUGAUAUUUAGUGUAAUAAAAUUAUUCGCUUGUGUUUAUUAAGUUUUCGAAUUUUGUUUCUUAUUUAAACAACAUUCUAACCGGUCUAGAAUCGAGCUGCUUAGAAUGAGUUCCUGCACUUGUAUUAAGUUUUCCUACUCCUCUGCCGCUCGCCGCUUCUCCCCCGCUCCUCCUCCUCUAAUGUAAAUGGUGUCAUCUGCGGAACAGGUGGCCAAGGCAGCGGCAGCUUUGGCGACCACAGUGACGUGCCUCGCUGAGGCCAUGGCAUGCACGGUGGUUUCCGCAACCGCGAGAGAGGUGGUCCUCCGCUCCCUUGCCGUAGCCGCCACCGGAUCUGCAGCCAUCCUGACUGGAUCCGCAACAGAGACGCAGAAGGCCCUUGCAUCCUCCACCCGUGCCAUCGCAGAUGCGGCCGCAGUGGUCGUGGGGAGGUAGGCCACACUGGUGGCAGGGAAGGUUCGUGCUCGCGCGGCCUUGGAGAGCCAGCUAUGCCUCCCCUUCGACCAUAACCUCCAUCGCAGUGGUGGUGGCAGGCGGUAGGGCGGCCGGUGCUCUUAACCUUUCUUUAUCUCCUAAGGGGGGAAAUAUUUCUUUAUUUGUCAUGGGGCUUUUUUUUCGAAAUAUAGACGCUCACAUAAACACACUCACACUCAUCACUAUGAAUACACGCAUGCAACCGUACCCUUGUGAGUACCUUCGAGAUACUGAGCUGGUAUAUUCUUGAGAUUGACGAAGUUACAACUGGCGUCUUGCUGUUGACGGGUACGUUACCUACCACUGAAAUAAUAGUGCUCGUUAAGUUUUAGAAUAGAUCUAAGAAAAUACGAGCAUCGAUGUCGAGUCGAGUAUUCGAACUAGGGUGAAUAAGUUCCGCUAUAAGCUGUGCUCAGUUUCUGCCACGGAGCUUUUCAGUAGCCGUGAAAGACAAGCAUUGAACCAUGACGCAAAUAAUUUGUCUCGCACAGCUAGAUCUACCAACGGCUAAAGCAAAAAAAAAAAAAAGCUUUGACGGUUUCAAAUGCUUCCACGUGGUUGCGUGCACGUGUCUGCGGAUCUUAUUAGUAAAAGCCAACAAUUUGUAUAGGCACAAAGCGUCAAAGCCCAUGCAACCUGUACUUAUUUGAAUCAAUACAUUGAAGUUUGUUAGAUUAAGUCGUAAUUAUGAGAUGGACAUAAAAAUAUGAGAUGGACAUAAAAAAAUAAUUUCUGCCUCCACCCGUUGUGCACCAGCAGUCCGGCACUAUAUAUAUGAAUAUUAUGUCGAAGGUUUCAGUAUGUUAUCUCUCAAGCGGGCCUGCUCAUCAAGUGCUCAACCACCUCUGUUCCAGAAAACACCGCUCCUUUUCUCAGUAGAACUAGCAAGGCAUGGCUAACCACCAUAAGCGUUGUCCCUUAACCAGUGCCUUCGUCUUUAUUCUCUCUUACAUUGUUCUGAUAGCAUCAGUAGAGUCAGCAAGGCCAGGAUUGUCUUACAACCAACAUUCUCCUACAUACCCACAGAUGCACGACUUCCAAAAUGAACAGCUUUUCCACGCGUAUUUCGUCAUUCAGAGCUUCAAAAAUACCGUCACAUGCGAUCCUAGGAACAUCACGUCAACCUGGACCGGCCCUGACAUCUGCGGCAAAAGGAGCUACGUGGGCUUCUAUUGCGCGAGAAAGCAGGGACCCGGUAGCAACCUCACGGUGACUUCAGCCAUUUUCAAUGGCUUUGGCCUGUGUGCGCCAAUGCUUCGAGGCUUCCUCGACCAGCUUCCCGAUCUUGCUCAUUUCCAGGCUACAUCUAACAAUUUUGGUGGUGAUGUCCCCAGCCUUGCCGGCCUGACGGAGGUGUCCAACGUUGAUGCCAACGGUAGGCGUAAACAAAAUAGAGAGGGAUCACAGAGCACUACAAGUAUUGAGAUAGAUAAUAUCGGAGUAACGGCAAAAACGAUGGGUGACCUAGUUCACGCAAUCACGCAUCCCUUUGAGAAUAGUAUUUCAGCACACUUACCCAAAAACAACUCAAGCCCUCGAGCCUCCUUUGCGCCGCCUUCCUCAUUGAGCCCAAGCACCGAGAGGCUUGGAUUUCCAAAGAUGAACUACCUCGCCCUCGCCAACAACAAGCUCACGGGUCCAAUUCCACCAUCAAUCGCAGAGGCACAAGAUACUCUCCUCGAGGUACUAUUCCUGAACAACCAGCUCUCCGGCUGCCUCCCUAACGAGCUGGGCAUGCUCCACAAGGCGACCGUCAUCGACGCCGGCAUGAACCAGCUCACCGGCCCGAUCCCUGCAUCCUUCUCGUGCCUCAGCAGCGUCGAGCAGCUCAACCUGGGCGGGAACCGCCUCUACGGCCAGGUGCCCGACGCGCUCUGCAAGCUCGCCGGCCCAGCCGGCCGCCUCGCCAACCUCACGCUGUCCGGCAACUACUUCACCUCCGUCGGGCCGGCGUGCGCGGCGCUGAUCAAGGACGGGGUGCUGGACGUGAAGAACAACUGCAUUCCGGGACUUGCCAACCAGAGGCGCCCGGUGGAGUGCGCGGUGUUCCACAGCCAUCCG